CACCUCCUCCCCCAGUUUACCUGUCUCCACCUCCACCCUAUCAUCACUACUACGGUUCUCCUUCUCCUCACCACUACUAAGCAAGUGCAUAAGUUUUGAGGUAAUAAUACCUAUCCAAAACUUUAUCAACACAAACUGCCAUGUAUAUCAUGCUAAGGACGUACACUUGAUCCAUGAAAAUGACUAGUAGAAGAUUUUUUUUAAGAACCAAAGAAAUACAUUAUUUUUUCGGUCUGUUUUCAAGAAUUUGAGCAGUAUACAGAUUAAAGAGUGUUUUUUUUUUUGUAAACUUGCUUGUCAACUUAAAAAUGCACAUAGCUGAAAGCCAACUGAAUAUUUGCAGGCAAAGGAGAAGGCAAUCGGUGUUUGAGACCUUCAAGAAGAUGUAGAAGAAUAAGAAUAAAAGCCCAAUGCGAGGAUGAUUCCAAGUUUCUACGUUACCAUUUCUACAUCUAAAUUGACUUUAGCUCCUGAGUUCCAUGUUUAUGGGGUUUGUACCGUUUUACGUACCAUGCAGUACAUGCUUGCAAGGUUUUCUGUCCUGUUGGCAAACUGCAGGUCCAUAUAAUAAAUGAAUACUAUUUACAUUACGACACUUUUCUCUUUUUCUCUUAUAUUUUGUCUUUAAUAUUGUUGAUCAUUUUUUUUUUAUCAAAAGCAUCAAAUGCUUAGGUAAUUUGGUCUAAUGCUAAUUGUUUUACUUUUAUUUUUCACCUACACCCCUUUUCAACUCAAAGGAUGCUAUAGUUUGUGAUAAUUGUUUAAGACCGAAGCAUGAUACUAAUAAAUAUCUCAUUGAAAGUCAAGGAAACUAACAUUAGGAAAAGUUUAAAUCUUGAUUUGAUGAAACUAUUUAUUCGUGGAAUUUAGAGAUACAAAACUCAAAUUGUGACGGUGUUGUUGCUAAAUUAUUAAGGACAUUAUCACCAUUAUUUUUCCCUGAUCACUAGUUUCAACUGCAAUGAUCUCAAUCUUUUUGUGACUAAUUCUUUCCUUAAUAAUUUAUAAAGACAAAACUCACAAAGAAUAUGUGACUAAUUCUUUCCUUUCGUCUUCUAAAGAAAAUGCCAACUGUUAGUUUAUCAAGGGGAAAAAGGAUCGACAUCAGUUAUUAUUGAAACUAGUAAGGAAUAAAUAAUGGUGAUAAUGUCCUUAAUAAUUUAACAACAGCACCAUCAGAAUUUGACUUUGAGCUUCGGUCUUAAACAAUGAUCACAAACUACAGCAUCCUUUGAGUUGAAAAAGGAAGUAGGUGAAAAGAAAAGUAAAAAAUACAAUUAGCAUUCCCUCAAAUUGUAGAAAGUUAGGUAGCAUUAUAGACAAGUUGAUAGCGGCAAUUUUACAUUUCAAACUUCACCUAUUCAAUAACUAAUUCGAUGGCUUGCUACAUGGUCAAUCUUUGGACCCCUUCCUGCCUCCAGAUAUCCCUUUCCUCAAUCAGGGGCUUCUACAAUUACCAGUUUCAAUUGUAUGGUAUAGUGUAAAUAUCAACAAAUUAGAUGUAGAUGCUAACAUAAUAAAUGUGAAUGCUAAGACAGCAACAUACAAUCGAACCUGCAAUUGUAUGAACCCCAAUCUCGCUUCCUAGUCCACCAUCUUUCUCUAGGUAAUAAUCUCCCUUCUAAUUUAUUCACAAAAUGCACCUUUCAUCACCUCCAAUAGCGUCGACAUGAUCUUUACCCUAGAAGACUAUUCACCGACUCUCAAUUGACGUCAGAAAAUCUAAGAGUAAUUCUACUUUACCCUAAGAUUGAUAUCAACAAGACAAGGACAAUUUAGAAUUAUUACACGCCUCUUCUUAAUAGGAAAAAGAAAUAGAGAAGAAAGUCAGGCCAGGUCUAAUUUCUUUUCAAAGGCAAUACAACAUUACGAAAUCAAGCAUUCAUUCAUACAAAUAUUUCAUAGUCACCGGUUUGCUGAGUAGAAAAAUUUAGACAAAAACUUAAUAUUAUAUUGUUUAAGAGUUAACAAUUUAGAGCUUAAUCUCCUUGUACUUUGGAGUUAACAAUUUAGAGCUUAAUCUCCUUGUACUUUGGACUAAACUUGAACGUGAAAGGAAAUCCCAAAACCAUAUUGGGCAUGAAUUCACACUUAAUAUACCCAAUAAAAGAUGGCGACUGGUGAAAGGCAGUGGAGACUGGUGGAGAGAUUUGAGGAAUAGAAGCAGACGGAAAAGCAACAAAUUUUUGCCGAAAAACGGUCACUUUCAUGGUUAAUUUUGCUACUCUCCAAUUGUACUUGACCAAUUACAACAAUUUCAUGGAGUUUGAUACGUGAAAAGAAUUUUUUAUAAAUUUUAUUUUGAUCCAUAAUGUUAUCUUUACAUAUAUAAAACAUUUUACAAUUUUGAUUUUGGCGCAGCUAACUUUUGGUUAACAAAAAUGCUCAUGUUUAAAAAACCAGAAAUAAAACAAAACAAGAAACAAAAGAAAUAAGAGGGUAGCAUAGACAUUUUGGAUUUUUCCGUUAAUUUGGAUGAUUUCCACCCACGUUCUAAUUUAAUCCAAAACACAAAGGAAUUACGUAGAGGUUUUAAAUAAUCAGGGAGCUUCAUGAUCGAACCCCAAACCACGUGAUAGCAUACAAGAGUUCUAUUUCACUAUCGGUAGACAAAGACUUUCUAUGGUUGAUGUACCGUAGGAAAAAAUCUGCCUAUACAACGUGAUAGCAUUUUUUCAAAAACACAAGAUGGAAAAUUGCCCCCUUAAACGUGGAAAUUCAUGAUCUUUCCUCGAACAAAGAAUACUCACGCCUAUUCAAGAUGGAAAAUUGCCCCCUUAAACGUCUAUUUGUCAAUUCUUGAAAAAAGAAUACUCACGCCUAAAACACGGCCUCUUCAUCUGCAGAAUUCUAAAAAGUUACGUAAACUCUAUAAACAAGUUGAUAGGUACAAUCGUACCCAAGAUCAAGUACAGAUAGUUGUACAUUCACUGCUGCAAUAACUAAUCUGAUGACUUACAAACAUAUCAUGGUCAAUCGUUGAAUGGUAAUGAGUCUUUUGUUAUGCAUUAGUAUUAGUGUGUACACUCUAAUAGAUUGAUACUUAUACUCUUUAAAUUAUCAUAAUAAUACCCUUAAUUAACUUUAACUCUUAAAAAGAAUACGUGUUAAUACACGAGAGUGUGUAACCUGAAUUGUUACUUAUACAUUAGUGUGUAAUAGAUAGGGAUGGCAGUGAGGGCGAGUGCCCGCGGGGGGCUCUCGGGGCGGGGGCGGGGGAGAAUUUUUUCCCCCCGUUUAGAAACGGGGCAGGGGACGGGGGAGUAUACCCCCGCCCCAUCCCCCGCCCCGCCACCCGCAAAAAAAAUUAUAUAUAUAUAAUUAUAUAUAAUAUGUAAUUUAAUUAGUUAUAAACUUAUGAUAAUGAUAUUAUUAGUUAGAUGUAUUAUAUAAUGUAUAUUAGUGUAUGUAAUAUAAUUAAUAUUAUCAAUUAUACGAAUAAUUAGACAUGUCCACUAAUAGAGUUUAUUAAUUAGUUAUACUAAAUUUACUAAUACAUUUGUACUAAAUUUCUAAUUACACUUAAUAGAAUAACACUUUUUUCUAAAAAAAAAAGCACAAACACAAUAAUGAAUUAGUGAUUGUAUUUGUACCAAAAGUGAAAACUUAACUAUUUUAGUUGUAUUUAUUUCAUCAUGUUGGAUUGUAUUCAAAUAAUUUUUGUUUGAUUGUUUUUAUGAGUUUCAAUUGUAAAAUUAAAAUGAAUAAUAACUUGAUGAUGUGUUGAUAUUUUAGUACUUGAUUAUUUAUUGAUUUAACUAUAAUAAAAUUUUAUUUUAUUAAAAUUUAACUAUAAUAAAAUUUUAUUAACCAAACGAGUUAUUAAUCCCGCGGGGGCACCCACGGGGGAAGCGGGGCGGGGCGGGGGAGUGGGAGGCGGGGGACGGGGCGGGGGUGGGGGGAGUUGUAGGUAGCGGGGCGGGGGAUGGGGGAGGGGUCCCCCGCCCCAACCCCGCCAUCCCCCGCCCCGUUGCCAUCCCUAGUAAUAGACUGGCAAGCAUUGUGGUGGUCAUUGAGAACUUACUGGAGAAAUAGUCCUAUAAGCUGUUCAAUGAGCAAUCACAACUUGCUAAUUGGAUGACUAAUAUAGCUCUAGCUGUAAUGUUUUAAUUAAAUUACAUCACUAACGUUGGGAUGACUUUUUAACCAAAAAAAAAUGCCUUAGUUCAAGCUUUUCCCUUUAUUGUGCAUUUUUUAAAGCAUUUGAUAGGCACUGCAAAUCUGUCAUUUUGGACAUUUUAUUAUUGACUAACAAUGAAAGCCGUGACGUCUACCCAUAACCAACACAAGAUUAAAUUAAUAUUAGAAAAAAUAAUUGAGUAAUUGGAAAAAAAAAAAGAGACUCAUUUUCAUUGAAACCCACCGACAAACUAAACGUGUCCAUGGCUUUUGAAUAGUGCAUUCAACGUUUAAUUGUAUAGUCCAGUUCAUUGCAGAUUACAUGGAGUAAAGAUUGUGCUCUUUCCUUUUUCACCCCUUUUGGAAUCGAUACUGUGGAGAAUUGGGUUUUUCCCUUCUUUUUUUCUUUUCUUUCCUUCUGUGCUUUGCAAAACAUAGGUAAAAAUAUGAAAUCCGAAGCAUUCUUUAAUUGGGAUUAAGUAUUGUUGUUGAAAUUAAAAAGAAAAAAGAAAGAACAACAAAAUUCCCAAUCUGGGUUGAUUGUUGAGCUCUAGAUUGGUUGCAUCGUGCUUCCAUAGAAGCUCUCUUAGUGUGAUACACUGCUUUCAAUCAGUUUAACACGGGAAAAAAAAAAAAAGAGAUGAAAAGCAAAUUUGGUGGGGAUAAUUUCAGAAACCUCCCCUGAAGAUUUUGACUAUUCUACUGGUCUCCCUUCAGAUUUUAAAAAUUACACUAAUCUUCCUUGAAGUUAAUUAUCUUGUAACAUUUAAAUUCAAUCAAUAAUUUAAAAAAUGAUAUUAUGAGAGAGAAAAUAAUGAUUUUAUCAUUGCCCCCCAUCUUACUACAUUAUUUAAUUAAUUUAAUAGCAACCCACACAUUAAAGAAAAAUAUUAAAAUUUGUUGUUUAUCAUUAAAGAUCAAAUCGCUUAUAACAUCAAAUAAUAGUAUAUUAUUUAUAUUUUUCACUCAAUAUAAUAUCCAAAUUACUCUUUUCAAUUACAUACCCAUUGUUAGACAAUCAACAACAAAUAACCAAAAAAUUUGCAACCAAAAUAUUACAAAAAAAUAAACUUUAACAUAUAAAUAUUCUUAUCAACAUAUUAAAGUUAGUUACUGAAAUUUUUAUGCUGUUAAACUUCACUCUUUUUGGUUACAGAUUUUUUUGAUUAUUUGUUAUUAAUUAUGUUUGAUGAUGGAUUUAUAAUUGAAAAGAACAAUUUGAAACUUACAUUAAGUAAAAUAUAUAGAGUGAUAUACUAUUUUUUAUAACAUAUGUGAUUCAAUCCUUCUUGAUAGGAUUGGUAAUAGAGGUAGAGGGGGGAGCCGGCUGCAUCCGGUCUACUUUUCAUAGAUAGUACAAUAUUGCGAAAUCGAUCGCAUUCACGCAAUAUUAUUUCCAAGUCAUUGCAUGGCUAAGCUGCAAAAAAAGUACGAACACAUGUUAUUAUAUAGCUUACGAUUCAAAACUUUAGAGCAUAACCCUCCACCUAACACAAUUGAAUAAUGAACAUUCACGUUUGUCAAAUCUGUCAAAGCACAGUUUGAGGACAACCCAUUCCAACCUGCAAAAGAUUUUUUACUUUUCUAAAGUUGUUGAGAGCUGUAAAAAGACUUACCAUGCUUGCAUCCUCCGAGCCUUGGGAGUUAAAAAUGAAGGCACUGAGUGCUAUAAAAAGGGGAAUAGAGGCUGCCUAGAAGCAUAUCAGCCUAAAACAAGAAUUUGUAGUUAAGAUGGGAAGCAAAGCAAAAGCAAUGGGGUCUGGGCUGACUCCUCUUCUUGCCACUGUUUUAGUGGUGUUUGUUGCUCUUGGCUUGCCCUCACAAACUGCAGCUGAUGAUCACUACAAGUAUUCAUCUCCUCCUCCUCCUUACCACUAUCCCUCACCACCACCACCAGUGCAUAUACCUCCACCUCAUCCUGUUUACAAGUACAAAUCUCCACCACACCCCCAGUACAAGUAUAAGUCACCACCACCACCUCCUCAUCCGGUAUACAGUCUCCUCCGCCACCACACACCCAGUUUACAAGUACAAGUCACCACCACCACCUCCUCAUCCGGUACCACACCCAGUUUACAAGUAUAAGUCUCCUCCGCCACCAGUUUACAAAUACAAGUCUCCUCCACCACCACCUCCAGUGUACAAAUACAAGUCUCCACCACCACCAGUUUACCACUACAAGUCUCCACCACAGUUUACAAAUACAAGUCUCCACCACCACCCCCAGUUUACAAAUACAAGUCUCCACCACCACCAGUUUACCACUACAAGUCACCACCACCUCCUCCCCCAGUUUACAAAUACAAGUCUCCACCACCUCCUCACCACUACUAAGCAAUUGCUUCUGAGGUAAUAACACUUGUUCAAUAUACCCACUUCUGCAUGAUAAAGCAUAUCUCUAUCAACACAAACUGUCAUGUCUAUCAUGCUAAGUGCCUUCACUUCAUCCACCAAAAUGACUGCUAGAAAAUUUUUUUUAUGUUACCAAAGAAAGGCAUCAUUUUUUCCCUCUGUUAUCAAGAACUUGUACAGUAUAUAGAUUAAAGAGUAUUUUUUUAACUAGCUUAUCAACUGAGAAAUGCAUAUAGCUGAUAGCCAGCUGAAUAUUUGCAGGCAAAGGAGAAGGAAACCAGUGUUUGAGACCUUCUUGAAGAUGUAGAAGCAUAAGAAUUAAAGCCCAAUGUGAAGAUGAUGAUUUCAAGUUUUUCUACGUUACCAUUUCUUUAUCUAAAUUGGUUGUAGCGCCUUAGUUCCUUUGUUUAUGGGAUUUGUAUCGUUUUACGUACCAUGCAGUACAUGUCAUGUUUGUAAGGUUUUCUAUCCUGCCGGCAAACCGCAGGUUCCAUGUAAUAAAUCAAUACUAUUUAUAUUACGACACUUUUCUCUGUUUCUCUUAUAUUUUGUCGUCUUUAAUAUUCUUAAUCAUAUUUUUAACAAAAAUAUUCAAACACUUAGGCAAUCUGGUCUAAUGCUAAUUGUAUGUUUUACUUUUCUUUUUCACCUGCUCCCCUUUUCAACUCAAAAGGAUGCAAUAGUUUGUGAUCACUGUUUAAGACGGAAGCAUGAUACUAAUGAAUAUCUCAUUGAAACUCAAGGAAACUAACAUUGCGAAAAGUGUAAAUCUUGAUUUGAUGCAACUAUUUAUUCGUGGAAUCUAUAGUUACAAAACUCAAAUUCUGACUGCGCCAUUGAUAAAUUAUUAAUGACGCUAUCAUCAUUAUUUAUCCCUAACUAGUUUCGACUACAACUGAACCCAAUAUUUUCCCCAUGAUAAAAGUUUUUGACUAUUUUACUGGCCUCUCUUCAAAUUUUAAAAAUUACACUAAUCUUCAUUGAGAUUAAUUAUCUUGUAACAUUUAAGUCCAAUUAAUAAUUAAAAAAUGAUAUUAUGAGAGAGAAAAUAAUAUAAUUUUAUCAUUGCCCCCCAUCUUGCUAUAUUAUUUAAUUAAUUUAAUAGCAACCCACACAUUAAAGAAAAAUACUAAAAUUUGCUGCUUUUCAUUAAAGAUCAAAUUGCAUAUGCCAUAAAACAUAGUAUAUCAUUCUAUAUGUUUCACUUAAUGUAAGAUCCCAAUUGUUCUUUUCAAUUACAAACCCAUUGUCAAUAACAAAUAACCAAAAAAUUUGCAACCAAAAUAUUACAAAAAAAAACUUCAACAUCAUAAAUAUUCUUACCACCUCUAGUGCAUUCACCCUCAUAAAAUAAUUCAAGACCCUACUGUCAUAAAAUGACUGAUCAACUCCCGUAAACCUAAUUUGACAACAUUUAAAUGGAGAACUUUAGCUAAAAGAAUUAUGGUCAAGCUAAAGAAAAAACCAGUUAUUUUCCAACAUAUGCAAUCAUUGAUCAGGGAAAAAAAAAAGAGCAAAAAGACAUCUUCAAUCAUUUAAUAGCUUACAGGGCAAAUUAACCCCUAAGCGAAAACUGGUUGCUCUAGAAUCAAAAUUUUACUUUAGUUACCCAGGCAACUUUUUUGUUGCUUUUUUUUUUUUUUUCCUUUAGUUUUGCCCCCUCUGUCAAGCUUAUAAAAUUAUUAAGAUAAUAAAAGUGCCUUGAAUAGUAUUAAUAUAUCCAUUGACUUGAGCUGUCGUCAGUUUGCGAUUCCAUGAGGCCUUUUCAAAGUACUCAGAAAAUGGGGAGUCAUGAAAUCCAUUUGUUCUAUUCAUUGCUAAGAUGCUUUUCUCUAUAAAGAGACUUCCUAACGAAAAUACUUUGUAGAUUUCUUUACUCCAAGUGGUGCAUGGAAAAUUAAUAUUUUCAAUUAUCAAAUAAAAUUCCCUUUUUUCGGCGUAGAUUUCAUCCAUCCAGCUGUUAACACAUUCUAUAAAUCCGAAUUGACUAAUCUUUUCGUUUCCAUUUUCCAACUUGCGAAUACGGCAUAUAGUGUCUGCUAAACACUAUAUAUUCUCUGCCAAAUAUGAAUACAUAUCACUUUUCUGAGCAAGUGCAGAGUCAUUAUCAUUUUUAUUCCCACCUAACAAAUUAGGGAUAAAAAAGUUAAUAAUCUUUACAUGCUAUCAGGUCACAAGUUAAUAAUCUUUUAAAGAACAUGUUAAAUUAAUUUAUUGGUAUGAAUAGUAGUCAAAGAAGUAUGUUAAAGUUAGUAAUCUUUAAAAUAAUAUGUUAAAAUCAUUCGUACAAAUUAGUCAGAGAAGUAGCAUAAACACCGCGAUGCAAUUAAUACUUUCAAUCUCAAGGUCUCUAUUAUGGAAAUUUGCAUCGGUCAAUAUACACUUGGCAUAAUAUAAUCUCCCAACUCAUUUCUUUACAAAUGCACCUUUAAUCACCACCAAAAGGUGUGGACAUGAUCUUUACCCUAGAAAACUAUUCACCGACAGGCAAAUUGACGUCAGAAAUACUGAGGAAUUCUAGUUUCCUUCGGGUUCAUGCCAUGUUGUAUCCUUCAACUGUAACUCGAUUUCUAAGCUGUAAUUUGUGACAUAAUAGUCCUUAAACUAUGAAACCCUUCUUACUUAAUUACAAUGGUUAAUACAAUGCCCGUGACUAGACAAGUAUGAAGCAACCAUAACAGAAAAAAAAUCCAAAAUUAGAGAAAAGAAAGAAGUUUCGCGACCACCACCAGUUUACAAGUCACCUCCACCACCUCCUCCAGUUUACAAGUCACCUCCACCACCUUACCAUUAUUCCUCACCACCACCUCCAGUGCAUUCACCCCCACCACCACCAGUUUACAAGUCUCCGCCACCACCUUACCAUUAUUCCUCACCACCACCUCCUGUGCAUGCACCUCCACCACCAAUUUACAAGUCACCUCCUCCAGUUUACAAGUCUCCACCACCACCUUACGAUUAUUCCUCACCACCACCUCCAGUGCAUUCACCCCCACCACCACCAAUUUAUAAGUCUCCCCCACCGCCUCCCCCAGUAUAUAAGUCACCACCACCACCUCCUCCAGUAUACAAAUCACCUCCACCACCUCCUCCAGUUGACAAAUCUCCACCACCACCAAUUUAUAAAUACAAGUCUCCUCCACUACCUCCUCCAGUGUACAAGUCAUCACCACCACCUGCUUACAAGUCUCCACCUCCUCCAGUUUACAGUUCCCCACCACCACCAAUCUACAAGUCUCCACCUCCACCCUACCAUUACUACUACAAUUCUCCUCCUCCUCCUCGUCACUACUAAGCAAUUGUAUCCAAGUUUUUGAGGUAAUAACGCUUAACCAAUAAAUUAACUUUCGCAUGAUAAACCUUAUCUCUAUCAAGACAAACUGCCAUGUGUAUCAUGCCAAAUACGUACACCUAGAUCCAUGAAAAUGAAUGGUGAGGAGGGCCAUUUAGGCUCGGAGCGCCCUAGGCCUAGUUCCCCACCAUUUCCUGAAGUGCCGCCUCGGGUAUUAUCCUGGAAGGCGAUCGCGGCCCAUUUACCACCUCGGCUACAAUGUCAGGUCGUAACACCGAGGUGGACAUUGAAUGACAACUACGAAAAGGGGAGAUGUGAUCUCUGACACCUGAGCAAAGGCUGCUCUGACCCGCCGCCUGAAUCUGACAGAAUGUCCCAUCACGUCUCUUCAUGGAGACCGGUCAAGUCCACCUGAUCCACUGACUAUCUCAGAUCUUUUGGGACCCGUGCAAACAUCUCCUCUCUCCUAUCAGUCCCCUAUAAAUACACGAUACUUCUACUGAAAAAGGAGAUGACCAAUUUCUGGUAAAACACACUCCACUCAUUAUUUACUUCUCUAUAUCCGAACUGACUUAAGCUUCGGAGUUAUACCGGGGGAUCCAGCCCCUUUCUUAUCCAAGCAGGUGACUUCGUCCAAGAGAGUUGCCCAAGGUAAAGAUAUUCUUCCAAUUGAGGUGACUCACUCCUGCGGGUCGAAAAUCACCUCUUCAAUUGGCGCCGUCUGUGGGAACCGCAAAGAUAUUAGAAGAUGAAGCCUGCGCGUUCUAGAAGCAGAAAAGCUCUCACUAUCGAGGCUGGGCAAAGCAAUGCAGCUCAACAAGAAAAUAUUUCUGAAGGGCAGGAGUCCCCAAGGACUCAGCCCGCAAACGAAAAAGCCAUAACCCGUAUGGCCGAGUUUGUGACCGAGAACCCCAACAUCUUUGAAGAGUUGGGAAGAUACCUGAAGAGGCAAGGCAAACAAAAGGCCGAGUCCUCUAAAAGGAUGUCAGAUGGGUCUCUUGAGGACUCAUCUGAGGAGGAGUCGGAUGGAAGGCACUUAAGCCGAAGUGCCUCAAAGCGAGCAUUUUCUAAGGCCACUUCUAAGGUAGCCUCCCUGACCAAGGCGUUUUCCCGAGGGCUCUUGGGCCGACGACCCGAGGAAGAACCUCGGCCCUUGGGAAUACCCGGGGUGGACUGCAUGAGGGCUCCACCGUUCACGGAUGAUAUAAACGAGGAAAGGCUUCCUCCCAAUUUUAAGCUCCCCGCAGUACAAUCUUACGAUGGCCGAGGUGAUCCCGAGAAUCACAUCCAUACCUUCAUCUCGGCCUUCCAAAUAUACUGCAUCCCAGACCCUGUCAUAUGUCGGGCCUUUCCAGUAUUCCUCAGAGGAACUGCUCGAAAAUGGUUCUGAGCUCUAGAACCUAGGAGCAUUUCGACCCUGGGUGAAUUAGUGGAGAAGUUUCUCCACCGAUUUGUCUCCUCCCGACCUACGACUAGGACCUCGGCUUACCUGCUCACCGUGCAGCAGAACCCGGGAGAGUCACUCCGGUCGUACGUCCGGAGGUUCCAUGAGGAAAGCGUUCAGAUACCUGACCCCAAUGAGCAGGUAACCCUCGCUGCCUUUACCCAUGGACUCGUUGCCGGGGAGUUCAAUACGGGGAUCCAUAAAAAAUACCCCCGCACACUGCAUGAAUUGUGGUUGAAGGUUGAAAAGGGCAUACAGGCCGAAGACCUCCAUCGCAUGAAGAAAGAGGUCCAAGCCACCCGUCCAAGGGCUGAGCCCAGAAAGGGAAAAGACGCUGGCCGAACUGAAGUAGGGUCGGGAAGUGGCUUCCGAAGUCCUGGCCGAGACCGCCGCAGCGUGUUCGACAGGAUAUCCAAGGGGAAGUCACCUAUUCCCGAGUCCGAGUUGACUCCUUUAAAUACUACCCGAUCUCACGUGUUGUCCGUGAUGGAACAAAACAACCUCGGCAAGGGCCCGCCGAGGAUGUUUGGAAGCAGAGACAAGAGGAACUCGAACCUCUACUGCUUGUAUCAUCGUGACAUUGGUCACGAAACUGAGGAUUGCAACGAUCUCAAGAAGGAGAUCGAGAACCUCAUUAGACGGGGACACUUGAAACAGUUCAUCCGCAGAGGUGGAGGUCACCAACGUGACGAAAACCGGCAUGACAAAUGAGGUGACCAACGCCGAGAUGAGCGGCGGAGCUCCAGAAGCAGUUGCCGACCUCCUGAGGAUCCCAGGGAGACGAAAAGGCCUCCCCCAGACGGAUCUUCGGGACAUGGGCCAACCAUUGCCCGGGUCAUUAACACCAUUGCCGGAGGUCCGACGGGAGGGGACAGUCAGAACUCCCGGAAGAGAACCUAUAAGCAGGCUAACCCGGAUCAGGCCGAGUCGAGUUCUCGCCUGUCCGAGGUGAUCACCUACGGGCUCAGUGAUCCCAUCCCAGCUGCAUCCAGCAGUCAUGAAACCUUGGUGAUUGAAGUCCUCACCAAUAACUACAUUGUGAAAAGGUCUACAUAGACCCGGGAAGUUCAGUUGACGUCAUGUACCUCCGUACCUUUGAGAGCCUUAAAAUGGCUAAGGGGUGCAUGACCCCGCUGAGAACCCCUCUUGUAGGGUUCGGGGGACACGUGGUGCACCCCGAAGGGAUGGUGACUCUGACAGUGACCAUAGGGCAUCACUCUCGCUGUAGAACCGUCCCUGUCAAUUUUGUGGUGGUUAAGGCUGACUCCCCAUACAACCUACUUUUAGGUCGGCCUACGCUCAAUGCCUUGCGGGCGGUCUACUCCACCUACCACCUGAGCUUCAAGUUUCCUACCCCAGCAGGGGUGGCCGAGGUCAGCAGCGACGUCUGUGCUGUCCGGGAGUGCUACCUCGCCACCCUACAAGCAGCCUCCCCGUCUACCUCCGGUGCGAGGUCCGAGAAGAGGUCAAAUAUCCUCUCAAUAGAUAGCAUCGAUCCUCAGUGAGCUGAGAAGGUCCCGAGGCUGGAGACUGGGGAUGAGGUGGAAGAGAUUCCCCUGGACCCCACGAAACCUGAUCAGACAGUUCGCGUUGGUACCCGAUUGCCCGGUCCUAUCCGAAGAGGUAUGAUGGACCUCCUCAGGGAAUACCGGGACGUCUUUGCUUGGGCCGCCGAAGAGGUCCAAGGAGUCCCGCACCAUCUCAUGAUGCAUGACUGAACGUCGACCCCCAAGUCCGUCCGGUCAAACAGAAGAGAAGGCACAUCGGCCCUGAGCGCAGCCAAGCUGUUGGUGAGGAAGUGGACAAGCUUUUACCCGCUAAAAUAAUCCGAAAAGUCCAAUACCCGAUCUGGUUGUCUAACUCGGUCAUGGUCAAGAAGGAUACGGGGGCUUGGAGAAUGUGCGUCGAUUUUACCGACCUCAACAAAGCCUGCUCCAAGGAUUGCUACCCCUUGCCCAAAGUCGAUACUUUGGUAGACUCAGCAAUGGGCUACGAGAUCCUCUGUUUCUGGGAUGCAUUCAAAGGCUAUCACCAAAUUGGGAUGAGUCAAGAAAACCAGGAGAAAACGGCCUUCUACACCGACCGCGGCACGUACUGUUAUACUACCAUGCCAUUCGGGUUGAAGAAUGCCGGAGCCACUUAUCAACGCUUGGUCAACCAAGCAUUCAAGUCUCAAAUCGGCCGGAAUGUUGAGGCCUAUGUAGAUGACAUCCUCCUCAAAAGCCAGACGAACUCCACCUUCCUGGCCGACUUGAAGGAGGUCCUUGACAUCCUGCGGAAGGUGAAAAUGAUGCUGAACCCCAAGAAAUGUGUUUUUGGGGUCACCUCGGGGAAAUUUCUAGGUUACCUCGUCUCAAGGCGAGGUAUCGAAGCAAAUCCGGAUAAGGUGCGAGCCAUCCAGGAGAUGUCUCCACCCCGGUGCGUCCGCGAUGUCCAAAGGCUGACAGGGCGAUUAGCCGCCCUGAAUCGGUUCUUAUCGCAGUCGGCAGCUAAAGCACUGCCCUUUUUCAAAGUGUUGAAGAAAGCUGACCAUUUCUCCUGGACGGAAGAGUGUCAACAGGCGUUUGAGCAGUUGAAGGAUUACCUUCACUACCUUCCAACGCUCACCUCACCUCGUCCGGGGGACAAAUUAAUCUUAUACCUUUCUGCUGCGGCCGAAGCGGUGAGUGCCGUGCUGAUAAGGAAGGAAGGGGUCCAAAUGCCCGUCUACUACGUUAGCCGAGUCCUCCGAGGUCCAGAGACCAGGUACACACAAGCAGAGAAACUUGUGCUAGCCCUGAUCCACGCCGCCCGCAGACUCAAGCCCUACUUCCUAGCUCACCACGUCUGCUUGAGGACUGAUCAACCACUUCGGCAGAUUUUGACACGACCAGAGGUUUCGGGACGUCUUACCAAAUGGGCCAUUGAGCUGGGGGAGUACGACCUAACUUAUGAGCCUCGCACAGCGAUCAAGGCCCAGGCUCUCGCAGACUUCGUAGCCGAGCUCACCUUUGACGAGGUGCAAGGAUCCGUCCCGGCUGCCACAUCGGCCACAGUUGAUGUGGCCACCACUGGGCUCCAGCGGUGGAUCCUACACGUGGACGGUUCGUCAACAGUGAGGGUAGUGGAGCAGGCUUGCUCCUCGAAGACCCCCAAGGAGAAAUAUGCUAAUAUGCCUUAAGAUUUGACUUCGCUGCUUCAAACAAUGAAGCUGAAUACGAAGCCGUCAUUGCUGGACUGCAGCUAGCUCGCAAGCUCGGGGCCGCACACAUCUUGGUUUAUAGUGAUUCCCAACUCGUCGUGUGCCAGAUAUUAGGUGAGUACGAAGCCAGGGACGAGGUGAUGCAUCGUUACCUCUCCAAGGUCCUCCAGUUGGCGACUCACUUCGAGUCUUUUGAAAUUCAAAGAAUACCGCUAUCGAAAAACAGAAGGGCUGACGCCCUCUCCCGGCUUGCCUCAACCUCUUUCUCUGACCUGAACAAGACGGUUCUCGUUGAAGUUCUAGCCGAACCAGGAUAUGUAGCCGAGGUAGUAUACCCCGUCUACCCUGGGGACACCUGGAUGGGUCCCCUGACUCGAUUUUUCAGCCAGGGUGAGCUCCCCGAAGACCGAGCUGAGUCACGGAAGCUCCAACGAAAAGCAGCACGGUACAUUCUCCGACAAGGCCUUUUAUACAAAAGGUCUUACCUCGGCCCUUAGUUGCGAUGUAUCACGCCCGAGGAAGGCCAGAGAAUCCUCCAAGACAUACAUGAGGGGCUCUGUGGUGCUCACGUCGGCUACAGAAUGCUGGUAAAAAAGGCUUUGUUACUUGGGUAUUUUUGGCCCACUAUGAGGAUAGAUGCCCAGGUCAUGGUCCUUUGCUGCCCCUCCUGCCAGCAUCACGCUCCUGAGCACCACCAGCCGACCAAUUUAAUGAUCCCUAUCACCUCGUCAUGGCCAUUUGAGCAAUGGGGAACGGACAUAAUUGGCCCCUUUCCCAGAGCUCCAGGCAAUUAUACCUACGUGGUGGUAGCAGUGGACUACUUCACCAAAUGGGUCGAAGCUGAACCCCUAAAAAAUAUCACUGGUGCGGCAGUCCAGAAAUUCUUCUGGAAGAAUGUGGUUUGCCGCUUCGGCCUACCCCGGGUGAUCAUCUCGGAUAAUGGCCGACAGUUCGCCGAUAAUCCUUUCAAGGCCUGGUGUGAGAACCUCGGGGUCAAACAGCAUUUCACUUCGGUGGGACACCCCCAAGCCAACGGACAAGCCGAAAACUUCAAUCGCACGCUCCUCCAUGGCCUCAAGACCAGGCUCCACCAGGCUGGAUCGUUUUGGAUGGAAGAGCUCCCCAGUGUGCUGUGGUCCUACCGAACUACGCCGAGAUCAGCAACCCAGGAAACCCCGUUUUCCUUAACCUACGGGUCAGAAGCUGUUGUUCCAGCCGAAUUCAUCACCCCGAGUCCACGAAUGGCCGCAUAUGCUGCCGAAGUCAAUGAAGAAGAACGGCGAGUUGACCUCGACCUCGUCGAAGAGAAGCGUGAUAUGGCCGCGGCCAAAGUUGCUGUUUACAAAAAUAUCGUAGCUGGCUACUACAACGCUCGGGUUAAACAUUUGCGGUUCAGUCCGGGAGACCUGGUGCUCAGGAAGAACUCAGUCAGCCGGGCUGAACCUCAGGGUAAACUAACCCCCAAGUGGGAGGGACCAUACCGUGUUGUUGAGUCCAGCCAAAAUGGAUAUUGUAAAUUGGCAUACCGAGAUGGGUCUCUGAGUGCCCCGAACUUGGCAUGCUGAAAAUCUUAAGUUGUACUACCCUUGAGGGUAUGUGCUUUUAAUCUUGAGUUAUUUCACACUUAUUUUCAUUUCAUUAUAAGUGAAAAAUAAGGGGACAAAGUAGCAGUAAAGAGGAAAACCGAAUUUAAUUAAAAAGAAAGCAAGAAUAUGAACUCAAUUCCAUUGAAUUACAUAAAAGUAGAAAGCCGAGGUCACCUUUAAUUAGGAAGAAAGCAAGAAUAUAAACUCAAUUCCAUUGAAUUACAUAAAAGUAGAAAGCCGAGGUCACCUUUGACCUCGGCCUACAAUGACAAAAAAAAAAACAAGUGCCUCUAGGCACUCCCUACCCUGACAUCCUGGCCCCCCGUGGUCGCGCCACCCGUUUCGGCACCCUGUCCACCCUCAGCUCCUCCACCGGCCUGGUCGUCUUCAGUACCAUCUAGUUCAAACUCCUGGAGCCAUUUGUUGAAUUCGGCUCGGACUUCGGUUAGGUCUUUCUCAGUCCGGAUGCCCUCAGCCAUGCUGUCGCAUAGCUCCUUGGCAUCCUCGUUAUAGUGCGAAGUGCUCUGAAGGGACUCCAGUUGUUCAGAGGGAAGAAAGGAUGCCGCGUCAUUAAUAGCCGACGUGUACCCGAACAUGAAGCUUGGCCGGGUGAGCUCGCCGAGGUCACGGAUGAAGGACUCUGACGUCCGGAAGGCUUCCACAGCAGUGACCCCGGCCUUGUCCAUGGCCUCCCUGUUUGACUGUUCUUCUUGGGCCCUCCUUUUUUUCUCCUCAUCAAGAGCAGUCACCAGGGAAUUGUUCGCGACCUCGGCCCUUUUGUUAGCCGCCUUGGCCUUGUCACGCUCCAACUCGGUUGCCUUCAGUUUUUCUUCCAACUCGGCAAUUCUCUUCUGGAGCUCGGCAGGAGGCUCAUAGUUUUCCAUGAACUUUCCAUACCGUUGAAUCAUCUCGACAAAAAAAGCCGUGGUAGAGGCCCAUGACACCGAGGCGCUCUGCAUCAACUCCCCUGCGGAGAGCUUCCUAGCAUAAGUGCUAUCUCGUGGCAGCACUGAAUGCACCAAGAGCUCCUGAGCGACCAAAGGGUUCUUGCAGCGAUCGUUGAAAUUAAUCUCCCACUCUGGACACCAGUGUGAUCCGGGGUGUCUCUUGUCCUCCUCAGCUGCCUUGAAAGGCACAUGAUGGAGUUUGAACAAAGAUGACCCCGUGACGGGGUUCUCCGGAAAUAUGGUCACACCCUGACCCCGGGGGGGAGUGGCAAUCGUGACCCAGCGAGAAGGGAUUCCCACCGGAAUUGCCGAGGCUCGGGAACCUCCCGGAGUGGCCGAGGUGUGCGAGCCCUCGCCCACGAUCACCACGGCAGGCUCGCGGUCGCCCGACGCCGCGGUGGUUUUCUUAGCCGGCCUGGAAGAGGACCCUGCAGUGUCCUUGCGCUUUUUGGGAGCUCUUUUGACCACCUCGACAUCUCCCGAGGUUAUCAGGUCGAAAAUCUUCGUCACUGCAAAGUAGGAGACGAAGUCAGUUAGAAUUCAAGAGGGAUAAACUAAAAGGGAAGAAAUGGAAAAAUACAAAGUCUGUGAAGCCUAGUCGAGAGUAAGACAGGCUGGUCAGAGCUCGUCAAGGCUCAACUGAUCCCGCCUUCCACGAGCACCACUUCGGGAAAAUCCCAGCAGUUUAUCCUGAGGCCCGACCCCGUUAACUUCUGGAAGUUACGCUCUUCUAACUUCCCUGGAGAUAUCUCCUUGAUCGAGGUGGGAGGCCUCCACCAGAAUCCGCGAGGGAAGUCAUCGGCCGAGACGAAGAAGAAGUUUUGCUUCCACUCCUUUAUUGAGUUCGGAGCAUCAACCACCAACUUCGGAACUUUGUUUCCGAAGUAGAACCAUCCUUUUUCACUUCUGCUGUUCUUGAGUGAGUAACAGCGGCGAAAGAGGUUGACCUAAGGUUGUAUCUCCUGAUGUCGGCAAAGUAGCUGGAAGCCAACGAGAAUGCGAAUAGCGUUAGGGGUGAGUUGAGUGAUUCUCACCCCCCAGUACCUCAGGCAGUCCCGAAGAAACCUCGUCGUGGGCACUCUGAGUCCGGCCUCCAGCUGUUCCUGAUAGAUAGUCACCUUGCCCUUUGGUGGCAGUGCGGCUGACUGAUGCGGUUGGGGUAUGUAAAUACUAUAAUCCCUUCUCCAGGGAUACCUGCGGACCACCUCGGCUAUUGAGGCUUGUCCCAUACCACUACUGAAGAACGGCAUCUGGCCGUAGUCGAGAGUUGCCACGUUUGGAGGAGUGGAAGGUUCUUGUACUCCCUCGUCUCUAGGGAUCUCAAUCCCGAGGUCAUCGUUGUAUAGGACCUCGGGCUGGACCUCGAUCUCCUCGGGCUGCACCUCAACCGCCUCAGCUCGGCGUGAUGCCUCGGCACCUCCACCCUCAGCUUGGUGAGAUGCCUCAGCACCUCCGCCCUCGGACGCGGUCCUUUCCUGGGAGGGGUCAGGCCUCUCUGCCUCAGUGAGGUCAGGUCUCACUGUCUCUUUGUGCGUACGAGCUGUUCUAGCCAUUGUAUCAGAAGGGGAAGAAGUGAACUUACUUAGAAUCUGCGACUGGAAGAAGAUGCCGAAGUAGACGUGGUUUAGAAAGGUUGCCGAAGUGAAAAGAGAAAGAAACAGAGUUCUGGGGUGAUUCUUGAUUUUUGGUGAAGAGUAAAACGGUGAAAAAAGACCACUAUUUAUAGGCCACCAGGGUGAAACCCAAGAGACGGCACCCUCUCUCUUCAUUAAUGGGAGGACUGUUCGUCUGCCAACACAGCUGACAGCCGUCCCUUCAGUUAUCACUCAGUCCCAUCUAUGCGGUCAUGACGUGUCCGUGUUCCGUGUUUUAUACGCUUCUCAGCUUCGGGAAGUAACGACCACGGCGGAUGCCCAUCUCGCCCUUCUCAAAGCUUGGGGGGCUUAGUGAGGAGGGCCAUUUAGGCUCGGAGCGCCCGAGGCCUAGUUCCCCAUCAUUUCCUGAAGUGCCGCCUCGGGUAUUAUCCUGGAAGGCGAUCGCGGCCCAUUUACCACCUCGGCUACAAUGUCAAGUCGUAACACCGAGGUGGACAUUGAAUGACAACUACGAAAAGGGGAGAUGUGAUCUCUGACACCUGAGCAAAGGCUGCUCUGACCCGCCGCCUGAAUCUGACAGAAUGUCCCAUCACGUCUCUUCAUGGAGACCGGUCAAGUCCACCUGAUCCACUGACUAUCUCAGAUCUUUUGGGACCCGUGCAAACAUCUCCUCUCUCCUAUCGGUCCCCUAUAAAUACACAAUAUUUCUACUGAAAAAGGGGAUGACCAAUUUCUGGUAAAACACACUCCACUCAUUACUUACUUCUCUAUAUCCGAACUGACUUAAGUUUCGGAGUUAUACCGGGGGAUCCAGCCCCUUUUCUUAUUCAAGCAGGUGACUUCGUCCAAGAGAGUUGCCCAAGGUAAAGAUAUUCUUCGAAUUGAGGUGACUCACUCCUGCGGGUCGAAAAUCACCUCUUCAAAUGGUAGAAAGUUUUCUUAAGAACCAAGAACAGCAUUAGUAUUCCCUCUGCUUCCAAAAACUUGUGUAUUAAAUAGAUUAAUGAAUUGUUUAACAUGCUCAUCUACUUGAAAAUGCACAAUACCCAUAACCCACUGAAAUUUUUGCAGGAAAAGGGAAAGAGAAUCUGUGUUUGAGAGCUUCAUGAAGAUGUUGAAGAAUAAGAAUAAAAGCCCAAUGCGAGGAUGUUUUCAAGUUUUUCUAUGUCCACUUUAAUUUGUAAAUUGAAUUUUACAACUCAAUUAAUUCCUUGUUUGUGAGGUACGUAUUGUUUUACGUACCAUGCCGUACAUGUUUGUAAGGAUUUCUAUCCUAUUGGCAAAAGUCGGUUCCAUACAAUUAAUCAAUUCAUUUCACUUCUAUUGGCUCUACUAUUUAUGCAUGUUACGACACUCUUUCCCUUAUAUUUUGCCUUUAAUAUUAUGAGUCAAUAGUAAUAAUGGGCCUUUUUCUUAAAAUUAUACUAUUAUACAUAGGUAGUUUGGUCUAACGCUAAAUUCAUGUUUGUCUUUCUUUUAUUCCCUUUACAUCUCAAAGUAUACUAUAGUUUGUAAUCAUUGUGGUGAUGAUAUUACCAGCUGGUACUUAUAGUUUAAGGCAGAGACAUGAUAUUAACAACUAUCUCAUUGAAACAUAAGUCAAAAUCAUGACAAGUGUGAGUCUUGGUUAAUGCACAAUUUGUUAGUGGAAUUUAUAUUUAUAAAACUCAAAAAAAAUUUUUGACAAUGCUAUUACUAAUUAAUUAAGGACUUCAUUGCUAUAAUUUAUCGCUUACUAGUUUAAACUAUAAAUGAUCUCAAUACUUUUCUCCAUGAUGUCGAUUUCUUUAGACUACGAAAGGGAAAAAUUAGUGACAUAUCCCUUACUGAUUACAACAUCAGCAAAAAUUAGUUAUAAACUUUUCCGGUGGUUUUAAAUCCCUCGGGCACUAAGGUUUUUUGCACAUCGAGUGAAUUAAGGAACAUAGGCAAUUCGUUCUGCAUACCAAGUCCUUGUUUAAGAUGCACGUACUAAAAUGCAUCCACUUCAUUAAUUUGGAAAAUUGCCAUAGUUUUUUUUAAGCAUUUUGAUUUUUUACAUGAUUCAAAAUUUUCUUAUUGGAUACAAUCACUUUGUGUCAAGAACACAUUUUCAAUCAUCUUUUUUAUCUUCUCAAUAAGAAAAUAAAAAUUUAUUCAUGCUUUUCUAACAUAUCCAAUCAUUGAUCUGAAAAAUAAAGAAUUAAAAAAAAAAGACAUUUUCAAUCAUUGCUUACAGGGCAACUUCCCCAUGUGAACCUCUUCAAACAAAGCCAAUAAUAUGAAGGAACAUCUAAAUACACUUUUGCCCUAAAGGCUGGUUGCCUUGGGGUCAAAAUUUAACCUUCGGGAGUAUAAUUACCCGCCAAAUUUAUUAUUUUUUAUGGGUAUAUAGUUCCAAUUUUGCCUCCUGUUAAGCUUAUAAAUAUAUUACGACCCAGAAAAUAAAGGAAUCUUGAAUAGUAACAUGUCCAUUGACUUGAGUUGUCAUCAAUUUGGCUACUUCGAUUCCAUGAGGCCAAUCCAAUUCACACUAGCUAGAGAAAAUGGUGAUAAAGGCACUUAGAAAUUUAUAUGUAAUAUUGAUUGGUAGUAACUGAUAAGUAUAUAUUUUACGUGUUUUAAAUAUGUUUUAUUAGUUAGUUUUGGUGUGUUUUAACUACUUUUAUAACUAAUUAACUAGGAAUCUAGUGAAAAUAUGCAUUUUGUGGUUUGAAGUGUGAAAAUUGUAUUUCUAUGGAUUUUAAUGGUGAAAACUUCAUGUUUUUGUAGGUUUAAUGAUUCAAUCAUCAAAUGACAUGAUUUGAGAAGAUAAUUAGAUGAUUGAUGAUGUUUUGAAGUGAUAAAAAGAGAAUACAAAGUGCAAGAGAGGAAAUGCAAUCAAGAAUAAAAGAAGAAAAUUUUUGUAGCUUUGACAUAUUGUGGUAUUUUGGCAAUAUAUUGAGCUACAAUGAUUGGAUUAAGGUGAUUCUUAAACCAUUUGAAGCUAAGAUAUAGAUCUACAUUUGGUAUGAAGGCAUCGAAACCCAUGUCAGUCAUUUUCCUUGUCAAAAUGUUGAAAUACAGAAGUGCAACUCUGUUCUCGAAAGCUAAAACAGAGCUCUGGCUAGUCGAGGGUAUUUUCAUCAUUUCUUAGUCCACAGAGCUCCAAAUGAGAUGAUUCUUAAGGCAUUAGAACCCUAACUCAAAGAGCUACAACUUUCAUAUUUUGUACAAGAGUUAGUUCGGCCUCCAUCAUUCAGAAAAUAGUAGUUGAAGUGGUGCCAAAUGCAUAGAAGUGAAAACGCGAGCUAUCAAUACUCGACCUGAAGUCGCGUAUUCCUGAGGUCAUGCAUUCUCUUCUAUUUUCUGCAACUUGCCCUGCUUUCACAUAAUUUUUUCAUCUCAAUUCCAACUAUCAAUUUCGGCUAUAUCUGAUCAAGAAAAGUGUGGAAAGUUUGAAAGACAACUCAUAGGAGUUUCAAGAGUCAAAAAUUACAAUUAGAAACAACUCAUUUGGCUCUUGAAUCCUCUAUAAAUAGAGGCCUUUGAAGAACAUUUUCACAACUUUGGAAGGUUAGAGAAACUCCACAAAAACAUAGUCUUCACUAGAAUUUCCUUAGUUCAUUAGUUAGGGUAGUAUAGUAUAGUUAGUGUAGCUUUUCCUUCUUGUAUUUAUAGUUAGGUUUGAAUGAAGAUUCAGGAGCAAAGAUAGAGAGGUUGAUCUCAUGUGACAAGGGUGAUAUCUCUUCUACUACUUUCUCUUUUGUAUUUGAUUUCAUAUUUAACUAUACUACAAAUUUGGCUUUGUUUUUUUUUUUUAUCAUGUUUAGUUAAAGUUUAUGCCUAGAGUAUGGAUGACCUUUCUAUAUCUUGUUUGUGAUAUUUAACUGGUUAUUUGAUGAUGUUAUUUUUGAGCAAGUUAUUUAUCACUUUUGCUUUUCUAAUCGUGAUUAACUGGCCAUUAGUUGUGAUUAUCUAAAAGUGUUAAGUUUGUAAUGAGAAUUGGAGUUUAACACUAGUUCAAGGAAGUGAUAAAUUUAGGGAGUUCACUCAUGAGAGUAGAGGAACACCUUUGUGACCUAAGUGACUUGUUUCAUAUAAUUUCAUAGAAAAAAUGAACUUGUAAUUAAUUUCAUAACCACGAGAGUAAGUAUGGUUUAGCUAUAUGUAUAGUUGAUUCACUACGAGAGUAGGUUUCACAUACAUUAGAAAAUUACAUCAUAACUAGUCAAGAUAAUAUCAUUCAUUUAAUCAGUAAUCUCAUUUGCAUGAGUAGUAAGGCAUUCCAUAUCUCUAGGAGGUUUUUAGUAUUAUUUUCAUUACUUUUAUGUUUAUGGUAGUCUAGAUAAUAAUGGAGUUCAAAAACUACUAGUAAUUGAAAAUUUUCCCUGUGGGAUCGACCUUUAAUACCCUAUACUCGCUCUCGACUCGUAUACUUGCGAAAAAUCACGUGUGCGGUAUUUAGAAUUUAUAAAUGUAAAACUUGACUGUAGAUGAACUAAUUGAUAUAUGUAUACCCCGCACUCGUCAGUAACCAGCUUGUAUUGAUCCCAUUAUUGUGGAUAAUUGUGCUCUUAUGAAAAAAAAUUAUAAAAAAAUUAGCAAAAUUUAUGAUAACAAAUUAAAUUUAUUCAUACAAAUCAGUGAAAGAAGUAGAAUUUUAAAGACCAUGAUGAAAUUAAUACUUUCAAGGGCUCUAUUAGGAAGACUUCACUUGUUGGUGAAACUACACUAGCACAGUUAUAUGCACAUUUACUGUUUUGGUAUCUAAUUUCCUUGCCUUAAGUUGGGUGCAGAUGUUUAUAUUACAAAUAGAUGGUAUCAUAAAAUUGUUGUAUUCACGUUUGUUCUUUUUUUUUCUUCCUUAAGUUUUUUUCUUUAUUCUCGUGACUUCAAAAAUACGAACUCAAGAAAUUGGCUGCUUAAUCAAUAUGUCAUACAGGCUUCGCUAGUGAGGUAUAACUUCACAACUAGAGUCAAUAGAAAUUAUCAAAUGAUUUUUUAACAUCCAAAUUAAGCAAUAAAUUUUGUUUUCAUUUUAUGACAUAUAAUAGUACUACUUCAUGAGAGAUUUUAUAGUUUCUUUUAGGUAUCAUACCUACAAGUGAUAUUUGUCAUUGGAUAGUGACAGAAGUGUUAAUGAUUGUAAGAUUAAAUAUUGUUAAAUAUUGAAAUUUAAACUAUUUAUCUUUAUUGAAAGAUACAAGUUAAAGAAUCGUUCAAGGGGGCAAUUUUCCAUCUUGUCUUUUUGAAAAAACGCUAUCACAUUGUAUAGGCAUGAUAGGUUCAAAUUUGUCAUUAAAUUUAUGAUUGAUUUCCCUUUUAUUCAAGCCAAAUAUUGUUUUAAUUAUCAAAUUCUACUUAUAUUUGGUUAAUUGUACUAAUUGUAGGGCGGUAGAGCAAAAGUUGCUAAAAAUAGGUGAUUUUCUGCAAAUUGGUUGUCAAGGCUGAAGGAUUUGGGAUUCGCAUGUUCAAGGCCUGUUUCCAAGUUUGAUUCAAACUCUGGACAGUUUUAGAGGAAGAUUUGGAAGAUUUGAAAUUUCAUUAUUAGUUUUAUGGUUGAAUUAGGAAUCUUGGAAUAAUUUCUUUUGUGAUUUAUUUUUCUAUUUAGGAGACUAGUUGUUAUUUAGUAGUAGACUUCAAUUAGAAAACAAAGAGAAAAAGAAGGCCGGAAUCCCGCUUGAUUAAUACCUUGGCCAGGGAACAAUCUCGGUGGGGAGGACGGCCACUUAGCCUCUCAAUUCAUCUUGCUUUUCGUUAGUUUGAGAGGAAAACCAAUUGCAACUAGAUUCAAUGGAGUCUGGCAGAAUUUCUUCUAGGAUGCGUAGCUAAAUCCUCAAUUUUUAGUCGAAGGUCAAUUUGAAAAUUCGGUUCCAAAUAUCUGUGAAAUCGAAUUAUUUUACUUAUUUCUUUUAUUUAUUGGUAUUCGCACGUUUUCUGAUUUAACUUUUUAUGAUUGUUUUGUUAUUUGAAUGUCAAGGGUCCGAUAUUCGAAUUAACUUAAUAAUCUACUGCCAAAUUAACCGGUUAAAUCCGUAAUUGUUUGAUUGAUUAAUAUCAGUGGCGACUAGCGUGAUUGGUCCCAUGUUAGGAAAACGUCUGAUCUAAUUUAAACAAACCGUCGUAGCGUGUUUGUUGAUUAGGGUUGGACUUUUCUAAUUCUUAAUUCAAUUGAGAAAUUAAAUCUCCCGGUCGUACCUAAGAUUAUUUUUUUGUUAGCGAAAUAGUUAAUGGUCGUACCUUGACUAUCGAAAAAGUAAGGAAGAGUUGAUUGUUUAUCGCGUGUACGACAACUAUAAUCAAUCUAUUAAUGAGUAAUUGAAUUAUCUUUGCAUCAGUAAUCAGUUGAAUGGACCGUGUCUGAAAAGUUGUACCUUUGGCUAGAGUCUUAUCUGUUGUUGAUUCAUUCAUAUCUAUCUUCAUGCGUUGUUUUAAUUUAGUUAAUUAGUUAUUUUUAUAAAAACCCCUCAUCUCUGGACUCUAAAAGAAAUAAAUUAUUUCUAGUUCCUGUGGAUUCGAUCCUACUCACCGCUAUAUACAAAAUUUGUAUUUUUUUGAAUAAAUAAUUAUUAUUACACAGGCUUGACACCUGUCAAGGCAAAAUUUCCUUAACUUCAUCAUCUGUAGACGUAAACUUUCUACGGGUGAUAUAAUAUAAGGAAAUUUUGCCUAUACGAUGUGAUAGCAUUUUUUCAAAAAAGACAAGAUGGAAAAUUGCUCCCUUGAACGGAAAAAAUCAUGAUCUUUCCUCAAACUAGUCUACUAGUCAAUUCUUUACAAAAGAAUACUCGCUCCUAAACAUAGCCUGUUCAUCUACACUGUCCCGCAGAAUUCUAGAAAGUUAGGCAAAACUAGACAAGUUGACAGGUAUAAUCAUACCCAAGAUCAGGAACAAGCAGUUGCACAUUUCAAAAUUCGCUGCUGCAACAGCUAAUUUGAUGACUUACAACACUACACGGUCAAACUUUGAAUGGCAAUGGAUCUUUUGUUGUACGUCAUGAUGUAAUUUUCAUGUUACAUACAUUAAUAGGUUGAUAUCUAUAUUCUUUAAAUUAUCAUGAUAAUACCCUUAAUUAGAUUUAACUGAUAAAAAGAACACGUGUUAAUAUACAAAAGUGUGUAACGUGAAUGUUACAUUACUGUAUUGCAGAAGACCUAUAGUCUCUUCAUAUCUCUUCCUGCACGUAUCAAUUCGUUUCCUCUAGAUAAUAAUCUCCCAACUCGUUUCUUUACAAAUGCACCUUUUAUGUUUUAUUACCUCCAAAAGCCUUUACAGGGUCUUUACCCUAAAAAUCAAUUCACCGACUCGCAUUUGAUGUCAGAAAUUCUUAAGACGAAUUCUACUUUACUCAAAGAUUGACUGUUAAUAAUGAGACAGCGACCAUUUUGUAUUAUUAGACCGUCCUUCUUGAUAGGUAAAAGAAAUAGAGAGGAAAGUGGGUCCGUAUAUGGUCUUUUAUUCAUAGAUAAUACAACAUUACGCCAUCGAGCAUUCACACAAUAUUUCAAAGUCAUAGCAUGCCUAAGGCCCUGUUUGAUAGCUCAAUUUCGUAAUUAAAUUUAAUAGAUUCAAAUUUUAACACAUUUAAAUCAUUUGAUAACAAAAAAUUGAAUAUUUAAAUUAAUUAAGUAACACUGAACUUUCUAAACAAAACUUGCUUUCAAAAUUAAGUGAUAAGUUAUUCACUUAUCUUUGAAUGUGAUAUGCACUCAAAUAUAUUAAAUUUAAUAAUUUAAUGGAUUCAGAUUUCAGAUUUCAGUUUUAUUACACACCCUAAGUUGCAAAAUAAUACCAAAACUUGUUAUUAUAUAGCUUGAGAUUCAAAAAUUUAGAGCAUAAUUCUCAACCUAACACAAUCGAAUAAUGAAUAUUCACGAUUGUUUCAAAGUACAAUUUGAGGACAACCCAUUCCAACGCGUACACGAUUUUUAACUUUUCUAAAGUUGUUGAGAGCUGUUAAAAGAGAUUUACCAUGUUUACAUCUUCCAAGUCUUGGAAGUGAAAAAUGAAGCCACUGAGUGCUAUAAAAAGGGGGCUAGAGGCUGCCUAGAAGCAUAUCAGCCUAAAACAAGAAUUUGUAGUAACAAUGGGGAGCAAAGCAAAAGCAACGGGGUCUAGGCUGACUCCUCUUCUUACCACUGUUUUAGUGGUAUUUGUCGCCCUUGGCUUGCCCUUGGAAACUGCAGCUGAUUAUUACAAGUAUUCAUCUCCUCCUCCUCCUCCUUACCACUAUUCUUCACCACCACCUCCAGUGUAUUCACCUCCACCAACCCCUGCUUAUAAGUUACCCCCACCAUCUCCUCCAGUUUACAAGUCCUCACCACCACCUUACCACUACUCACCACCUCCGGUGUAUUUACCUCCACCAUCUCCAGUUUACAAGUCACCACCACUACCCCCUCCGGUAUACAACUCCCCGCCUCCACCAGUGUACAAAUACAAGUCCCCACCACCACCUCCUCCAGUUUACAAAUCUCCAUCGCCACCAGUUUACAAAUACAAGUCACUCCCACCACCUCCUCCGGUAUACAAGUCUCCUCCGCCACCUGUUUACGAGUACAAGUCUCCUCCACCACCUCCUCCAGUGUACAAGUCCCCACCACCUCCAGUUUACAAGUACAACUCACCUCCACCUCCUCCCCCAGUUUACCUGUCUCCACCUCCACCCUAUCAUCACUACUACGGUUCUCCUUCUCCUCACCACUACUAAGCAAGUGCAUAAGUUUUGAGGUAAUAAUACCUAUCCAAAACUUUAUCAACACAAACUGCCAUGUAUAUUAUCAUGCUAAGGACGUACACUUGAUCCAUGAAAAUGACUAGUAGAAGAUUUUUUUUAAGAACCAAAGAAAUACAUUAUUUUUUCGGUCUGUUUUCAAGAAUUUGAGCAGUAUACAGAUUAAAGAGUGUUUUUUUUUUUGUAAACUUGCUUGUCAACUUAAAAAUGCACAUAGCUGAAAGCCAACUGAAUAUUUGCAGGCAAAGGAGAAGGCAAUCGGUGUUUGAGACCUUCAAGAAGAUGUAGAAGAAUAAGAAUAAAAGCCCAAUGCGAGGAUGAUUCCAAGUUUCUACGUUACCAUUUCUACAUCUAAAUUGACUUUAGCUCCUGAGUUCCAUGUUUAUGGGGUUUGUACCGUUUUACGUACCAUGCAGUACAUGCUUGCAAGGUUUUCUGUCCUGUUGGCAAACUGCAGGUCCAUAUAAUAAAUGAAUACUAUUUACAUUACGACACUUUUCUCUUUUUCUCUUAUAUUUUGUCUUUAAUAUUGUUGAUCAUUUUUUUUUUAUCAAAAGCAUCAAAUGCUUAGGUAAUUUGGUCUAAUGCUAAUUGUUUUACUUUUAUUUUUCACCUACACCCCUUUUCAACUCAAAGGAUGCUAUAGUUUGUGAUAAUUGUUUAAGACCGAAGCAUGAUACUAAUAAAUAUCUCAUUGAAAGUCAAGGAAACUAACAUUAGGAAAAGUUUAAAUCUUGAUUUGAUGAAACUAUUUAUUCGUGGAAUUUAGAGAUACAAAACUCAAAUUGUGACGGUGUUGUUGCUAAAUUAUUAAGGACAUUAUCACCAUUAUUUUUCCCUGAUCACUAGUUUCAACUGCAAUGAUCUCAAUCUUUUUGUGACUAAUUCUUUCCUUAAUAAUUUAUAAAGACAAAACUCACAAAGAAUAUGUGACUAAUUCUUUCCUUUCGUCUUCUAAAGAAAAUGCCAACUGUUAGUUUAUCAAGGGGAAAAAGGAUCGACAUCAGUUAUUAUUGAAACUAGUAAGGAAUAAAUAAUGGUGAUAAUGUCCUUAAUAAUUUAACAACAGCACCAUCAGAAUUUGACUUUGAGCUUCGGUCUUAAACAAUGAUCACAAACUACAGCAUCCUUUGAGUUGAAAAAGGAAGUAGGUGAAAAGAAAAGUAAAAAAUACAAUUAGCAUUCCCUCAAAUUGUAGAAAGUUAGGUAGCAUUAUAGACAAGUUGAUAGCGGCAAUUUUACAUUUCAAACUUCACCUAUUCAAUAACUAAUUCGAUGGCUUGCUACAUGGUCAAUCUUUGGACCCCUUCCUGCCUCCAGAUAUCCCUUUCCUCAAUCAGGGGCUUCUACAAUUACCAGUUUCAAUUGUAUGGUAUAGUGUAAAUAUCAACAAAUUAGAUGUAGAUGCUAACAUAAUAAAUGUGAAUGCUAAGACAGCAACAUACAAUCGAACCUGCAAUUGUAUGAACCCCAAUCUCGCUUCCUAGUCCACCAUCUUUCUCUAGGUAAUAAUCUCCCUUCUAAUUUAUUCACAAAAUGCACCUUUCAUCACCUCCAAUAGCGUCGACAUGAUCUUUACCCUAGAAGACUAUUCACCGACUCUCAAUUGACGUCAGAAAAUCUAAGAGUAAUUCUACUUUACCCUAAGAUUGAUAUCAACAAGACAAGGACAAUUUAGAAUUAUUACACGCCUCUUCUUAAUAGGAAAAAGAAAUAGAGAAGAAAGUCAGGCCAGGUCUAAUUUCUUUUCAAAGGCAAUACAACAUUACGAAAUCAAGCAUUCAUUCAUACAAAUAUUUCAUAGUCACCGGUUUGCUGAGUAGAAAAAUUUAGACAAAAACUUAAUAUUAUAUUGUUUAAGAGUUAACAAUUUAGAGCUUAAUCUCCUUGUACUUUGGAGUUAACAAUUUAGAGCUUAAUCUCCUUGUACUUUGGACUAAACUUGAACGUGAAAGGAAAUCCCAAAACCAUAUUGGGCAUGAAUUCACACUUAAUAUACCCAAUAAAAGAUGGCGACUGGUGAAAGGCAGUGGAGACUGGUGGAGAGAUUUGAGGAAUAGAAGCAGACGGAAAAGCAACAAAUUUUUGCCGAAAAACGGUCACUUUCAUGGUUAAUUUUGCUACUCUCCAAUUGUACUUGACCAAUUACAACAAUUUCAUGGAGUUUGAUACGUGAAAAGAAUUUUUUAUAAAUUUUAUUUUGAUCCAUAAUGUUAUCUUUACAUAUAUAAAACAUUUUACAAUUUUGAUUUUGGCGCAGCUAACUUUUGGUUAACAAAAAUGCUCAUGUUUAAAAAACCAGAAAUAAAACAAAACAAGAAACAAAAGAAAUAAGAGGGUAGCAUAGACAUUUUGGAUUUUUCCGUUAAUUUGGAUGAUUUCCACCCACGUUCUAAUUUAAUCCAAAACACAAAGGAAUUACGUAGAGGUUUUAAAUAAUGAGGGAGCUUCAUGAUCGAACCCCAAACCACAAGGCGAUUUACUAUAUUUUACUCUUAAAUUUUGGUUUCAUCUCAUAGCAUACAAGAGUUCUAUUUCACUAUCUGUAGACAAAGACUUUCUAUGGUUGAUGUACCAUAGGAAAAAAUCUGCCUAUACAACGUGAUAGCAUUUUUUCAAAAACACAAGAUGGAAAAUUGCCCCUUAAACGGGGAAAUUCAUGAUCUUUCGUCGAACAAAGAAUACUCACGCCUAUUCAAGAUGGAAAAUUGCCCCCUUAAACGUCUAUUUGUCAAUUCUUGAAAAAAGAAUACUCACGCCUAAAACACGGCCUCUUCAUCUGCAGAAUUCUAAAAAGUUAGGUAAACUCUAUAAACAAGUUGAUAGGUACAAUCGUACCCAAGAUCAAGUACAGAUAGUUGUACAUUAACUGCUGCAAUAACUAAUCUGAUGACUUAUAAACAUAUCAUGGUCAAUCGUUGAAUGGUAAUGAGUCUUUUGUUAUGCAUUAGUAUUAGUGUGUACACUCUAAUAGAUUGAUACUUAUACUCUUUAAAUUAUCAUAAUAAUACCCUUAAUUAACUUUAACUCUUAAAAAGAAUACAUGUUAAUACACGAGUGUGUGUAACCUGAAUUGUUACUUAUAAAUUAGUGUGUAAUAGAUAGGGAUGGCAAUGGGGGCGGGUGCCCGCGGGGGGCUCUCGGGGCGGGGGUUGGGGCGGGGGGGAAUUUUUUCCCCCCGUUUAGAAAUGGGGCAGGGGACGGGGGAGUAUACCCCCGCCCCAUCCCCCGCAAAAAAAAAAUUAUAUAUAAUAUGUAAUUUAAUUAGUUAUAAACUUAUGAUAAUGAUAUUAUUAGUUAGAUGUAUUAUAUAAUGUAUAUUAGUGUAUGUAAUAUAAUUAAUAUUAUCAAUUAUAUGAAUAAUUAGACAUGUCUACUAAUAGAAUUUAUGAAUUAGUUAUACUAAAUUUACUAAUACAUUUAUACUAAAUUUCUAAUUACACUUAAUAGAAUAACACUUUUUUCUAAAACAAAAAAGCACAAACACAAUAAUGAAUUAGUGAUUGUAUGAUAGGGUGUAAUUUUACUAUUUAUUUUAUUAUUAAUUUCCCCUAUCACCUGACCUGAUGUGGAUUAAUUGCUGGAUUCUGCUCACUUUUAGUACUUUGUAUUUAUUUCAGGGAGUAGAACGGAAAUUUGAUAACAGGUGCUAAUUUGGCAGAAAAAGAGUCCAGAUGAUAGAGCUUGCCCCAAGGGCAUUUUUGGAAAGGAGAACUUGUGCCCAUCUUGGUAAUUUGGGAGAAAAGGGAAACAGACAAAAUGGGUCUAACAUGGAUUGGAAGCGGCCGCACAGUAGCAGGGAAGAGGGCAGACGUAAAAGCAAUUGCAGGGGGGAAAAGGAGUUUUUUUAGUUUUUAGCUUAGCAUCUGAUUUUCCCUGGGAGACUUUUGUUAAAGAUUUCCUUUUGGCUGAUAUUACGCAUGGCAGAUGGCUUUUAACUUAUUCCUCCAUCUUUGACUUUUCUUCUUUAGCUUGUGGCAGUGGAUUGCUACUUACGAAUGUCAGCACUUAGCCAUUCGUGGCUUUUGAUCUUUUCUUCCUUAGAAAUUCUGAGUAACCUCUUUUCCUUUGUGCGCCAGACGAAGUGAAAACUAUAAACUUUUGUAGUUUUUCUAUUCAUUCAAUAUAUUGAGACGAGUUGGAUUCUACCAAAUUUCAACGGACAUGGCCGCUGGUUUCUCUUCAAUUUUAUAUGGGCUUUGUUCAUCCAACAUGAACUAAUUUCACCACUCUAGUCAAGGAGCAACGAAGGCUCUGAUUUGCCUAAAAAUUGUGAGAUCGUUUUAAUUUAAUCUUUUCCUUUUAUUUAUUGGUAUCCGCACAUUUCUUGAUUGCUAUGCUUAUGGUUAUUUAAUUAAUUGAUUGUCUUGGAUCCAGAUAAUUAAUUGAUCUGAUAGCCUAUUGUCAAUUAGGGCAUUUAAAUCCGUAAUUGUUUAAUUGUCCUGAAAUAGUGACAACUGGCACGAUUAGAUUCGUGCCAGGGGGGAUAUGCGGGCUAAUCUAAAAUAACCCUGGUAGUGUGUUAUUUGGUUAGAAUAGGGCUCCUCUAAUACUAAGGCAAUUGGGGAAUUAAAUUCUACGGGCGUACCUAGGAUUAUUUCUUAAUUAGAGCAGUGAUUAACGGGCGUACCUUGAUCACCGACACAGUAAGGAGGGGUUGACCGUCAUCGCUUGUUUGGCAGUUAUAACCUAUUUAUCAGUAAAUAAUUGGGAUUGCCUUGCAUCAAUGAUCAAUUAGGUGAACCAUUGUUGAAGUUACUUCUUGGUUAGAUCUUUAGUUAAUAUUACCUUGAUUUUGGUGAAUUGCCAUUUGAUUUUUAGUUGCCUACUUUAUUUUAUUUUUAAUUGUUUCCUUGCUUUAAUUGAGUUAGGCCUUUAAUUAUUGUUAUUCUAAGUUUAGUGAAUUGUGGUUUAAUUCCUAAUUAGUUAUUUAUUUUUACUUUCUUAUUUGAAUUUAUUUGCUUGUUAUCAUUCCUACGAAAUCACCCCCCUGUGUUACUUUGGAUUUCUUAAGAAACAAAUAUACCCAAUCCCUGUGGAUACGACCCUACUUGCUCUGUUCACGAAUUCAUAAUUAUUUGUGAAAAGAAAUAACCAUUCCACUCGGGUAUAUCGGAUCAAGCAAAUUCUUCGGGAACAGGGUGAAUCAAGUAACCCAAUGCACACCUAGAGUCCCUGCUCCAGUACUUGGAAUUGGGUUUUGGUCAUUUUAACUGGCAAUUAGGUUUAAUUUUAUUAUUGCACAGGCUGACGACCCUGUCAAUUUUUGGCGCCGUUGCCGGGGACUGGCGUUAUUAUUUGUUUCUUUUUAAAUUCAUUCUUUGUCCUAAUUUUCUGGUUUUCUUCUAGUGUAUGCCUCGAUCUUCUCGUACAGGUAAUUUGAUUUUUGACCCUGAGGUAGAGAAGACCGCAUGUAGAACGAGAAAGGAAACCAGACAGCUCAGAGAAGAGCACUCCAGUGCUACAUCUCAGAGACCCGAGUCAGAAGUUGAACUAACAGAUUCGUUUGGUAACACUUCGAGUGACUCUGACCAGGAGGAAGACACCAUGGCUAAUGCACGAACAUUAAGGGAGUUGGCUGCUCCUGAUUUAACUCAGCAGCCUUUAUGCAUUACUUUCCCCACUUUAAAUGAUAACAUUCCAUUUGAACUAAAAUCUGGUCUGAUUCAGCUUUUACCCUCUUUUCAUGGUUUACCAGGUGAAGAGCCGUAUAAGCAUCUGCAGGAGUUUGAUGUCGUGUGUAAUAGUAUGAAACCCUCGGGAAUCACAGAAGAGCAGAUAAAAAUGAGGGCAUUCCUCUUCUCCUUGAAAGAUUCUGCGAAGGACUGGCUGUACUACCUGUCACCAGGUAGCAUCACCACGUGGGACCAAUUGAAGAAAAAAUUUUUGGAUAAAUAUUUUCCUGCGUCCAGGGCUGCAAGUCUAAGGAAAGAAAUUUGUGGGAUCAAGCAGCAUCCAGGGAAGUCACUUUAUGAGUAUUGGGAACGGUAUAAGAACUUGUUGCGCAGGUGCCCCCAACACCAAAUAAGUGAGCAAUUGAUCAUACAGUAUUUUUAUGAGGGGCUCCUUUUUAGAGACAGGAGCAUCAUUGAUGCCAGGGGGGAGGGUUGGGAUGGGUGGUACGGGGGGAGGGAGUGUAAGCAAGAGGUCUCGGGUUCGAGUCCUCCCGCUUACACACAAAAAAAAAGAUGCUGCAAGUGGAGGGGCACUGGUAAACAAAACCCCUCAGGAAGCACGGGAGUUAAUAGAGGGGAUGGCAGAGAAUUCACAACAAUUCAGUACAAGAGAGGAUGUCCCAAUACGUAAGGUGAAUGAGGUAGAGACACCCUCUAUGCAGCAGCAGCUAACUGAGUUGACCGCGUUUGUUAGGCAACUGGCUGUGAGAAAUGCAUCACAAGCCAGGGUGUGCGGGAUUUGCACUGGUAUGGGUCAUUCUGCAGACAUGUGCCCAAUGAUUCAGGAAGAAACUGCAGAACAGGUGAACAUGGCUGACCACGCGCCCGCGCCAAGGAAGCAGUACGACCCUUACUCAAGCACCUACAACCCCGGGUGGAGAGAUCAUCCCAACCUCAGUUAUGGAGAAAAUAGGCAGCCCAACAUUACACCGAACAGGCAGUCUAACUUUGUGCCAAAUAGGCCACCAGGGUACCAGCAGCAAUAUCAACCCCGACCACCUCCGUCCCCAAGCUCUGGCCCAUCUUUGGAGGAGAUGAUGAAACAAAUGAUGACAACUAUGGCUCAAAAUCAGCAAAUGACGGAGGCAACCAUUAUGCAAAAUCAGCAAAGGACGGACUCCGAAAUGAAGGAUAUAAGGAAUCAGAUAAGUCAAAUGGUCACAACAAUCAACCGUUUGGAUUCCCAGAACCAAGGUAAAUUGCCAUUUCAGCCCGAAUUAAAUUCGAAGAACGUGAGCGCAAUGACCCUAAGGAGCGGGAAAGAAAUUCAGGGGUCUGAACCUGUGAUCCCUAAGGAUAAGGAUGAGGAAAAGAUCGAAAAUGAGCUUGAAAGGGAGGACAGCAAUGGUGCAGAUCUAAAGGUACUUCCUGACCCAAUAAUUACAGCUAAAACUAACCCGCCUCCUUUUCCUAGCAGGUUGGAAAAAUCGAAAAAAGAGGAUAAGGAGAAGGAGAUCUUGGAGGUUUUUCGCAAGGUUGAGAUAAAUAUCCCCCUCUUAGACGCAAUCAGACAAGUACCAAAAUAUGCCAAGUUCCUAAGGGACUUGUGUGUCAACCGAAGGCAGUUGAGGGAAGAUGAACGGGUUAUUGUUGGGGAGAAUGUGUCAGCAGUCCUGCAGAGAAAGCUCCCACCAAAGUGCGGGGACCCAGGUAUGUUUACUAUUCCCUGUAGGAUAGGUAAUACUGUGAUAGAAGGGCCAUGUUGGAUCUGGGAGCAUCAAUUAAUCUCAUACCUAAAUCUAUCUAUGCUUCUCUAAAAUUAGGUCCAUUAAAAGAAACUGGAAUAAUCAUUCAAUUAGUUGACCGAACUAAUGCAUAUCCUGAUGGGUUGGUUGAAGAUGUGUUGGUAAAAGUUAAUGAUUUGAUGUUUCCAGCUGAUUUUUAUGUACUUGAUAUGGAUGAUGAUCACUCCCCUGAUCCCUCACCUCUGUUAUUGGGUAGACCCUUUAUGAGCACAGCACAGACGAAAAUUGAUGUUAAUAAGGGUAUCUUGUUCAUGGAGUUUGAUGGGAAAAUUGUGCAUUUCAAUAUCUUUGAUACUAUGAAAUAUCCCUCAAACUCCAACUUUAGCACAGUUUUCUCUGUGAGUGCUAUUGACCCUGUAGUGCAGGAAGUGUUUGAAACUGAUGGCAGGGAUGAGUUGGAGGUGGCUUUGACCAAGCACCUCGAGUUGGAGACAACUCCUGAGGUGGAAUGGAGCGAGGACCUAAAAUGCACAAUAGGUGCAUUACACUCAUUGCAGUCCACCACGAAAAGGUAUGAAGUCUUACCUAUUUUUACUCCCGAACCUCACCAGAGGGUGUUGCCAUCUGUGGUGCAGGCACCUGUACUAGAAUUUAAACCUCUAUCAGAGCACCUGAAAUAUGCAUAUCUGGGUGAUAAUGAGACACUCCCGGUGAUUAUCUCAUCGACACUGUCAAAAAUCCAGGAGGAGAAACUGAUCCGGGUCCUUAGAGAGCAUAAAGAGGCGAUAGGUUGGACAAUCGCAGAUAUUAAGGGGAUCAGCUCGGCCAUCUGUAUGCACCGGAUUAGACUAGAAGAGGAUGCCAAACCUGUUAGGCAGGCUCAAAGGAGGCUCAACCCCCUAAUGAUGGAAGUUGUAAAGAAAGAAAUUUUAAAAUUGCUAGAUGUGGGGAUUAUUUUUGCAAUAUCAGAUAGCCCUUGGGUAAGCCCGAUCCAGGUAGUCCCAAAGAAGGCAGGGGUGACGGUGGAGGCAAACCAAACGGGUGAGCUCGUGCCAGUGCGCAAACCCACUGGAUGGAGGCAGUGUAUAGACUACCGUAGGCUAAACGCCGUCACCAAAAAGGACCAUUUCCCUCUCCCUUUCAUUGACCAAAUGGUUGAACGUUUAGCUUGUAGAGCUUAUUAUUGCUUUUUGGAUGGAUUUUCAGGAUACUUUCAGAUAGCAAUUGCUCCAGAGGAUCAAGAGAAGACAACCUUCACGUGCCCGUUCGGGACCUUUGCUUAUAGACGAAUGCCAUUUGCGUUGUGCAAUGCACCUGCAACAUUCCAGAGGUGUAUGGUAAGUAUUUUUUCUGAAUAUGUGGAGAAAAUUAUUGAAGUUUUCAUGGACGAUUUCAGUGUGUAUGGUGAUAGUUUUGAUACGUGUUUAGAUAAUCUGAAAUUGAUCCUGAUAAGGUGUAUAGAGACUAAUCUUGUGCUUAAUUGGGAAAAAUGUCAUUUUAUGGUUGAGCACGGGAUAGUCCUGGGUCAUAUUGUAUCGUCUAAGGGCAUAGAAGUUGACAAGGCUAAAAUAGAUAUUAUUUUUGCAUUACCUUACCUCGCGAGUGUGCGGAAGGUGCGUUCUUUUCUUGGACAUGCAGGUUUUUAUCGAAUGUUCAUCAAGGAUUUUUCAAAAAUUGGAGCCCCGUUAUUCCAACUCCUACAAAAGGAUGUGACCUUCGAAUUCGAUGAUAAGUGUGAGGAAGCCUUCAACAAGUUGAAAGAAUUGUUGACCUCACCCCCAAUUAUCCAGCCCCCUGAUUGGAGUCUACCAUUUGAGAUCAUGUGCGAUGCCAGUGAUCAUGCCGUAGGGGCUGUAUUGGGGCAAAGAGUAGGGAAGGCAGCUCACGUCAUCUACUAUGCAUCCCGAGCAUUGAAUGGAGCCCAAUUGAAUUACUCCACUACUGAAAAGAAGCUUCUUGCAGUUAUUUUUGCUUUAGAAAAAUUCAGGUCAUAUUUGCUAGGUGCUAAAGUAAUUGUAUUUUCUGACCAUGCAGCAUUAAGGUACCUAAUGACCAAGAAAGAUGCCAAACUGAGGCUCAUUAGGUGGAUAUUGCUACUGCAGGAAUUUGACCUGGAGAUACGGGAUAAAAGGGGCUCAGAGAAUUUAGUAGCUGACCAUCUGAGUCGUAUACCCGUUGGAGAGGAUAAUGAACCAUUGAGGGAUGCGUUCCCUGAAGAGCACUUAUUUUCUUUAAAUUCUCAGUUGCCUUUGUAUGCCGAUCUGGUCAAUUAUUUGGUAACUGGUAAUUUUCCUGCAGGUUGACCAAAAUCGAAGAGGGAUAAAUUGAAGAGCGACGCCAAGUAUUUUAUUUGGGACGACCCGUACCUAUGGAAGAGGUGUGCAGAUCAAGUGAUGCGGAGAUGUGUAAGUGAAAUGGAAUUUCAAUCGAUUUUAGCUUUUUGUCAUACUUUUGCCUGUGGAGGUCAUUUGGACCCAAGAGAACUGCUCAUAAGGUUUUAGAAAGUGGAUUUUAUUGGCCUUCAUUGUUUAAGGAUGCCUAUGUGUUUUGUAAGUCAUGUGAUCGCUGUCAAAGGGUAGGUAAUAUACCCCGUAGAGAUCAAAUGCCCCAAGUCCCGUUGAUUUUUAUUGAAAUUUUUGAUGUCUGGGGUAUAGAUUUCAUGGGGUCUUUUCCUACUUCAUUUGGUUUUUUAUAUAUUUUGCUGGCAGUUGAUUAUGUGUCUAAAUGGGUGGAGGCUAAGGCCACUCGAACUAAUGACUCGAAAGUAGUUGCAAAUUUUGUCAGGUCUAAUAUUUUUGUGCGAUUUGGAAUGCCUAGUGCUAUUGUCAGUGAUAGGGGAACGCACUUUUGCAACAAAAUCAUAGCUGCGUUGUUUCGCAAGUAUGGUGUACUCCAAUGGGUCUCAACGUCGUACCACCCUCAGACCAAUGGUCAAGCGGAGGUGUCGAAUCGAGAGAUCAAGUCUAUCUUGGAGAAAAUGGUGCGCCCCGAUAGGAAAGACUCGAGUCAAAGGCUGGAGGACGCACUUUGGGCCUAUCGGACGGCGUACAAGACUCCUAUAGGGAUGUCACCGUACAGGUUGGUAUUUGGGAAGCCGUGUCACCUUCCAGUGGAGUUUGAGCACAAAGCUUUUUGGGCGAUAAAGUAAUGCAACAUGAAUUUAGAGGAAGCCGGUGCCCAACGAAAGUUGGAUUUGCAAGAAUUAGAAGAGAUCCGGAACGAGGCUUACGAAAAUGCACUAAUUUAUAAGGAGAGAAGCCGGAUAUUUCAUGAUCAACAAAUUUCAAGAAAAUCCUUUGAAGUUGGUCAGAAGGUCCUACUAUACCAAUCCAGGCUCAAGCUAUUCCCAGGUAAACUACGUUCCCGUUGGAUUGGACCUUUUCUUGUUACUCAUGUUUUUCCAUAUGGUGCAGUUGAAAUCCGGAGCGCUAAAACAGACAACAAAUUUGUGGUGAAUGGACACCGUCUCAAGCAUUACUACGAAGGAUUUUCAGGUGAAAAGGUGGAGACAAUAAGUCUAGACGCGCCACCGUGUCCUAAUCAGUGACAUUUUACUAUGUCUAGCCAAAGACAUUAAAGACAGGCGCUCAUUGGGAGGCAACCCAAUUGUCCCUUUUAAUUAUUUGUUUGAUUUCGUGUGAUAGUUUAAAUAUGUUUUCCUUGAAUUCGACUGAUUUUGGGUUUCAGUUUUCGUUUUUGCUGAAUUGUAGGUGACCUUCAGUCUUGACGCGCCCGCGUGAUGACAUGCAGGAAGCUCACGAUCAGAAUCGUCUGAAAGCUCUCUUGCCCUUUUGACGCACCCGCGUGAUGACGUGCAGGAAGCUCACGAUCAGAAUCGUCUGAAAGCUCUCUUGCCCUCUUGACGUGCCCGCGUCACGUUCGCAGGAAAGGUACGGGUUUCAAAAAUUUAAAGAAAAAAUAAUAAUAAUAAUAAUUUAAAAUUUUGAAAUUAACUUCCGUAAAAAAAAAAAAGAAGAAAAAAAAUUUCACCGUGGCUUAAAUAGAGCCUAAAGAAGAGAAAAAAGAAACAAUUUCUUUCUUUUUUUUUUCUUUUUCUUCUUUCUUCCUUCUUUCUUUCUUUCUUCUUUCUCUUUUCCCUCUCUCUUCUCCCCUGUUUCUUCUCCCCUGUCCGUCGCCCGUGCGCCCCAUCGCUGCUCCACCUCCACACGCACGCCGACGCUGCGAGCCACCUGCGACCCCAGCGCCAGAUCUGGACCAUCGCCGAAACCCGCAGCCUCCGCCACCUCCACCUGAGCUCUGCCUCGCGCGCAACCCAGCUGCUCUGCGCCCGAAGCUCCACCGCCGCCACAGCCUCCCCACGCAGCUCCCUGCUCACGCGGCCACAAGCCCAUUGGAAACGGGACAGAGACUGCCGCCGAGCCACUUGCCCGCGUGACCGCCGCUGUUUUCCACCACCUCCCUCACGCGAGCUCUUUCCCUCUCAGCAGCAAUCCACUUCACAGCGCACCCGCUGCGCGCCGUCGCAGCCCUCGCAGCUCCAGCCCGUCUGGUCUAGUCCGCCGCGCGCACCAACCACCCACGGACGCUACCCCCAUCGCUAACCCACGCGGCCUCCACUCCAGUCUGUCCGCCGCCGCUGCUCGUGUCUCCCUUGCGCACCUCACGCCACCCGCUACUGUCCCCUUCCGUUUGGUUAGCAUCCACGGUGGAGGUAAUUGGAGGUUAUUUUCUCAAUUGUGUGACUUCCGCCUGUGAUACUGGUUGCAUUAUUUUUGCUGGGAAUUGCUACUUCUUUUGGGUUGGGUUCAACUGUGCAAUUAAUUGGCCAACUGGAGCCAUUUGUUGGGAUUUUGGGUGAGCUGAAAUACUGCAUUUGUGUGUUACAUUGGGAGGUUUAUUGGGUACAUUCUAACCGCUGUUUUCCAUUGUUACUCUCGCUGGGGUGUCUAUUAAAUUGCGAUUGAAGUAUUUUGGAUAUUGCAUGUUGAGAUUGAGGUUUCAUUGAAUUUGGCCUACGUUCUGCCCCCAGUGGUACUGGUGGGAAUAUUUUCAAUUGAAUUUGUUACCUCUAGUUGGUUGGCUACAUUAUUAUGGUCGAAUUCCUAAGUUGUCGUCAUUGCAUUUGUUGAUCUUGAUUUGGGGCAUUAACCGGCCAACUGGAGCCAUCUGUGCGUUUUUAGGCGCUAUUAUUGGUUUCUUCUCCCUUAACUUUGUCAACUAUAUUUGGUUGGGUAUUUGGUUGACUGCCACGGACUUGUAACUGUGUUUUGCUUCUAAUUGACCAGUUGCACAGCAGUUUUUUUUUAAUUGAUAGGGUGGUUAUACCUCUGGAUAUUUGUAUCCACUGGUUUGAGGACAUGGUGAGACCAAAAUCCUCCUCUAGGUCUAGGACCCCUAGAACCUCGCAAUCCCAACCCCAAGCCUCUACUCUAGUCAAUACCCCUAUAAAUCAACCUACUGCUCCCGGUGUCCGAACCUGGUUAGGUAGGGGUAGAGGUGCCCACGUGGCUUCCGCCACUCACUUGGGAGGGCAUUUGGAAUUCACUAGAGCCGCCGAUCAGCGACGCUAUGCUCAAGCUUGUGAGCGGCGUAUCAUUCCGUGCAAAUGCGCGGACCACAUUACUAUGGUUUUUCUGGGGAUCCAAGGGGAGGUUGAGCGCAUGUACACCGCCAUUGGAUGGCGCCCCUAUCUGGAUAUUUUCCAGCCAGCCUUUGUCGAGUUGACUAGAGAGUUUUACACCACUUUUAAGUUUGAAUUACCGACUAGGUAUACUGUUGCGACUCCCGAUAUCAUUCACUUCCGUCUCAUGGGCCAGGAAUUCAAUUUCUCUAUCACCCAGUUCAAUCUGGCUUUCGGUUUCAUCACUCGGGAGUAUGCAGAGACUAGGGAAUACGGUGAGAGUGCCUGCGAUUUUGUGGAACCUUUCCUUACCGCCUACCGUGAGGUGUGGGAGGACAUGUCUGUGGACAUGCAGCGUUACGAUCCCUCUCGGUCUCGGAGCUCCUUUCUAGAGGACCCGAGUGCUCGGUAUGUUCAGCGGCUUUUAGCAUAUAGCUACUCGGGCAGAAAGAACAGCUUCGGUAUUAUCUCUCGGCCGGAGCUCUUCUUCCUUUGGUGUAUGAAGAAUGGGUUCAAGGUCAAUUUGGGUUGUUGGUUGGCGGCACAGUUCAAGACCGUCAUGGCAAAGAAGAACAAGCCGUUGAUUCUUGGGUCGUAUAUCACGUACUUGGCGGUCCAGCUAGGCGUUCUGAAUCUACAGGAUCACGAUUUGCACUUGGCCUGCGACAUGGAGUAUCUCACUGCUGACCGGCUAGAGAAGAUGGGGGUUCUGGAGCUUGUCGAUGGCCACUACCGAUUUGUGCCCCCGGGACCGCCCCGCGCCCCGCCUCGCUCUUCCUCCACCCAUUCGGCCCCAGUUGGCGGUGAUCCUGGCCCGUCGACAUCCGCUCAGCUCCCUCCACCAGCAGGGGCUGAAGAUUGGCACCAAAUCAGGACGCAGAUUCAGAAUUUGGACGCCCGGAUGAUUAGCAUCGAGAGCAACGUGGCGGCUAUAUCACAGAAUCUGGCGGCAUUCCUGCAGCACUCGGGUUUCCCGCCCCCAAUCCCACCUCACCCUCCACUAUGACCCGGUUUCAGGGAAGUUUGGUUACUUUCUCCCUCACUUUUGUUGUUUUUUGACACAUUGAGGACAAUGUGUCCUAUAGGUGUGGGGGGGUCUAUAGUCUUUCUAGUUUUUAGUAGUUGUUAGUUUUUAGUUUUUUAGUAGUUUUAGUUUUAUUUCUAGUUGCGUAUUUUCUUUCUUUUCUUAGUGCUUAUUCCCCAUGUGAAAAGAAAAAGAAAACAAAAAAAAAGAGAAAAAAAUGUUGGUUUAUUGACUCUAACUCUACUUUUGCCAAGUUUUUUUUAAAUAAAAAUGUAUCGGGUUAAUGUGGUUGGAUCCAGAAUAUCUCCCUGGUGAAUAUCGGAUUGCUUGGCUCUUUUGAUUUCUGUGUUAAUUUCUCUAGGCAUAGGGAAUGACUGUUGGCAUUUUAAUGUGAACUGGUCCAAUAUUGACUCCAGUUCUCUAUGUUUGGCAAUAAUGAGGCGAGCUGUUCCUAUUUUUGGUUCUUAGUGUUGUUAUUAUGUGUUUUUGGCUUUGUUUGGCUGUGAAUAAUCUGGACUGUACUCCGCUAUGAGUUACUACUGAGUAACCGAGGAUCGGCACCUAAAAGUGUCGAUUCUCGCGUCAAAAGGUGGUACUUUAUAUGAGUACGUGGUCGUAUAGCAGUAGGAGCUGAGUAACCGGGCUCCUUCAUCUAAAAAUGUUGGAGUUCGCGUCAAAAGGCCCCGACGGCUAACGACUAAGUCUUUUUGUGUUAAUUAUUAUUGCUUUGAAAAACAAAAAAAAAAAAGAACGAAAAAAGAGAGAAUAAAUAAUAGGAAGGCUUGCCGGUUUAUGGACUUAAUAUGGAGACUUGUGUGAAUAUUUGGACCAUUAGCUAAUAAAUGUUGUGCGCCAUUCCCUUUUCUUAGAGUAGUUAACCUGGAAAUUGAAGGAAUUUGCAGUUUAGGGGCUAACCGGGGGGGAGGCUUCUUGGAUUUUAAUCACCAAUGCUCGAUAUAUGUUUUUCUCUUGAAGAUCUUGGCAAUAUAGGAGAUUGGACAAUGGCCAUCAUCGAAUUUUGGUGUUCGUUUACUAUUCUUAUGCUUGAGGACAAGCAUGGUUUAGGUGUAGGGGGAAUUGAUAGGGUGUAAUUUUACUAUUUAUUUUAUUAUUAAUUUCUCCUAUCACCUGACCUGAUGUGGAUUAAUUGCUGGAUUCUGCUCACUUUUAGUACUUUGUAUUUAUUUCAGGGAGUAGAACGGAAAUUUGAUAACAGGUGCUAAUUUGGCAGAAAAAAGUCCAGAUGAUAGAGCUUGCCCCAAGGGCAUUUUUGGAAAGGAGAACUUGUGCCCAUCUUGGUAAUUUGGGAGAAAAGGGAAACAGACAAAAUGGGUCUAACAUGGAUUGGAAGCGGCCGCACAGUAGCAGGGAAGAGGGCAGACGUAAAAGCAAUUGCAGGGGGGAAAAGGAGUUUUUUUAGUUUUUAGCUUAGCAUCUGAUUUUCCCUGGGAGACUUUUGUUAAAGAUUUCCUUUUGGCUGAUAUUACGCAUGGCAGAUGGCUUUUAACUUAUUCCUCCAUCUUUGACUUUUCUUCUUUAGCUUGUAGUAGUGGAUUGCUACUUACGAAUGUCAGCACUUAGCCAUUCGUGGCUUUUGAUCUUUUCUUCCUUAGAAAUUCUGAGUAGCCUCUUUUCCUUUGUGCGCCAGACGAAGUGAAAACUAUAAACUUUUGUAGUGUUUCUAUUCAUUCAAUAUAUUGAGACGAGUUGGAUUCUACCAAAUUUCAAUGGACAUGGCCGCUGGUUUCUCUUCAAUUUUAUAUGGGCUUUGUUCAUCGAACAUGAACUAAUUUCACCACUCUAGUCAAGGAACAACGAAGACUCUGGUUCGCCUAAAAAUUGUGAGAUCGUUUUAAUUUAAUCUUUUCCUUUUAUUUAUUGGUAUCCGCACAUUUCUUGAUUGCUAUGCUUAUGGUUAUUUAAUUAAUUGAUUGUCUUGGAUCCAGAUAAUUAAUUGAUCUGAUAGCCUAUUGUCAAUUAGGGCAUUUAAAUCCGUAAUUGUUUAAUUGUCCUGAAAUAGUGACAACUGGCACGAUUAGAUUCGUGCCAGGGGGGAUAUGCGGGCUAAUCUAAAAUAACCCUGGUAGUGUGUUAUUUGGUUAGAAUAGGGCUCCUCUAAUAUGUAAGGCAAUUGGGGAAUUAAAUUCUACGGGCGUACCUAGAAUUAUUUCUUAAUUAGAGUAGUGAUUAACGGGCGUACCUUGAUCACCGACACAGUAAGGAGGGGUUGACUGCCAUCGCUUGUUUGGCAGUUAUAACAUAUUUAUCAGUAAAUAAUUGGGAUUGCCUUGCAUCAAUGAUCAAUUAGAUGAACUAUUGCUGAAGUUACUUCUUGGCUAGAUCUUUAGUUAAUAUUACCUUGAUUUUGGUGAAUUGCCAUUUGAUUUUUAGUUGCCUACUUUAUUUUAUUUUUAAUUGUUUCCUUGCUUUAAUUGAGUUAGGCCUUUAAUUAUUGUUAUUCUAAGUUUAGUGAAUUGUGGUUUAAUUCCUAAUUAGUUAUUUAUUUUUACUUUCUUAUUUGAAUUUAUUUGCUUGUUAUCAUUCCUACGAAAUCACCCCCCUGUGUUACUUUGGAUUUCUUAAGAAACAAAUAUACCCAGUCCCUGUGGAUACGACCCUACUUGCCCUGUCCACGAAUUCAUAAUUAUUUGUGAAAAGAAAUAACCAUUCCACUCGGGUAUAUCGGAUCAAGCAAACUCUUCGGGAACAGGGUGAAUCAAGUAACCCAUUGCACACCUAAAAUCCCUGCUCCAGUACUUGGAAUUGGGUUUUGGUCAUUUUAACUGGCAAUUAAGUUUAAUUUUAUUAUUGCACAGGCUGACGACCCUGUCAUUGUAUUUGUACCAAAAGUGAAAACUUAACUAUUUUAGUUGUAUUUAUUUCAUCAUGUUGGAUUGUAUUCAAAUAAUUUUUGUUUGAUUGUUUUUAUAAGUUUCAAUUGUAAAAUUAAAAUGAAUAAUAACUUGAUGAUGUGUUGAUAUUUUAGUACUUGAUUAUUUAUUAAAAUUUAAUUAUAAUAAAAUUUUAUUAACUCAACGAGAAAAAUUUUAUUAAUCCCGUGGGGGCACCCGCGGGGAAAGCGGGGCGGGGCGAGGGGAGUGGGAGGCGGAGGACGGGGCGGGGGCGGGGGAUGGGGGAGGGGUCCCCCGCCCCAACCCCGCCAUCCCCCGUCCCGUUGUCAUCCCUAGUAAUAGACUGGCAAGCAUUGUGGUGGUCAUUGAGCAACUUAUAGGAGAAAUAGUCCUAUAAGCUGUUCAAUGACCAAUCACAACUUGCUAAUUGGAUGACUAAUAUAGCUCUAGCUGUAAUGUUUUAAUUAAAUUACAUCACUAACGUUGGGAUGACUUUUUAACCAAAAAAAAAAAGCCUUAGUUCAAGCUUUUCCCUUUAUUGUGCAUUUUUUAAAGCAUUUGAAAGGCACUGCAAAUCUGUCAUUUUGGACAUUUUAUUAUUGACUAACAAUGAAAGCCGUGGACGUCUACCCAUAACCAACACAAGAUUAAAUUAAUAUUAGAAAAAAUAAUUGAGUAAUUGGAAAAAAAAAAAAAAGAAGAGUCUAAUUUUCAUUGAAACCCACCGACAAACUAUACGUGUCCAUGGCUUUUGAAUAGUGCAUUCAACGUUUAAUUGUAUGGUCCAGUUCAUUGCAGAUUACAUGGAGUAAAGAUUGCGCUCUUUCCUUUUCACCCCUUUUGGAAUCGAUACUGUGGAGAAUUGGGUUUUUCCCUCCUUUUUUUCUUUUCUUUCCUUCUGUGGUUUGCAAAACAUACGUAAAAAUAUGAAAUCCGAAGCAUUCUUUAAUUGGUAUUAAGUAUUGUUGUUGAAAUUAAAAAGAAAAAAGAAAGAACAACAAAAUUCCCAAUCUGGGUUGAUUGUUGAGCUCUAGAUUGGUUGCAUCGUGCUUCCAUAGAAGCAAGAUUUGUAAAAUCGGAAUCCUACAUAGGAUCGAUUUUAGUUUCACAGGAUCGGAUUGUAAAAUCGUAAGAUCCUACCAAAAGCUCUCAAUUGCAAUUAAAGGUUGCAAUUCUUUAAUAAAUUACAAAUAUACCACAAAUAUUUUCAUUUACUUGCAAAAUGGAGCUUCGUAUUUCACAAAUUUACAAAAAAAUUGUAGGAUCGUACGAUCCUACCGAUCCUACGAUCCUACACGAUCCUACCGAUCCUGCUACGAUUCUAUGCGAUCCUACAAAGAUUAAUAUGAUUUGCGACUCUGCAUACGAUCCGGAUCGAUUUUGGUUAUCCGGAUCGUAGGAUCGUAUGAUCCUACGAUCCGGAUCGCGAUUUUGACAACUAUGCAUAGAAGCUCUCUUAGUGUGAUACACUGCUUUCAAUCAGUUUAACACGGGAAAAAAAAAAAGAGAUGAAAAGCAAAUUUGGUGGAGAUAAUUUCAGAAACCUCCCCUGAAGAUUUUGACUAUUCUACUGGUUUCCCUUCAGAUUUUAAAAAUUACACUAAUCUUCCUUGAAGUUAAUUAUCUUGUAACAUUUAAAUUCAAUCAAUAAUUUAAAAAAUGAUAUUAUGAGAGAGAAAAUAAUAUGAUUUUAUCAUUGCCCCCCAUCUUACUACAUUAUUUAAUUAAUUUAAUAGCAACCCACACAUUAAAGAAAAAUAUUAAAAUUUGUUGUUUAUCAUUAAAGAUCAAAUCGCUUAUAACAUCAAAUAAUAGUAUAUUAUUUAUAUUUUUCACUUAAUAUAAUAUCCAAAUUACUCUUUUCAAUUACAUACCCAUUGUUAGAGAAUCAACAACAAAUAACCAAAAAAUUUGCAACCAAAAUAUUACAAAAAAAAUAAACUUUAACAUCAUAAAUAUUCUUAUCAACAUAUUAAAGUUAGUUACUGAAAUUUUUAUGCUGUUAAACUUCACUCUUUUUGAAUACAGAUUUUUUUGAUUAUUUGUUAUUAAUUAUGUUUGAUGAUGGGUUUAUAAUUGAAAAGAACAAUUUGAAACUUACAUUAAGUAAAAUAUAUAGAGUGAUAUACUAUUUUUUAUAACAUAUGUGAUUCAAUCCUUCUUGAUAGGAUUGGUAAUAGAGGUAGAGGGGGGAGUCGGCUGCAUCCGGUCUUCUUUUCAUAGAUAGUACAAUAUUGCGAAAUCAAUCGCAUUCACACAAUAAUAUUUCGAAGUCAAUGCAUGGCUAAGUUGCAUAAAAGUACGAACACUUGUUAUUAUAUAGCUUAAGAUUCAAAACUUUCGAGCAUAACCCUCCACCCAACACAAUUGAAUAAUGAAUAUUCACGAUUGUCAAAUCUGUCAAAGCACAGUUUGAGGACAACCCAUUCCAACCUGCAAAAGAUUUUUUACUUUUCUAAAGUUGUUGAGAGCUGUAAAAAGACUUACCAUGCUUGCAUCCUCCGAGCCUUGGGAGUUAAAAAUGAAGGCACUGAGUGCUAUAAAAAGGGGAAUAGAGGCUGCCUAGAAGCAUAUCAGCCUAAAACAAGAAUUUGUAGUUAAGAUGGGAAGCAAAGCAAAAGCAAUGGGGUCUGGGCUGACUCCUCUUCUUGCCACUGUUUUAGUGGUGUUUGUUGCUCUUGGCUUGCCCUCACAAACUGCAGCUGAUGAUCACUACAAGUAUUCAUCUCCUCCUCCUCCUUACCACUAUCCCUCACCACCACCACCAGUGCAUAUACCUCCACCUCAUCCUGUUUACAAGUACAAAUCUCCACCACCCCCACCACCACACCCAGUUUACAAGUAUAAGUCACCACCACCACCUCCUCAUCCGGUAUACAAGUAUAAGUCUCCUCCGCCACCACCACACCCAGUUUACAAGUACAAGUCACCACCACCACCUCCUCAUCCGGUACCACACCCAGUUUACAAGUAUAAGUCACCUCCACCACCUCCUCAUCCGGUACCCACAGUUUACAAGUAUAAGUCACCACCACCACCUCCUCAUCCGGUAUACAAGUAUAAGUCUCCUCCGCCACCACCACACCCAGUUUACAAGUAUAAGUCACCACCACCACCUCCUCAUCCGGUGCCACACCCAGUUUACCACUACAAGUCACCACCACCACCUCCUCAUCCGGUACCACACCCAGUUUACCACUACAAGUCACCACCACCUCCUCACCCAGUUUACAAAUACGAGUCUCCACCACCACCAGUUUAUAAGUACAAGUCACCACCACCUCCUCCACCAGUUUACAAGUAUAAAUCUCCUCCACCACCACCACCAGUUUACCACUACAAGUCUCCACCACCUCCUCCCCCAGUUUACAAAUACAAGUCUCCACCACCUCCUCACCACUACUAAGCAAUUGCUUCUGAGGUAAUAACACUUGUUCAAUAUACCCACUUCUGCAUGAUAAAGCAUAUCUCUAUCAACACAAACUGUCAUGUCUAUCAUGCUAAGUGCCUUCACUUCAUCCACCAAAAUGACUGCUAGAAAAUUUUUUUUAUGUUACCAAAGAAAGGCAUCAUUUUUUCCCUCUGUUAUCAAGAACUUGUACAGUAUAUAGAUUAAAGAGUAUUUUUUUAACUAGCUUAUCAACUGAGAAAUGCAUAUAGCUGAUAGCCAGCUGAAUAUUUGCAGGCAAAGGAGAAGGAAACCAUGUUUGAGACCUUCUUGAAGAUGUAGAAGCAUAAGAAUAAAAGCCCAAUGUGAAGAUGAUGAUUUCAAGUUUUUCUACGUUACCAUUUCUUUAUCUAAAUUGGUUGUAGCGCCCAAGUUCCUUUGUUUAUGGGAUUUGUAUCGUUUUACGUACCAUGCAGUACAUGUCAUGUUUGUAAGGUUUUCUAUCCUGCCGGCAAACCGCAGGUUCCAUGUGAUAAAUGAAUACUAUUUAUGUUACGACACUUUUCUCUGUUUCUCUUAUAUUUUGUCUUUAAUAUUCUUAAUCAUAUUUUUAACAAAAAUAUUCAAACACUUAGGCAAUCUGGUCUAAUGCUAAUUGUAUGUUUUACUUUUCUUUUUCACCUGCUCCCCUUUUCAACUCAAAAGGAUGCAAUAGUUUGUGAUCACUGUUUAAGACGGAAGCAUGAUACUAAUGAAUAUCUCAUUGAAACUCAAGGAAACUAACAUUGCGAAAAGUGUAAAUCUUGAUUUGAUGCAACUAUUUAUUCGUGGAAUCUAUAGUUACAAAACUCAAAUUCUGACUGCGCCAUUGAUAAAUUAUUAAUGACGCUAUCAUCAUUAUUUAUCCCUAACUAGUUUCGACUACAACUGAACCCAAUAUUUUCCCCAUGAUAAAAGUUUUUGACUAUUUUACUGGCCUCUCUUCAAAUUUUAAAAAUUACACUAAUCUUCAUUGAGAUUAAUUAUCUUGUAACAUUUAAGUCCAAUUAAUAAUUAAAAAAUGAUAUUAUGAGAGAGAAAAUAAUAUAAUUUUAUCAUUGCCCCCCAUCUUGCUAUAUUAUUUAAUUAAUUUAAUAGCAACCCACACAUUAAAGAAAAAUACUAAAAUUUGCUGCUUUUCAUUAAAGAUCAAAUUGCAUAUGCCAUAAAACAUAGUAUAUCAUUCUAUAUGUUUCACUUAAUGUAAGAUCCCAAUUGUUCUUUUCAAUUACAAACCCAUUGUCAAACAUGAUCAAUAACAAAUAAUCAAAAAAUUUGCAACCAAAAUAUUACAAAAAAAAACUUUAACAUCAUAAAUAUUCUUACCACCUCUAGUGCAUUCACCCUCAUAAAAUAAUUCAAGACCCUACUGUCAUAAAAUGACUGAUCAACUCCUGUAAACCUAAUUUGACAACAUUUAAAUGGAGAACUUUAGCUAAAAGAAUUAUGGUCAAGCUAAAGAAAAAACCAGUUAUUUUCCAACAUAUGCAACCAUUGAUCAGGGGAAAAAAAAAAGCAAAAAGACAUCUUCAAUCAUUUAAUAGCUUACAGGGCAAAUUAACCCUUGAGUGAAAACUGGUUGCUCUAGAAUUAAAAUUUUACCUUAGUUACCCAGGCAACUUUUUUGUUGCCUUUUCUUUUUCUUUUUUGGGUAUAUAGCUCCAGUUUUGCCCCCUCUGUCAAGCUUAUAUAAUUAUUAAGAUAAUAAAAGUGCCUUUAAUAGUAUUAAUAUAUCCAUUGACUUGAGCUGUCAUCGAUCGGUUUGGGCUACUUCGAUUCCAUGAGAACAAAUGGUAAUAAAAGUACUCAGAAAAUGGGGAGUCAUGAAACCCUUUUGUUCUAUUCAUUGCUAAGAUGCUUUUCUCUAUAAAGAGACUUCCUAACGAAAAUACUUUGUAGAUUUCUUUACUCCAAGUGGUGCAUGGAAAAUUAAUAUUUUCAAUUAUCAAAUAAAAUUCCCUUUUUUCGGCGUAGAUUUCAUCCAUCCAGCUGUUAACACAUUCUAUAAAUCCGAAUUGACUAAUCUUUUCGUUUCCAUUUUCCAACUUGCGAAUACGGCAUAUAGUGUCUGCUAAACACUAUAUAUUCUCUGCCAAAUAUGAAUACAUAUCACUUUUCUGAGCAAGUGCAGAGUCAUUAUCAUUUUUAUUCCCACCUAACAAAUUAGGGAUAAAAAAGUUAAUAAUCUUUACAUGCUAUCAGGUCACAAGUUAAUAAUCUUUUAAAGAACAUGUUAAAUUAAUUUAUUGGUAUGAAUAGUAGUCAAAGAAGUAUGUUAAAGUUAGUAAUCUUUAAAAUAAUAUGUUAAAAUCAUUCGUACAAAUUAGUCAGAGAAGUAGCAUAAACACCGCGAUGCAAUUAAUACUUUCAAUCUCAAGGUCUCUAUUAUGGAAAUUUGCAUCGGUCAAUAUACACUUGGCAUAAUAUAAUCUCCCAACUCAUUUCUUUACAAAUGCACCUUUAAUCACCACCAAAAGGUGUGGACAUGAUCUUUACCCUAGAAAACUAUUCACCGACAGGCAAAUUGACGUCAGAAAUACUGAGGAAUUCUAGUUUCCUUCGGGUUCAUGCCAUGUUGUAUCCUUCAACUGUAACUCGAUUUCUAAGCUGUAAUUUGUGACAUAAUAGUCCUUAAACUAUGAAACCCUUCUUACUUAAUUACAAUGGUUAAUACAAUGCCCGUGACUAGACAAGUAUGAAGCAACCAUAACAGAAAAAAAAUCCAAAAUUAGAGAAAAGAAAGAAGUUUCGCGACCACCACCAGUUUACAAGUCACCUCCACCACCUCCUCCAGUUUACAAGUCACCUCCACCACCUUACCAUUAUUCCUCACCACCACCUCCAGUGCAUUCACCCCCACCACCACCAGUUUACAAGUCUCCGCCACCACCUUACCAUUAUUCCUCACCACCACCUCCUGUGCAUGCACCUCCACCACCAAUUUACAAGUCACCUCCUCCAGUUUACAAGUCUCCACCACCACCUUACGAUUAUUCCUCACCACCACCUCCAGUGCAUUCACCCCCACCACCACCAAUUUAUAAGUCUCCCCCACCGCCUCCCCCAGUAUAUAAGUCACCACCACCACCUCCUCCAGUAUACAAAUCACCUCCACCACCUCCUCCAGUUGACAAAUCUCCACCACCACCAAUUUAUAAAUACAAGUCUCCUCCACUACCUCCUCCAGUGUACAAGUCAUCACCACCACCUGCUUACAAGUCUCCACCUCCUCCAGUUUACAGUUCCCCACCACCACCAAUCUACAAGUCUCCACCUCCACCCUACCAUUACUACUACAAUUCUCCUCCUCCUCCUCGUCACUACUAAGCAAUUGUAUCCAAGUUUUUGAGGUAAUAACGCUUAACCAAUAAAUUAACUUUCGCAUGAUAAACCUUAUCUCUAUCAAGACAAACUGCCAUGUGUAUCAUGCCAAAUACGUACACCUAGAUCCAUGAAAAUGAAUGGUAGAAAGUUUUCUUAAGAACCAAGAACAGCAUUAGUAUUCCCUCUGCUUCCAAAAACUUGUGUAUUAAAUAGAUUAAUGAAUUGUUUAACAUGCUCAUCUACUUGAAAAUGCACAAUACCCAUAACCCACUGAAAUUUUUGCAGGAAAAGGGAAAGAGAAUCUGUGUUUGAGAGCUUCAUGAAGAUGUUGAAGAAUAAGAAUAAAAGCCCAAUGCAAGGAUGUUUUCAAGUUUUUCUAUGUUUCCACUUUAAUUUGUAAAUUGAAUUUUGCGACUCAAUUAAUUCCCUGUUUGUGAGGUACGUAUUGUUUUACGUACCAUGCCGUACAUUUUUUUUUUCCAACAAACGGUAUCAUGUUAUAGAUAUUAACACUUGACCUUACAAGGAUUAGUUACAAAAAGGGGAUACUACCCUCAACUCUGUCCUAGCUAAAUCAGUCAGCCAUAUUGGGAAAUUAGUUUCCCAUUCAAUAUCAUGUACAAGCUUCACAGCAUAUUGUGCUAAUUGAUGGCUGAUGUGAUUUUCAGUUCUAGGUAUAAACACAAAAGAACAUUUUUCAAAAGCUAGACUAAGUUCCUGCACAUCUUCUAAGAUAGUUGCAGUCGUGUAGUCAUACUCCUUGCGUUUAGUAAUCUGCUCUACCACUGAUUUGCAGUCUGUAUGGACUAUAAUUUGUGUCCAACCUGCUUGGGUAGCCAUCAGCAGAGCAUUUCUCACAGCCCGAGCUUCCACUUCACUUGCCGAUCCCUUUCCCUGUGUGACAAUUCCUUUUGCUUUCAAAAGCUGUCCUUUCCAAUUUCUUGCUAUAAUCCCUUGUCCGGUCCUGACUCGUUUAGCUGAUAUCGCUGCAUCGGUAUACAGCCUUAUCUCUUCCUUCCUUGGCCGCACUCUCCUGGUAGGUAAGGCAUCAUUCAGCUUCCCUGCGAUCUCCUUCUGGUCUGUACUCCCUACCUGUUCAAACUCAAGCCAUUCCUCCUGUGCUUUCCUUACUAUUUUUACUGGAUCCUGGUUGGCUUGUUCAAAAAAUUUUUUGUUCCUGGCUUUCCAAAUUUGCCAAAGGAUAUUGAUAGUAAGACUAACUCUCUCCUGACCUUGGUUCAGUGCCAGCGAUUGUGUGACUUGUUCCCACCAUAACCAAAAGUUAUAUUGCAUACCCAGUAAUCCAUCCCACCUGACCGGUGCUAGCUUCCACGUUUCCACAGCCUUUUCACAGAAGAAAAACAAAUGCUCAAUAGUUUCCAUAUCUUCACCACAGCAACCACAUCUGCCUUCCCCUCUAUGUAGCCUUUUCGACAUCUGUUCAUUGACUGGCAGACAAUUUUGUAAGCACUUCCACAUGAAGUGUUUUAGUUUGGCCUUCACCUUCAAAUGCCAUAGCUGCUUCCACACAUUUCGUUUUCGUAUCUCCCAACUUGUUUCUGCCUCUUGGCCUGUCCUUGUACCUGCUUUUCCUUCCCGUUGCCUUGCUAAAGCAUAACCAGAUUUCACGCUAUAAAUUCCAGCUUUGGAAUGCCCCCAUACCAACCUAUCCUUUCUUCUUCCUAUACUUGUUGGAAUUCCCUUUAUGUGCUCUGCAUCUUUUGCACAAAACCACUUGAGAAGCAAAUCAUUUUUCCAUUUCCCUUCCUCUAUCAGCUCACUUACCCAUUCCAACUUGCAUCCCACAGGUUGUGUGGUUGAUGCAAAGCCGGUAUCUGAACCAACUAUCCAUCUGUCCCGCCACAUGUUGACUGACUUGCCAUCUCCAAUUCUUUUCCAAAGACCAUCAUACAGAAAGGAGGCUGCACUAUGAAUACUCUUCCAACACCAUGAGGCUGAAGAGACUGGCUUCUUGUCCAUCCAUUUUUCAUCACUCAUAUACUUCGCCUUCAUUACCUUACUUACUAACAAAUUUGGAGCCAUUAAGAAUCUCCAAAUUUGUUUUGCCAGUAAUGCUGUGUUGAAGGCCUCCAAAUCUCUAAAGCCUAAACCUCCUCUUCCCUUAACUUCUAAGAGCUUCUUCCAGCUUGCCCAAUGUACACAGGUACCCUUUUCUCCCUUCCCCCACCAGAAACUCGCUAUUUUACCUGUGAUUUGUCUACACAAACCCCUUGGAAGUCUAAAGCAAGCCAUCACAUAUGUUGGCAUAGCCAUAAUCACUGAUUUGACCAGAAUUUCUUUCCCUCCUUGGCUCAACAGUUUUUGUUUCCAACCUUGCAACUUGUUACUAAUUUUGUUCUGGACAAAUGCAAAGACCUGUGUCUUUGAUCUUCCAAUUGCCAUUGGGAGUCCUAGGUAGGUUCCAUUCCUUGCCUCUUUAAUGUUAUCUAAUACCUCCCUCACUCCAUUCUUCCUUUGAUCAGUGGUAUUUUUGCUAUAGAAGAUAGCUGACUUUUCAAAAUUCACCACCUGUCCGGAUGCUUGACCAUAUCUUUCCAAUAUGCUUUUGACCUUCCUCGCCUCCUGCUUGGUUGCUUGGCAGCAUAGUAGAGAAUCAUCUGCAAAAAAUAGGUGAGAAACCAUCGGACUGUCCUUGCAUAUUUUGAUCCCUGUAAUUUCCUUGUUCAUCAUAGCUUUAUGGAUCAAACAUGAAAGACCUUCAGCGCAUAUAAUAAACAAGUACGGGGAUAGGGGGUCUCCUUGUCUAAGCCCUCUACUCGGUUGAACACAGCCUACCUUUUGCCCAUUUAAGUUGAAGGAGUAAGUCACAGUAGAUAGGCAAGACAUGAUCCAUUUAACAAAAAUUGGACAAAACCCCAUUUUCAUCAUAACUCUCCCCACAUAUUUCCAUUCGACUCUAUCGUAAGCUUUGGACAUGUCCAGUUUAAGAGCCAUAAAUCCUACCCUUCCCUUUCUCCUAUUUUUCAAAAAAUGCAGGAUUUCAUGUGCAACUACUACAUUAUCAAGAAUUUGACGGCCUGGGAUAAAAGCGGAUUGAGAGGGACUAAUACAAUGAUGCAAGACACCUUUCAAUCUAUUAGCUAUGAUUUUAGAAAUGAUUUUAUACAGGACAUUGCACAAGCUAAUAGGUCUAAAAUGCACCACAGAUUCAGGAGUAUCAACUUUAGGAAUCAACGAAAUAAUAGUAUCAUUCACAGCUUUGAGCAAAUGCCCAGUAUGAAAGAAACUCUUAAUAGCUGCUACCACAUCAUCCUUGAUAAUAUCCCAAUAGUGUUGAAAAAAUAGAGGAGACAUACCAUCCGUUCCUGGUGCUUUAUUAGGGUGCAUCGAGAACAAAGCUUUCCUGAUCUCACUUUCCUCCACUUGUCGUAUCAGUUGUCCAUUCAUAUGACUCGAAAUAGUGCUUGGAAUUUCAGCUAGAAUGUCCUCAAAGCAGUCCGGGUUAGUAGUGGUAAAAAGGUCUUUAUAGUACUCACAAAGUUCCUCCUCAAUCUCAUGUUCCUCCUUGCACCAUGUCCCAUCUUUUUUCUGCAAUAUAGUGAUCUUAUUUCUCCUCCUCUUUGCCAUGACCGAAGAAUGGAAAAAAGCUGUAUUCUUGUCCCCUUCUUUGAGCCACUUGUUCCUGGAUUUUUGACUCCAAAACAUCUCUUCCUCUGCAUAAGCUUUAUUCAAUUGUGCUUUUAGUUCAGCCACUUGUACUCUUUUCCCUUCAUCCUUUCUUGCUUUCACUUCAGCCAAUUUCUCCUUUAACACUUUAAUUCUAACCUUUGAGUUUCCCUGCACCUUUUUCCUCCAAUCCAGAAUAGCCAUGCGACAUUCCUUUAUUUUUGUAGCCACUCUAAACAUCCUGGACCCUGACUUCACCUUUGUCCAUGCUCCUUGAAUCACCCUUUUUGCUUCUGGAUUUAGCGUCCAUCGUUGAUCAAAGUAAAAUCUCCGUUUUCUCCUUGUGUUUUCCGGGUUUGUAUCCACAAGAAGCAUUAGAUGAUCAGAGGCUUCAGUAUCUAAAUGAGUACACUGUGCCUUUUCAAAUCUUUGCAGCCAUUCGGUGCUGCAUAAACAUCUAUCCAACCUCUCUUUCACUUCCCCAUCCCCCUCCCAACUAUUGCACCAAAUCCACGGGACCCCUUGAUAACCUAAGUCAACCAGGUUAUUGUCUUUGAUAAACCUGUUGAACUCCCUAAAACAUCUUUCAGCUCUAUCCCUUCCUCCCCACUUCUCCUCACUAGACCUCAAAUCAUUAAAAUCUCCUACAAUGAUCCAGCCAUCCCCCCAGUCCCUCAUCCUGUCCUCUAAAUAUUUCCAUUGUGCUUUUCUAAUGUUACUAUCUGUGCUUGCAUAAACACACACUAGCCCCCAGUAUCCUUUAGUAUCCUUGUCCUCAACUCUAGCACUAAUACACCAAUCAGUACUUACAAUCUGGUCUAAAAUCACCUCAUUGUUCCAGAAUAAUGCUAGACCGCCUGCUUUACCUAUUGAAUUCACAAAAAAGCUAUUGUCAUACUGAAUCUUCCUUUGAACCUUGCCCAUAAACCCUUCCUGAUUCUUAGUUUCACAAAGGAACACCACCUUAGGAGAGUGGAAGUUAGUCACUUCCUUUAGUUGGGGACUUGUCAAGGGGCCUCCUACACCUCGACAAUUCCACACCACAACCUUCAUUUACACUUUGGAGGCUUUCCGGGGCUAGCCUCCAUUUCCCCUAUUGUACUAACAUUUAUUAGAUCCAGUUUCAUAACCUUUACCUUCGGUACAUUAUCAUCAUCCUCCUCUAUCGGUUGUGUUCCCUGAAACAUACCAUCAGCCUUCCUUUUAGCACACGAAACCUGCGUUACUUGUCCAUUUGUAUCUGCCUUUAAGGAUGUUUUAGCCGGCCUCCCUCUUCUUUUAAAACUGCUUCUUUUUUCAGCUUUGUUAUCUUCUUCCCCUGGAGUAGCCUCCUUUCUUGGCAUUCUUGCAUUUGUCUCCUCCUGCUUUAUUGACCCUACCCGCAAACUUUCACAUUCCUGUUUUGAGCUGUCCGUUUCCAUAUCCUCAUAAUCUACUGGUGGGAUUACGCUGCUCCCUCCUUUACUCCCUUCCUGUACCCUACCCUCCUUUUCACCAUUUCCCUCCAUUAAGACCACAGCCAAACUUUCCACCCGUUGGUUUGCCUUUCCAUACUGCCUGCUGUCUUUUAGAAUCUCAUCCCACCUCUCUUCAUAUUGUCUCGUCAUCAUUUUCUCCUUAUCCCCCCUUUCCUUUCCCCCCAAGACUCUACCAUUUUUUCCCCCAAGAGUUAAUGUAUCUCCAGCCAUUUGUACUCCAGUUUGAACUUCACUACUAGGAGACCCUGCCCCCACCCUCCUUGCAUCAAUUUCACUUACUCCUUCCAGCCGUCCCUUUAAGGGAGAUACCAUUAUAUUUCCAGCUCUCAUCCAGGCACCAUAUUGUUCCUCUCGCUUCUCCCCCCCACCCUUCCUACCACAGUACAAGUCCUAUCACUAUGCCCAAUGAUACCACACCUAUAACAGAAAUCAGGGCAGCGUUCAUACCUGAACUCAACCCACACUGCCUGGUUCUUACAGUUGAUCUUUGUCCCUCUAACCAGUGGUUUCGUUAUAUCUACCUCAGCCAUAAUCUUCAUGUGGCGACCCUCUUUCCCACCACUUCCUGGGAGAAUCACUCCCCUCACUGAUUUAAAGAUCCCUCCUAUUUUCAAACCCACUGCUCUGCUCAACCAGUGCACCGGUAGGUUCCAUAGUUGAAUCCAAAGAAAGGAAUGCUGGAAAAAGCUGCUGUUUGUAUCAUACCCCUCUACCCACUCCUUCACUAUCAGCAACUGGUUGUCCAUGACCCAAGGCCCUCCAGAUAAGAUCUUUUUCUUUUCCCCUUCAUCUCCCAGAUGGAAAUGGAAUAAGUUAGGACCUAACUCAGUCACUUUCAUCUUUGAGGGGUAUCCCCAUGCAUGAUUUGUAAAGUUCUUUAACCCCGUAAAGUUGGCAAUUUUUUCACCAAUCAGCUUUCCUACCAGGCUUCCUUGACACUCAGAGACGCCUUCUUCCAGGUCCUCACCACUCAGAUCGACACCUCCUAACUCUGUUUCAGACAAGUCAAAAUUUUGAAAGGCUCUUUCUAAAGCAUCCGCCAUUGCUGUGACGAGAGCUCCUUGAGAAACCAAGCACUAUUUCUGAGCUAUGAGUGACCCACUGACAGACCUGUGAAGAAUUGCAAAGACAGACAAAGCUGUGUUAUCCGUACACACUAAAAACCAACCAGAAAAACAGAGAGGAACUCGACAGAAAAAGCACAGGCACAAGAAGAAACGAAAGAAAAAAGAAAAACCAACAAACCACUAUCCCACUCCCGACCACAUAACAGCAUUAAAGAAAGGGACACAAAUACGACACUCCAACUUCCGAUCACAUGCUCUGACUCAAUGGAUCAUAUCUUGCCCAAAGCGUUUACUCCUCCAACCGAUUCCAAACCACUACAGACAUUGUCUCCCAUUUUGAAGCCGGAAGAAAGGUGGCUUCUGGACAGGGAACAUGAAAGCAAAGGUUGAACUAAAGAUUUGAUUUUAGAUCUGAAAAUUACGCUGUAGGAAAAAGUGCUAUGUGUUUGUACCUCACCCACUCUCCCACACCGAGGAGGGGAACCUCUAAAGUUAGAGAGAGAAGCUCUCAAGUUAGAGAGAAGCUUUGGAAGUUAAUUACCAACGUACCAUGCCGUACAUGUUUGUAAGGAUUUCUAUCCUAUUGGCAAAAGUCGGUUCCAUACAAUUAAUCAAUUCAUUUCACUUCUAUUGGCUCUACUAUUUAUGCAUGUUACGACACUCUUUCCCUUAUAUUUUGCCUUUAAUAUUAUGAGUCAAUAGUAAUAAUGGGCCUUUUUCUUAAAAUUAUACUAUUAUACAUAGGUAGUUUGGUCUAACGCUAAAUUCAUGUUUGUCUUUCUUUUAUUCCCUUUACAUCUCAAAGUAUACUAUAGUUUGUAAUCAUUGUGGUGAUGAUAUUACCAGCUGGUACUUAUAGUUUAAGGCAGAGACAUGAUAUUAACAACUAUCUCAUUGAAACAUAAGUCAAAAUCAUGACAAGUGUGAGUCUUGGUUAAUGCACAAUUUGUUAGUGGAAUUUAUAUUUAUAAAACUCAAAAAAAAUUUUUGACAAUGCUAUUACUAAUUAAUUAAGGACUUCAUUGCUAUAAUUUAUCGCUUACUAAUUUAAACUAUAAAUGAUCUCAAUACUUUUCUCCAUGAUGUCGAUUUCUUUAGACUACGAAAGGGAAAAAUUAGUGACAUAUCCCUUACUGAUUACAACAUCAGCAAAAAUUAGUUAUAAACUUUUCCGGUGGUUUUAAAUCCCUCGGGCACUAAGGUUUUUUGCACAUCGAGUGAAUUAAGGAACAUAGGCAAUUCGUUCUGCAUACCAAGUCCUUGUUUAAGAUGCACGUACUAAAAUGCAUCCACUUCAUUAAUUUGGAAAAUUGCCAUAGUUUUUUUUAAGCAUUUUGAUUUUUUACAUGAUUCAAAAUUUUCUUAUUGGAUACAAUCACUUUGUGUCAAGAACACAUUUUCAAUCAUCUUUUUUAUCUUCUCAAUAAGAAAAUAAAAAUUUAUUCAUGCUUUUCUAACAUAUCCAAUCAUUGAUCUGAAAAAUAAAGAAUUAAAAAAAAAAGACAUUUUCAAUCAUUGCUUACGGGGCAACUUCCCCAUGUGAACCUCAUCAAACAAAGCCAAUAAUAUGAAGGAACAUCUAAAUACACUUUUGCCCUAAAGGCUGGUUGCCUUGGGGUCAAAAUUUAACCUUCGGGAGUAUAAUUACCCGCCAAAUUUAUUAUUUUUUUUAUGGGUAUAUAGUUCCAAUUUUGCCUCCUGUUAAGCUUAUAAAUAUAUUACGACCCAGAAAAUAAAGGAAUCUUGAAUAGUAACAUGUCCAUUGACUUGAGUUGUUAUCAAUUUGGCUACUUCGAUUCCAUGAGGCCAAUCCAAUUCACACUAGCUAGAGAAAAUGGUGAUAAAGGCACUUAGAAAUUUAUAUGUAAUAUUGAUUGGUAGUAACUGAUAAGUAUAUAUUUUACGUGUUUUAAAUAUGUUUUAUUAGUUAGUUUUGGUGUGUUUUAACUACUUUUAUAACUAAUUAACUAGGAAUCUAGUGAAAAUAUGCAUUUUGUGGUUUGAAGUGUAAAAAUUGUAUUUCUAUGGAUUUUAAUGGUGAAAACUUCAUGUUUUUGUAGGUUUAAUGAUUCAAUCAUCAAAUGACAUGAUUUGAGAAGAUAAUUAGAUGAUUGAUGAUGUUUUGAAGUGAUAAAAAGAGAAUACAAAGUGCAAGAGAGGAAAUGCAAUCAAGAAUAAAAGAAGAAAAUUUUUGUAGCUUUGACAUAUUGUCGUAUUUCGGCAAUAUAUUGAGCUACAAUGAUCGGAUUAAGGUGAUUCUUAAACCAUUUGAAGCUAAAAUAUAGAUCUACAUUUGGCAUGAAGGCAUCGAAACCCAUGUCAGUCAUUUUCCUUGUCAAAAUGUUGAAAUACAGAAGUGCAACUCUGUUCUCGAAAGCUAAAACAGAGCUCUGGCUAGUCGAGGGUAUUUUCAUCAUUUCUUAGUCCACAGAGCUCCAAAUGAGAUGAUUCUUAAGGCAUUAGAACCCUAACUCAAAGAGCUACAACUUUCAUAUUUUGUACAAGAGUUAGUUCGGCCUCUAUCAUUAAGAAAAUAGUAGUUGAAGUGGUGCCAAAUGCAUAGAAGUGAAAACGCGAGCUAUCAAUACUCGACCUGAAGUCGCGUAUUCCUGAGGUCAUGCAUUCUCUUCUAUUUUCUGCAACUUGCCCUGCUUUCACAUAACUUUUUCAUCUCAAUUCCAACUAUCAAUUUCGGCUAUAUCUGAUCAAGAAAAGUGUGGAAAGUUUGAAAGACAACUCAUAGGAGUUUCAAGAGUCAAAAAUUACAAUUAGAAACAACUCAUUUGGCUCUUGAAUCCUCUAUAAAUAGAGGCCUUUGAAGAACAUUUUCACAACUUUGGAAGGUUAGAGAAACUCCACAAAAACAUAGUCUUCACUAGAAUUUCCUUAGUUCAUUAGUUAGGGUAGUAUAGUAUAGUUAGUGUAGCUUUUCCUUCUUGUAUUUAUAGUUAGGUUUGAAUGAAGAUUCAGGAGCAAAGAUAGAGAGGUUGAUCUCAUGUGACAAGGGUGAUAUCUCUUCUACUACUUUCUCUUUUGUAUUUGAUUUCAUAUUUAACUAUACUACAAAUUUGGCUUUGUUUUUUUUUUUUUAUCAUGUUUAGUUAAAGUUUAUGCCUAGAGUAUGGAUGACCUUUUUAUAUCUUGUUUGUGAUAUUUAACUGGUUAUUUGAUGAUGUUAUUUUUGAGCAAGUUAUUUAUCACUUUUGCUUUUCUAAUCAUGAUUAACUGGCCAUUAGUUGUGAUUAUCUAAAAGUGUUAAGUUUGUAAUGAGAAUUGGAGUUUAACACUAGUUCAAGGAAGUGAUAAAUUUAGGGAGUUCACUCAUGAGAGUAGAGGAACACCUUUGUGACCUAAGUGACUUGUUUCAUAUAAUUUCAUAGAAAAAAUGAACUUGUAAUUAAUUUCAUAACCACGAGAGUAAGUAUGGUUUAGCUAUAUGUAUAGUUGAUUCACUACGAGAGUAGGUUUCACAUACAUUAGAAAAUUACAUCAUAACUAGUCAAGAUAAUAUCAUUCAUUUAAUCAGUAAUCUCAUUUGCAUGAGUAGUAAGGCAUUCCAUAUCUCUAGGAGGUUUUUAGUAUUAUUUUCAUUACUUUUAUGUUUAUGGUAGUCUAGAUAAUAAUGGAGUUCGAAAACUACUAGUAAUUGAAAAUUUUCCCUGUGGGAUCGACCUUUAAUACCCUAUACUCGCUCUCGACUCGUAUACUUGAGAAAAAUCACGUGUGCGGUAUUUAGAAUUUAUAAAUGUAAAACUUGACUGUAGAUGAACUAAUUGAUAUAUGUAUACCCCGCACUCGUCAGUAACCAGCUUGUAUUGAUCCCACUAUUGUGGAUAAUUGUGCUCUUAUGAAAAAAAAUUAUAAAAAAAUUAGCAAAAUUUAUGAUAACAAAUUAAAUUUAUUCAUACAAAUCAGUGAAAGAAGUAGAAUUUUAAAGUCCAUGAUGAAAUUAAUACUUUCAAGGGCUCUAUUAGGAAGACUUCACUUGUUGGUGAAACUACACUAGCACAGUUAUAUGCACAUUUACUGUUUUGGUAUCUAAUUUCCUUGCCUUAAGUUGGGUGCAGAUGUUUAUAUUACAAAUAGAUGGUAUCAUAAAAUUGUUGUAUUCACGUUUGUUCUUUUUUUUCUUCCUUAAGUUUUUUUCUUUAUUCUCGUGACUUCAAAAAUACGAACUCAAGAAAUUGGCUGCUUAAUCAAUAUGUCAUACAGGCUUCGCUAGUGAGGUAUAACUUCACAACUAGAGUCAAUAGAAAUUAUCAAAUGAUUUUUUAACAUCCAAAUUAAGCAAUAAAUUUUGUUUUCAUUUUAUGACAUAUAAUAGUACUACUUCAUGAGAGAUUUUAUAGUUUCUUUUAGGUAUCAUACCUACAAGUGAUAUUUGUCAUUGGAUAGUGACAGAAGUGUUAAUGAUUGUAAGAUUAAAUAUUGUUAAAUAUUGAAAUUUAAACUAUUUAUCUUUAUUGAAAGAUACAAGUUAAAGAAUCGUUCAAGGGGGCAAUUUUCCAUCUUGUCUUUUUGAAAAAACGCUAUCACAUUGUAUAGGCAUGAUAGGUUCAAAUUUGUCAUUAAAUUUAUGAUUGAUUUUCCUUUUAUUCAAGCCAAAUAUUGUUUUAAUUAUCAAAUUCUACUUAUAUUUGGUUAAUUGUACUAAUUGUAGGGCGGUAGAGCAAAAGUUGCUAAAAAUAGGCGAUUUUCUGCAAAUUGGUUGUCAAGGCUGAAGGAUUUGGGAUUCGCAUGUUCAAGGCCUGUUUCCAAGUUUGAUUCAAACUCUGGACAGUUUUAGAGGAAGAUUUGGAAGAUUUGAAAUUUCAUUAUUAGUUUUAUGGUUGAAUUAGGAAUCUUGGAAUAAUUUCUUUUGUGAUUUAUUUUUCUAUUUAGGAGACUAGUUGUUAUUUAGUAGUAGACUUCAAUUAGAAAACAAAGAGAAAAAGAAGGCCGGAAUCCCGCUUGAUUAAUACCUUGGCCAGGGAACAAUCUCGGUGGGGAGGACGGCCACUUAGCCUCUCAAUUCAUCUUGCUUUUCGUUAGUUUGAGAGGAAAACCAAUUGCAACUAGAUUCAAUGGAGUCUGGCAGAAUUUCUUCUAGGAUGCGUAGCUAAAUCCUCAAUUUUUAGUCGAAGGUCAAUUUGAAAAUUCGGUUCCAAAUAUCUGUGAAAUCGAAUUAUUUUACUUAUUUCUUUUAUUUAUUGGUAUUCGCACGUUUUCUGAUUUAACUUUUUAUGAUUGUUUUGUUAUUUGAAUGUCAAGGGUCCGAUAUUCGAAUUAACUUAAUAAUCUACUGCCAAAUUAACCGGUUAAAUCCGUAAUUGUUUGAUUGAUUAAUAUCAGUGGCGACUAGCGUGAUUGGUCCCAUGUUAGGAAAACGUCUGAUCUAAUUUAAACAAACCGUCGUAGCGUGUUUGUUGAUUAGGGUUGGGCUUUUCUAAUUCUUAAUUCAAUUGAGAAAUUAAAUCCCCCGGUCGUACCUAGGAUUAUUUUUUUGUUAGCGAAAUAGUUAAUGGUCGUACCUUGACUAUCGAAAAAGUAAGGAAGAGUUGAUUGUUUAUCGCGUGUACGACAACUAUAAUCAAUCUAUUAAUGAGUAAUUGAAUUAUCUUUGCAUCAGUAAUCAGUUGAAUGGACCGUGUCUGAAAAGUUGUACCUUUGGCUAGAGUCUUAUCUGUUGUUGAUUCAUUCAUAUCUAUCUUCAUGCGUUGUUUUAAUUUAGUUAAUUAGUUAUUUUUAUAAAAACCCCUCAUCUCUGGACUCUAAAAGAAAUAAAUUAUUUCUAGUUCCUGUGGAUUCGAUCCUACUCACCAUACAAUCCAACCUGCAAUUGUAUGAACCCCAAUCUCGCUUCCUAGUCCACCAUUUUUCUCUAGGUAAUAAUCUCCCUUCUAAUUUCUUCACAAAAUGCACCUUUCAUCACCUCCAAUAGCGUCGACAUGAUCUUUACCCCAGAAGACUAUUCACCGACUCUCAAUUGACGUUAGAAAAUCUAAGAGUAAUUCUACUUUACCCUAAGAUUGAUAUCAACAAGACAAGGACAAUUUAGAAUUAUUACACGCCUCUUCUUAAUAGGAAAAAGAAAUAGAGAAGAAAGUCAGGCCAGGUCUAAUUUCUUUUCAAAGGCAAUACAACAUUACGAAAUCAAGCAUUCAUUCAUACAAAUAUUUCAUAGUCACCGGUUUGCUGAGUAGAAAAAUUUAGACAAAAACUUAAUAUUAUAUUGUUUAAGAGUUAACAAUUUAGAGCUUAAUCUCCUUGUACUUUGGAGUUAACAAUUUAGAGCUUAAUCUCCUUGUACUUUGGACUAAACUUGAACGUGAAAGGAAAUCCCAAAACCAUAUUGGGCAUGAAUUCACACUUAAUAUACCCAAUAAAAGAUGGCGACUGGUGAAAGGCAGUGGAGACUGGUGGAGAGAUUUGAGGAAUAGAAGCAGACGGAAAAGCAACAAAUUUUUGCCGAAAAACGGUCACUUUCAUGGUUAAUUUUGCUACUCUCCAAUUGUACUUGACCAAUUACAACAAUUUCAUGGAGUUUGAUACGUGAAAAGAAUUUUUUAUAAAUUUUAUUUUGAUCCAUAAUGUUAUCUUUACAUAUAUAAAACAUUUUACAAUUUUGAUUUUGGCGCAGUUAACUUUUGGUAAACAAAAAUGCUCAUGUUUAAAAAACCGGAAAUAAAACAAAACAAGAAACAAAAGAAAUAAGAGGGUAGCAUAGACAUUUUGGAUUUUUCCGUUAAUUUGGAUGAUUUCCACCCACGUUCUAAUUUAAUCCAAAACACAAAGGAAUUACGUAGAGGUUUUAAAUAAUGAGGGAGCUUCAUGAUCGAACCCCAAACCACAAGGCGAUUUACUAUAUUUUACUCUUAAAUUUUGGUUUCAUCUCAUAGCAUACAAGAGUUCUAUUUCACUAUCUGUAGACAAAGACUUUCUAUGGUUGAUGUACCAUAGGAAAAAAUCUGCCUAUACAACGUGAUAGCAUUUUUUCAAAAACACAAGAUGGAAAAUUGCCCCCUUAAACGGGGAAAUUCAUGAUCUUUCCUCGAACAAAGAAUACUCACGCCUAUUCAAGAUGGAAAAUUGCCCCCUUAAACGUCUAUUUGUCAAUUCUUGAAAAAAGAAUACUCACGCCUAAAACACGGCCUCUUCAUCUGCAGAAUUCUAAAAAGUUAGGUAAACUCUAUAAACAAGUUGAUAGGUACAAUCGUACCCAAGAUCAAGUACAGAUAGUUGUACAUUCACUGCUGCAAUAACUAAUCUGAUGACUUACAAACAUAUCAUGGUCAAUCGUUGAAUGGUAAUGAGUCUUUUGUUAUGCAUUAGUAUUAGUGUGUACACUCUAAUAGAUUGAUACUUAUACUCUUUAAAUUAUCAUAAUAAUACCCUUAAUUAACUUUAACUCUUAAAAAGAAUACGUGUUAAUACACGAGAGUGUGUAACCUGAAUUGUUACUUAUACAUUAGUGUGUAAUAGAUAGGGAUGGCAAUGGGGGCGGGUGCCCGCAGGCAACCGCCCCGCGGGGGGCUCUCGGGGCGGGGAGGGGGGAAUUUUUUCCCCCCGUUUAGAAACGGGGCAGGGGACGGGGGAGUAUACCCCCGCCCCAUCCCCCGCAAAAAAAAUUAUAUAUAUAUAAUUAUAUAUAAUAUGUAAUUUAAUUAGUUAUAAACUUAUGAUAAUGAUAUUAUUAGUUAGAUGUAUUAUAUAAUGUAUAUUAGUGUAUGUAAUAUAAUUAAUAUUAUCAAUUAUACGAAUAAUUAGACAUGUCUACUAAUAGAAUUUAUUAAUUAGUUAUACUAAAUUUACUAAUACAUUUAUACUAAAUUUCUAAUUACAUUUAAUAGAAUAACACUUUUUUCUAAAAAAAAAAGCACAAACACAAUAAUGAAUUAGUGAUUGUAUUUUUACCAAAAAUGAAAACUUAACUAUUUUAGUUGCAUUUAUUUCAUCAUGUUGGAUUGUAUUCAAAUAAUUUUUGUUUGAUUGUUUUUAUGAGUUUCAAUUGUAAAAUUAAAAUGAAUAAUAACUUGAUGAAUAAUAAUGUCAAUCGUUGAAUGGUGUGUACACUCUAAUAUUAUGCAUUAGUAUUAGUGUGUACACUCUAAUAGAUUGAUACUUAUACUCUUUAAAUUAUCAUAAUAAUACCCUUAAUUAACUUUAACUCUUAAAAAGAAUACGUGUUAAUAACUCUUAACCUGAAUUGUUACUUAUACAUUAGUGUGAAAUAGAACGGCAAGCAUUGAGCAACUUAUAGGAGAAAUAGUCCUAUAAGCUGUUGGAUGACUAAUAUAGCUCUAGCUGUAAUGUUUUAAUUAAAUUACAUCACUAACGUUGGGAUGACUAAUGGUUUAAAAAUAAUUGAGUAAUUGGAAAAAAAAAAAGAGACUAAUUUUCAUUGAAACCCACCGACAAACUAAACGUGUCCAUGGCUUUUGAAUAGUGCAUUCAACGUUUAAUUGUAUAGUCCAGUUCAUUGCAGAUUACAUGGAGUAAAGAUUGUGCUCUUUCCUUUUUCACCCCUUUUGGAAUCGAUACUGUGGAGAAUUGGGUUUUUCCCUUCUUUUUUUCUUUUCUUUCUUUCUGUGCUUUGCAAAACAUAGGUAAAAUUAUGAAAUCCGAAGCAUUCUUUAAUUGGGAUUAAGUAUUGUUCUUGAAAUUAAAAAGAAGAAAGAAAGAACAACAAAAUUCCCUGAUUGGUUGCAUCGUGCUUCCAUAGAAGCUCUCUUAGUGUGAUACACUGCUUUCAAUCAGUUUAACAUGGAAAAAAGAAAGAGAUGAAAAGCAAAUUUGGUGGGGAUAAUUUCAGAAACCUCCCCUGAAGAUUUUGACUAUUCUACUGGUCUCCCUUCAGAUUUUAAAAAUUACACUAAUCUUCCUUGAAGUUAUAACAUUUAAAUUCAAUCAAUAAUUUAAAAAAUGAUAUUAUGAAAGAGAAAAUAAUAUGAUUUUAUCAUUGCCCCCCAUCUUACUACAUUAUUUAAUUAAUUUAAUAGCAACCCACACAUUAAAGAAAAAUAUAAAAUUUGUUAUUUAUCAUUAAAGAUCAAAUCGCUUAUAACAUCAAAUAAUAGUAUAUUAUUUAUAUUUUUCACUUAACAUAAUAUCCAAAUUACUCUUUUCAAUUACAUACUCAUUGUUAGACAAUCAACAACAAAUAACCAAAAAAUUUGCAACCAAAAUAUUACAAAAAAAAAUAAACUUUAACAUCAUAAAUAUUCUUAUCAACAUAUUAAAGUUAGUUACUGAAAUUUUUAUGGUGUUAAACUUCACUCUUUGUAAUAUUUUGGUUACAGAUUUUUUUUGAUUAUUUUUUAUUAAUUAUGUUUGAUGAUGGGUUUGUAAUUGAAAAGAAUAAUUUAAAACUUACAUUAAGUGAAAUAUAUAGAGUGAUAUACUAUUUUUUAUAACAUAUGUGAUUCAAUCCUUCUUGAUAGGAUUGGUAAUAGAGGUAGAGGGGGGAGUCGGCUGCAUCCGGUCUUCUUUUCAUAGAUAGUACAAUAUUGCGAAAUCAAUCGCAUUCACACAAUAAUAUUUCGAAGUCAAUGCAUGGCUAAGUUGCAUAAAAGUACGAACACUUGUUAUUAUAUAGCUUAAGAUUCAAAACUUUAGAGCAUAACCCUCCACCUAACACAAUUGAAUAAUGAAUAUUCACGUUUGUCAAAUCUGUCAAAGCACAGUUUGAGGACAACCCAUUCCAACCUGCAAAAGAUUUUUUACUUUUCUAAAGUUGUUGAGAGCUGUAAAAAGACCUACCAUGCUUACAUCCUCCGAGCCUUGGGAGUUAAAAAUGAAGGCACUGAGUGCUAUAAAAAGGGGGCUAGAGGCUGCCUAGAAGCAUAUCAGCCUAAAACAAGAAUUUGUUGUUAUGAUGGGAAGCAAAGCAAAAGCAAUGGGGUCUGGGCUGACUCCUCUUCUUGCCACUGUUUUAGUGGUAUUUGUUGCUCUUGGCUUGCCCUCAGAAACAGCAGCUGAUGAUCACUACAAGUAUUCAUCUCCUCCUCCUCCUUACCACUAUCCCUCACCACCGCCUCCAGUGCAUUUACCUCCACCAGUGUACAAAUACAAGUCCCCACCACCACCUCAUCAUGUUUACAAGUACAAAUCUCCACCACCCCCACCACCACACCCAGUUUACAAGUAUAAGUCACCACCACCACCUCCUCAUCCGGUACCACACCCAGUUUACAAGUAUAAGUCACCACCACCACCUCCUCAUCCGGUAUACAAGUAUAAGUCUCCUCCGCCACCACCACACCCAGUUUACAAGUAUAAGUCACCACCACCACCUCCUCAUCCGGUACCACACCCAGUUUACAAGUAUAAGUCUCCUCCGCCACCAGUUUACAAAUAUAAGUCUCCUCCACCACCACCUCCAGUGUACAAGUACAAGUCUCCACCACCACCAGUUUACAAGUACAAAUCACCACCACCUCCUCCCCCAGUUUACAAAUACAAGUCUCCACCACCACCAGUUUACCACUACAAGUCACCACCACCUCCUCACCCAGUUUACAAGUACAAAUCUCCUCCACCACCAAUUUACCACUACAAGUCACCACCACCUCCUCCCCCAGUUUACAAAUACAAGUCUCCACCUCCUCCUCACCACUACUAAGCAAUUGCUUCUGAGGUAAUAACACUUGUUCAAUAACACUUGAUAGCCAGCUGAAUAUUUGCAGGCAAAGGAGAAGGAAACCAGUGUUUGAGACCUUCUUGAAGAUGUAGAAGCAUAAGAAUUAAAGCCCAAUGUGAAGAUGAUGAUUUCAAGUUUUUCUACGUUACCAUUUCAAUAUCUAAAUUGGUUGUAGCGCCUUAGUUCCUUUGUUUAUGGGAUUUGUAUCGUUUUACGUACCAUGCAGUACAUGUCAUGUUUGUAAGGUUUUCUAUCCUGCCGGCAAACCGCAGGUUCCAUGUAAUAAAUCAAUACUAUUUAUAUUACGACACUUUUCUCUGUUUCUCUUAUAUUUUGUCUUUAAUAUUCUUAAUCAUAUUUUUAACAAAAAUAUUCAAACACUUCAGCAAUGGUUCACCUAGUUGAUCAUCGAAGCAGAGGCAAUUCCAAUUAUUUAUCAAUAAAUAGGAUAUAACUACCAAACAAGCGAUGGCAGUUAACCCCUCCUUACUGUGUCGGUGAUCAAGGUACGCCCGUUAAUCACUGCUCUAAUUGAGAAAUAAUCCUAAGUACGCCCGUAGAAUUUAAUUCCCCAAUUGCCUUACAUAUUAGAGGAGCCCUAUUCUAACCAAAUAACGCACUAUCAGGGUUAUUUUAGAUUAGCCCGCGUAUUCCCCUGACAUAAAUCUAAUCAUGCCAGUUGUCAUUAUUUUGAGGUAAUUAAACAAUUACGGAUUUAACACCUCAAUUGACAAUAGAUUAUUAAAUUAAUUAAUUAUUCGGAUCCAAGACAAUCAAUUAAUUAAACAACCAUAAGCACUACAAUCAGAGAAUAUGCAAAUACCAAUAAAUAAAUAAAAAAUAAAAUUAAAUCGAUCUCACAAUUUUUAGGCGAAUCAGAGCAUCCGUUGUCCCUUGACUAGAGCAAGGAAAUUAGUUCAUAUUUGAUGAACUAAACCCAUACAAAAGGGAAGCGAGAAAUGCAGCCAUUAUCCUUUGAAAUCUGGAAAAUUCAACUUGUCCGAAUAUCGAAUAGAUAGUAAUACUACAAAAGGUAAUUCAUAGCUUCCCUUUCGUCUGACACACAAGAAGAAAAAAAAGGGCUGCUAAUAACUAAAGGAGGAAAAGUCAAAGUCCUAAGCUAUGCUACAAGACGAAAAACUAAAGAAGACAAAAAGGCAGUGCUCAUUCCCUGCAAUCUCAAUUCCUAUUCUAUCUAAGUGCUCUCCAAUGUGCGGCGGCUCCCCUUCCGGAGAGGACGAAGUGGCACCCUUUUUUCCUGCGCAAUUUUCCUAUAUAAAGUAGUGCUCCUUGCAGCGGCUCCUGUGCGAAAAAAUGAAGACUUCGGCCCAAUUUGCCUAACAAGGGCUCACGUUUUGUUGUUCUAAAAAUGUCCCUAGGACAAACUCUAUCAUCUGAACUCUUUUCUUGCCAAAUUAGUACCUGUUAUUAUAUUUUCGUUCUACUCCCUGAAAUAAAUGCAAAAUAUCAAAAGUGAGUAGAAUCUAGCAAUUAAUCCACAUUAGGUCAGGUAAUAGGGAAAAUUAAUAAUAAAAUAAAUGAUAAAAUUGCAAUCUAUCACGGGACCACUGUGGUAAGGUGUGUUUCGCCUAUUAUAAGGAGUUCGGAGAGUUAGACGUGUUGGAGGCGGAGGCGCGGUCACUCCUGCACGCCCUCCAGCUGUGUGCAGAUCGCGAGGUACGGGCGUUGACUGUAGAAUCUGAUUCAAAGGUGCUUGUUCAACUAGUUUGCUCGGAUAUGAGGUCGAAGUGGCCGGUGUGUAUCGUAUUGCGGGAAAUAAGACAUUUGAUCCGGCGGAUGGGUGCAUCCCUUCAUCAUAUAUUCCGUGAGGCCAAUUCGGUGGCGGACGCAUUGGCUUCUCUGCAAUUGGGAGGGCAGCAGUACUACACCUCAGGCGUGGCGCUGCCUUUCAGGCCCAGAGGAGAGGCUCUGCUGGAUCGUCAAGGAGUACCUCGCAUCCGUGAGGCGCUCACUAAGGUUUGAUAGGCUAUGUCCUCCUUUCAAAAAACUUAUUUCAUCUACUCCUUGUAAUCAUUUUUCUUAUCAAUAAAUUGAGGCUUUUUAUUUAAAAAAAAACAUAUAAUUUAAGGCAAAAAUAUGAUCCUAGCGAGUAUCGCACUGAGACAUUAGGAAACAUCAUUAAAAGAGUAUUUCUUGAGUUAGUGCAACUAUUUCUUAGGGGAAUUUAUAGUUACAAAAUUCAAAAAUUUGAGAUUCUAUUACUGAUUAAUUAAGGGCGUUAUCACUAUUUUUCUUAUUAUCACCAUUAUUUACCCCACAUACUAUAAGUUUUUUUAGGGCACAGGAAAAGAGGUGGGCCGAUGUUUAGUUAUGUACAAAAGUUCAAAAUUUGUAGAUAACUUAUCAUGUGCCCUUAGAGCGUAGAAUACAGAAAAAAUAUCUUAAACUAUAACUAAUCCUAAUAUUUUUCUCUAUGAUAAACUAGCUCUUAUCCAUUUCUUUAGAUGAUGAAAGGAAAUAGUUAGUCACCUGUCCUCUAGUGAUUACAACAGCAUCAAAACAAAUUAGCACUCUUUUCCCGUAGUUUAAAAAUCCCUCAGCCACUAAGAUUUUGCAUGUCGAACGAAUUAAGGAACAUAGAAGGUUCGUGCUGCACCACAGUGUCCUUGUUGACGAUGCAAAGACAGAAAUGCAUCCGCGUAUACUUCCUUAAGCAUUUUGAUUACUUUAUGAUUCGAACUUUUCUUGUCUGACAGCUGGACUUAAUUGAAAAACACAAGUAACAAUAUUUCAAAGUUGAUUCGUCAAAGUUUACCCAAUUGGUGAAACUUUCUUCAUAGAGCUGACUUUGUAUUAGGUGACAAUGAUAUGGAAUUGAUGUCCUUCCCUUUUUCCUUUUUUUGUGUUGAAGACGCACAACGUUUUCAAUGGCAAAUUUAUAUGGGCUUUUCACGACAAAAUGUGUUCUGAAAAGUUCAUUCCAGAGGUUAAAAUUUUGUGUGUUAAAAAUUUGCUUCUCAGGACUUUGAUGGGAAAGUCUUGGUGUUUCCAAAAAGUUUAAGCAGGAUGCUUCUGGCUUUCUCUCCAUGUAUUUGUGAGUUAGAUCUAAAAUUAUCAGGGCUCCAGAGAUCUCUUGAAAUCGCAGCAUAUAUUGAAGUCUUUCCAGAAGGAGUCUUUUUUUUUUUUUUUAUGAAUUAUGAUAGAUAAUUAAUCUGACGGUGCAUAUAUAUAUAUAUGUGAUUUGCAGUAGGGUGUUUGACGAAAUGGUUAGGCUUCCUAAGUAAUGAUAGGAAUGCCAUUUGCAAAGAAGGACAGGGGGCUGGUGCUGUCAUAUUUUAUGCGAUUUGAUCCGUUGUUGUAUAAGUUUAAACUUUUGACGUGCAAUUGUGCUAUAAUAUUAUACUAAAUAUAUGUGUGAAAUAUUUUGUCUAUAUACAUCACUUUUAUCAUGAAUACAACAGCUGAGUAUAAUAAUAUAGUAUAAUGUAAUUGUACACCAAAUAAUGUAGCAAAUAUAACAAUUGAUCCGAAUUACACGGAACCAUAACAACAAGAUCACCGCCUCCCAAAUUUUACAAAAUUAGGUUUUUUUUUUUUCUCUUAGAUUAUUGAAAAUUUUCAAAAAUAAUCUACAUAAUUUAAGCUUUUGUCCUACAAAAAUUUGAAGAGAUUUUACAUUACAAGCUUAAGCUUAGAUAUAUUAAACUUUGCCCCCAAGAUUAAUUUUCCGUUUUUAUCUAUGAACCGAUCCAUAUAGCUAGUUAGACUGUAGUCCUCACAUUUGUGGGAUUUAACACCCAAGAUUCUCCUUCUUGGAAUGUAAAAUGUAGAUCUUCUAUGUUAAUAAUUCAAGACCCUACUGUCAUAAACGAAAUGACUGAUCAACUCCUGUAAACCUAAUUUGACAACAUUUAAAUGGAGAACUUUAGCUAAAAGAAUUAUGGUCAAGCUAAAGAAAAAGCCAGUUAUUUUCCAACAUAUGCAAUCAUUGAUCAGGAAAAAAAAAAAAAAGCAAAAAGACAUCUUCAAUCAUUUAAUAGCUCACAGUGCAAAUUAACCCCUAAGCGAAAACUGGUUGCUCUAGAAUCAAAAUUUUACCUUAGUUACCCAGGCAACUUUUUUGUUGCUUUUUUUUUUUUCUUUUCCUUUUUGGGUAUAUAUAUAGCUCCAGUUUUGCCCCCUCUGUCAAGCUUAUAUAAUUAUUAAGAUAAUAAAAGUGCCUUGAAUAGUAUUAAUAUAUCCAUUGACUUGAGCUGUCAUCGAUCGGUUUGGGCUACUUCGAUUCCAUGAGAACAAAUGGUAAUAAAAGUACUCAGAAAAUAGGGAGCCAUGAAACCCUUUUGUUCUAUUCAUUGCUAAGAUGCUUUUCUCUAUAAAGAGACUUCCUAACGAAAGUACUUUGUAGAUUUCUUUACUCCAAGUGGUGCAUGGAAAAUUAAAAUAUUCAAUUAUCAAAUAAAAUUCCCUUUUUUCGGUGUAGAUUUCAUCCAUCCAGCUGUUAACACAUUUUAUGUAUCCGAAUUAUAUAUUCUCUACCAAAUAUUGUAACUUUUCUGAGCAUCUUUACAUUUUUAUUCCCACCUAACAAAUUAGUUGUUGAGCAUCUUUACAUGCUAUCGGAUCACAAGUUAAUAAUCUUUUAAAGAACAUGUUAAAUUAAUUUAUUGGUAUGAAUAGUCAAAGAAGUAUAUUAAAGUUAGUAAUCUUUAAACACCACGAUGCAAUUAAUACUUUCAAGCUCAAGGUCUUUUUUUUUUUUUUUUUUGGUACUGUACUUCCUUGCUUUAUAGUAUGCACGUUUAUUUCUGUGGAUUGCUUAAGCUUAUAUUGUUAAUAAUUGGGCAUUUAACCAUAAAUUAUAAUGAUUAUGAAGUCAUAUAUAUAUAUAUAUAUAUAAGAAAAUUACCACAAUUAUUCAAUUUUUUUUGCAAAUUCAAAUUUUAUUAAUAAGAAAUAGGCAGUAAGCUUUUACAAACGGAAAAAAAAAAUCCUACAACAACUCUAGGACCUUUGAAAGAAAGAAAAAAAAAAGAAAAGAAAAGCUUAAGGACUCUACCUCAUAGAAGCUAAACAAUCCUACAAAUAAACUGCAAAAUAAAUCACAAUAACGCAAAAUUUUUGUCUUUCUUCCGUAUGAAAUGAAACUACGAAGUCAAGAAUUGACUCCUUUAACCGCUAUUGCCAGCGGGCUCCGUCAGCAAGAUACAACUUUGCAAUUUGAUUCAAUAGAAAUCCUCAAAUAGCUAUUUUGACAGGCAAAUUAAGCAUUAAUUUUGGUAUCCCUUCAUAAAAUACAAGAGUACUUUUGAUUAUAUCUAUAGAUCAACUUUCUAGGCUAUUUUGAUGUAUUAUAAGAAAAUCUGCCUCAACAAUUUUGAUAGCAUUUUUCCAAAAGCAGAAGAUGGAAAAUUGCCCAUUUGUACUGGGGAGUUCGUGAUCUUUUCCUCCUUCUAGUCUACUUACAAUUCUUGGAAAAAGGAAUACUCACAUCUCAAACAACUGCCUGUUCAUCUGCAAUGUCCUGCCGAAUUCUAGAAAGUUAGGUGGCAAUGCUAAUUACAUUUCAAAAUUGACUGCUGCGAUGACUAAUUCGAUGGCUUACUACAUGGUCAACGUUUGGAUCCCUUCCUGUCCUUUUUGGAUGCACAUUUUUUUUCUCUAGGCAAUAUAUAAUCUCCCAACUCAUUUCUUUACAAAUGCACCUUUAAUCACCACCAAAAGGUGUGGACAUGAUCUUUACCCUAGAAAACUAAUCACCGACAGGCAAAUUGACGUCAGAAAUACUAAGAGGAAUUCUAGUUUCCUUCGGGUUAAUGCCAUUUUGUACCCUUCAACUGUAACUCGAUUUCUAAACUAUAAUUUGUGACAUUAUAGUCCUUAAACUAUGAAACCCCUCUUACUUAAGUACAAUGGUUAAUACAAUACCCGUGACUAGACAAGCAACCAUAACAAAAAAAAAUCCAAAAUUAGAGAAAAGAAAGAAGUUUCGCGACCAAAGUAUGUAUCAAGGCAUAGUAUAGAAAUAAAAGUGUCCAAAUUAAGAGUUUAGGGAUAAAAGAGAUCAAGAUAUAGUUUAGGGAUUGAUUUGUCUCAAUUAGAGUUUUGAUGUCAACUAAGAAGAGAGAUAUAGUUGAAGGGUAGAAUAUAGAUAUAACAGUUCAAUGAUUGAUAUCAACGAGACAAUGACAACUUUGGAUUAUUACCAACCUCUUCUUGAUGGGAAAAGGAAAUAGAGAAGAAAGUCGGGCCUGGUCUAAGCCUGCUUCGGAGGCAAAACAACAUUAUGAAAUCACCGGCAUUCACACAAAUAUGUCAAAGUCACCGGCAUGCUAAGUUGCAUAAUUUAUACAAACACUGAAUAAUAUAUUGUUCUUAAAAUUUUUGUUUAAGAUUUAACAAUUAGAGCACGGUACACGAAUUAGCAAUAUUAAAUAAUGAAUGUUCACGAUUGAUAAAGUUAUCAAAGUACAGUUUGAGGACAACCCAUUCCAACGUGUACAAGAUGUUUAGCCUUUGAAAAGUUAAUUAGAGAAGGUGACGAGAUUUUACUAGGCUUAAAUCUUCUAGGCCUCGGAAGUAAAAAAUGAAGGCCUUUGAGUGCUAUAAAAAGGGGGCUAGAUGUUGCCUAGAAGCAUAUCAGCCUCAGACCACAUUUUGUAGCAAUGGGGAGCAAAGCAAAAGCAAUGGGGUCUAGGCUGACUCCUCUUCUUACCACCGUUUUAGUGGUAUUUGUUGCUCUUGGCUUGCCUUCAGAAACUGUGGCUGAUUACUACAAGUAUUCAUCUCCUCCUCCUCCUUACCAUUAUUCCUCACCACCACCUCCUGUGCAUUCACCUCCACCACCGCCAAUUUAUAAGUCACCCCCACCACCUUACCACUACUCCUCACCGCCACCUCCAGUGUAUUCAUCUCCACCACCACCUUCGCCAGUUUACAAGUCUCCGCCACCACCUUACCAUUAUUCGUCACCACCGCCUCCGGUGCAUUCACCUCCACCACCACCUGUUUACAAGUCACCUCCACCACCUUCGCCAGUUUACAAGUCUCCGCCACCACCUUACUAUUAUUCGUCACCACCGCCUCCGGUGCAUUCACCUCCACCACCACCGAUUUACGAGUCACCUCCACCACCUCCUCCAGUUUACAAGUCUCCGCCACCACCUUACCAUUAUUCCUCACCACCACCUCCAACGCAUUCACUCCCACCACCAGUUUACAAAUCACCGCCACCACCUCCUCCUAUGUAUAAGUCCCCUCCACCACCUUAUCAUUAUUCCUCACCACCACCUCCAGUGCAUUCACCCCCACUGCCACCAAUUUACAAGUCUCCGCCACCUCCAAUCUACAAGUAUAAGUCACCACCACCUCCUCCCCCAAUUUACAAGUCACCACCACCACCUCCUCCAGUAUAUAAGUCCCUACCCCCACCAGUGUAUAAGUACAAGUCUCCACCACCACCUCCUCCAGUAUACAAAUCACCUCCACCACCUCCUCCAGUUUACAAAUCUCUACCACCACCAAUUUAUAAAUACAAGUCUCCUCCACCACCUCCUCCGGUUUACAAUUCCCCACCACCACCAAUCUACAAGUCUCCACCUCCACCCUCCCAUUACUACUACAAUUCUCCUCCUCCUCCUCCUCAUCACUACUAAGCAAUUGUAUCCAAGUUUUUGAGGUAAUAAUGCUAAACCAAUAUAUUAACUUUCGCAUGAUAAACUUUAUCUCUAUCAAGACAAACUGCCAUGUGCAUCAAGCCAAAUACGUACACUUCGAUCCAUGAAAAUGACAAGUAGAAGGUUUUCUUAAGAACCAAGGAACAGCAUUAGUAUUCCCUCUGUUUCCAAAACUUGUGUAUUAAAUAGAUUAAUGAAUUGUUUAACAUGCUUAUCUACUUGAAAAUGCACAAUACCCAUAACCCACUGAAAUUUUUGCAGGUAAAGGGGAAGAGAAUCUGUGUUUGAGAGCUUCAUGAAGAUGUUGAAGAAUAAGAAUAAAAGCCCAAUGCGAGGAUGUUUUCAAGUUUUUCUAUGUUUCCACUUUAAUUUGUAAAUUGAAUUUUUCGACUUAAUUAAUUCCCUGUUUGUGGGGUACGUAUUGUUUUACGUACCAUGCCGUACAUGUUUGUAAGGAUUUCUAUCCUAUUGGCAAAAGUCGGUUCCAUACAAUUAAUCAAUUCAUUUCACUUCUAUUGGCUCUACUAUUUAUGCACGUUACGACAUUUUUUCUCUCUUUCCCUUAUAUUUUGUCUUUAAUAUUAUUGAGUCAAUAGUAAUACUGGGCCAUUUUUUUUAAAACUUAUACUAGUAUACAUAGGUAGUUUGGUCUAACGCCAAAUUCAUGUUUGUCUUUCUUUUAUUCCCUUUACAUUUCAAAGUAUACUAUAGUUUGUGAUCAUUGUGGUGAUGAUAUUACCAGCUGGUACUUAUAGUUUAAGGCAGAGACAUGAUAUUAACAACUAUCUCAUUGAAACAUAAGGAAAAAUCAUGACAAGUGUGAGUCUUGGUUAAUGCACAAUUUGUUAGUGGAAUUUAUAUUUAUAAAACUCAAAAAAAAAAUUUUGACAAUGCUAUUACUAAUUAAUUAAGGACUUUAUUGCUAUAAUUUAUCGCUUGCUAGUUUAAACUAUAAAUGAUCUCAAUACUUUUCUCCAUGAUGUCGAUUUCUUUAGAUACGAAAGGGAAAAAUUAGUGACAUAUCCCUUACUGAUUACAACAUCAGCAAAAAUUAGUUAUAAACUUUUCCGGUGGUUUUAAAUCCCCGGGCCCUAAGAUUUUUUGCUCAUCGAGUGAAUUAAGGAACAUAGGCAAUUCAUUUUGCAUACCAAGUCCUUGUUUAAGAUGCAAGUACUAAAAUGCAUCCACUUCAUUAAUUUGGGAAAUUGCCAUAGUUUUUUUAAGCAUUUUGAUUUUUUACAUGAUUUAAAAUUUUCUUAUUGGAUACAAUCACUUUGUAUCAAGAACACAUUUUCAAUCACCUUUUUUUAUCUUCUCAAUGAGAAAAUAAAAAUUUAUUCAUGCUUUUCUAACAUAUUCAAUCAUUGAUCUGAAAAUUAAAACAUUAAGAAAAGGACAUUUUCAAACAUUAAGAAGUAGUAUUUUAAAGACCAUGAUGAAAUUAAUACUUUCAAGGUCUCUAUUAGGAAGACUUCCUUUAUUAAUACUCUACUAGGCAGAGUUAUAUGCACGUUUACUGUUUUGGCCUUAAGUUGGGUGCAGAUGCUUAUAUUACAAAUAGAUGGUAUCAAAAAAUUGUUGUAUUCACGUCUGUUCUUUUUUUCUUCCUUAAGUUUUUUUCUUUAUUCUCGUGACUUCGCUAGUGAGGUAUAACUUCACAACUAGAGUCAAUAGAAAUCGUCAAAUGAUUUUUUGACAUCCAAAUUAAGCAAUAAAUUUUGUUUUCAUUUCAUAACAUAUAAUAGUACUACUUCAUGGGAGAUUUUAUAGUUUCUUUAGGGUAUCAUACCUACAAUUGAUAUUUAUCAUUGGAUAGUGAAAGAAGUGUUAAUGUCUCUAAGAUUAAAUAUUGUUAAAUAUUGAAAAUUUGAACUAUUUAUCUCUAUUGAGAGAUACAACUUAAAGAAUCCUACCCAAAAGAGACUAGAAUUUUCUCUGUUUUUCAUCAUCUGUAGACAUAAACUUUCCACGGUUGAUAGCAUUUUUCAUCAUCUAUAAGGAAAUUUUGCCUAUACAAUGUGAUAGCAUUUUUCAAAAAGACAAGAUGGAAAAUUGCCCCCCUUGAACGGAAAAUUGCCCCCUUGUCAAUUCUUUAAAAAAGAAUACCGUCCCGCAGAAUUCUAGAAAGUUAGGCAAAACUAGACAAGUUGACAGGUAUAAUCAGACCCAAGAUCAGGAACAAGCAGUUGCACAUUUCAAAAUUCGCUGCUGCAACAACUAAUUUGAUGACUUACAACACUAAAUGGUCAAACUUUGAAUGGCAAUGAAUCUUUUGUUGUACAUCAUGAUGUAAUUUUCAUGUUACAUAAUAGAUUGAUAUCUAUGUUCUUUAAAUUAUCAUAAUAAUUAAAUUUAACUGAAAAAAAGAACACAUAUCAAUACACAAAAGUGUGCAACGUGAAUGUUAUUUUAGUGUAUUGCAGAAGACCUAUAGUCUCUUCAUAUCUCUUCCUGCACGUAUCAAUUCGUUUCCUCUAGAUAAUAAUCUCCCAACUCAUUUAUUUACAAAUGCACCUUUUAUGUUUUAUUACCUCCAAAAGCCUAAAAAUCAAUUCACCGACUCGCAUUUGGUAUCAGAAAUUCUUAUUACGAAUUCUACUUUACUCAAAGAUUGACUGUUAAUAAUGAGACAACGACCAUUUUGUAUUAUUACACCGUCCUUCUUGAUAGGCAAAAGAAAUAGAGAGGAAAGCGGGUCCGUAUAUGGUCUUUUAUUCAUAGAUAAUACAACAUUACGCCAUCGAGCAUUCACACAAUAUUUCAAAGUCAUUGCAUGCCUAAGGCCUGCUUGAUAAUCUAAUUCCGUACUUAAAUUUAAUAAAUUCAAAUCUUAACACAUUCAAAUCGUUUGAUAACAAAAAAUUGAACAUCUAAAUUAAUUAAGUAACACUGAAUUUUCUAGGCAAAACUUGCUCCCAAAAUUAAGUGAUAAGUUAUUCACUUAUCACUGAAUAUGAUAUGUAUUCAAAUGUAUUAGAUUUAAUACUUAAUAAUUUAAUGAAUUCAAAUUUCAUAUUUCAUAUUUCAGUUUUAUCAAACACACCUUAAGUUGCAAAAUAAUACCAAAACUUGUUAUUACAUAGCUUGAGAUUCAAAAAUUUAGAGCAUAAUUCUCAACCAAACACAAUUGAAUAAUGAAUAUUCACGAGUGUCAAAUCUAUCAAAGUACAAUUUGAGGACAACCCAUUCAAACGCGUACACGAUUUUUAACUUUUCUAAAGUUGUUGAGAGCUGUUGAAAGAGAUUUACCAUGUUUACAUCUUCCAAGUCUUGGGAGUAAAAAAUGAAGCCACUGAGUGCUAUAAAAAGGGGGGUAGAGGCCACUUGAGAUCCUCGGUGACAUGUUUUCUAUGCCAAUCCAAUGCCACCAAUAGUGUUGCGCCAAGUGUCAUGUUAUUAUUUACACUUGUGUUAAACUAAGCCAAGUUGAAUUAUUAGAAAAUUAAAGUGUAAAUAAUAACAUGACACUUGGCGCAAUACUAUUGGUGACAUUGGGUUGGCAUAGAAAAUAUGUCACCGAGGAUCCCAAGUGGAUAGAUGCUGCCUAGAAGCAUAUCAGCCUAAAACAAGAAUUUGUAGUAACAAUGGGGAGCAAAGCAAAAGCAACGGGGUCUAGGCUGACUCCUCUUCUUACCACUGUUUUAGUGGUAUUUGUUGCCCUUGGCUUGCCCUUGGAAACUGCAGCUGAUUAUUACAAGUAUUCAUCUCCUCCUCCUCCUCCUUACCAGUAUUCCUCACCACCACCUCCAGUGUAUUCACCUCCACCAACCCCUGUUUAUAAGUUACCCCCACCAUCUCCUCUAGUUUACAAGUCCUCACCACCACCUUACCACUACUCACCACCUCCUGUGUAUUCACCUCCACCAUCACCAAUUUACAAGUCACUGCCACCACCCCCUCCAGUAUACAACUCCCCGCCUCCACCAGUGUACAAAUACAAGUCCCCACCACCACCUUCUCCAAUUUACAAAUCUCCACCGCCACCAGUUUACAAGUACAAGUCACCCCCACCACCUCCUCCGGUAUACAAGUCUCCUCCGCCACCUGUUUACGAGUACAAGUCUCCUCCACCACCUCCUCCAGUGUACAAGUCCCCACCACCUCCAGUUUACAAGUACAAGUCACCACCACCUCCUCCCCCGGUUUACCAAUCUCCUCCACCACCAGUUUACAAAUACAAGUCACCACCACCUCCUCCCCCAGUUUACCAGUCUCCACCUCCACCCUAUCAUCACUACUACGGUUCUCCUCCUCCUCACCACUACUAAGCAAGUGCAUCUAAGUUUUGAGGUAAUAAUACCGAUCCAAAACUUUAUCAACGCAAACUGCCAUGUAUAUCAUGCUAAGGACGUACACUUGAUCCAUGAAAAUGGCUAGUAGAAGAUUUUUUUUAAGAACCAGAGAAAUACAUUAUUUUUUCGCUCUGUUUUCAAGAAUUUGAGCAGUAUACAGAUUAAAGAGUGUUUUUUUUAAACUUGCUUAUCAACUUAGAAAUGCACAUAGCUGAAAGCCAACUGAAUAUUUGCAGGCAAAGGAGAAGGCAAUCGGUGUUUGAGACCUUCAUGAAGAUGUAGAAGAAUAAGAAUAAAAGCCCAAUGCGAGGAUGAUUUCAAGUUUCUACGUUACCAUUUCUACAUCUAAAUUGACUUUAGCUCCUGAGUUCCAUGUCUAUGGGGUUUGUACUGUUUUACGUACCAUGCAGUACAUGCUUGUAAGGUUUUCUGUCCUGUUGGCAAGCCGCAGGUCCAUAUAAUAAAUGAAUACUAUUUAUAUUACGACACUUUUCUCUCUUUCUCUUAUAUUUUGUCUUUAAUAUUGUUGAUCAUUUUUUUUUUUUAUCAAAAGUAUCAAAUGCUUAGGCAAUUUGGUCUAAUGCUAAUUGUUUUACAUUUAUUUUUCACCUACAUCCCUUUUCAACUCAAAGGAUGCUACAGUUUGUGAUCAUUGUUUAAGACCGAAGCAUGGUACUAAUAAAUAUCUCAUUGAAAGUCAAGGAAACUAACAUUAUGAAAAGUGUAAAUCUUGAUUUGUGAAACUAUUUAUUCGUGGAAUUUAGAGAUACAAAACUCAAAUUGUGACGGUGUUGUUGCUAAAUUAUUUUUUUUUUAUAAUAAAACACAGUUCAUUCAAGGAUUACUGGAAAUCGUCCAGCACAAUUGAGAUACAUUGUUGCCCAGGUGGCAGAUAAAUAUGCACUAAAAUUAUAGAUAUGCAAUUUAACAAAUACAUAAGAUUUGAGAAAUUAAGGACAAAUCUAAAAAGGACCAUAAAUUUGAAAAACAUUUCAUCCUAGAAUAAGUCGCUGCAACUCUCUUUGUGCAUGCUGUAAUCGUCAGAUCUACUAAUCAACAGUUGUAAGGUCCAGUAAAGAUGGUGAGAUCUGCCGAGAUUGAUCCAAAUCUGAAAUAUUCCCUCAGAUCUGCUAUCCAAUUGGUUCAAACUCAAUACUGAAAGUGAAAUCUGAUGAGAAGACUGAAAAAAUUGUAGAUCUAACAUAUAGAUCUAAAAAAACUCCAAGAUUUGAAAAAGUAAAGAAACAAAACUAAAUAAAACUCUCAUUAAGAUAGUUUAGGAGAGACUAAAACUCUCAAUAGGACACCCUAGGAGAGAAGAAAACUCUCACUAGGAUAACCUAUGAGAGACUUUAUUGAAUGAAAGGAAAAGCAAAGGACAAAGGAAGAAGAAGGGAGACCUUGGCUUAAGGCCAAGGUCUCCCUCCUAUGGAGGAGGAAGGGUAGAGGAGGAAGCCUAGAGAGAAGGAAGAGAAUCCCUCCGCUAGAGGGAAGGAAGAGCCUCUGAGAGGGUACCCGUGUUGUUGCUAAAUUAUUAAGGACAUUAUCACCAUUACUUUUCCCUUACUAGUUUCAACUGCAAUGAUCUCAAUCUUUUUGUGACUAAUUCUUUUCUUAAUAAUUUAUAAAUACAAAACUCACAAAGAAUAUGUGACUUAUUCUUUCCUUUCGUCUUCUAAAGAAAAUGCCAACUGUUAGUUUAUCAAGGGAAAAAGGAUCGACAUCAGUUGUUAUUGAAACUAGUAAGGAAUAAAUAAUGGUGAUAAUGUCCUUAAUAAUUUAACAACAGCACCAUCAGAAUUUGAGCUUUGUAUCUAUAAAUUCCACGAAUAAAUAGUUUCAUCAAAUCAAGAUUUACACUUUUCAUAAUGUUAAGUUUCCUUGACUUUCAAUGAGAUAUUUAUUAGUAUCAUGCUUCGGUCGUAAACAACGAUCACAAACGAUAGCAUCCUUUGAGUUGAAAAGGGUAGUGAAAAAGAGAAGUAAAAAAUACAAUUAGCAUUCCCUCAAAUUGUAGAAAGUUAGGUAGCAUUAUAGACAAGUUGAUAGCCGUAAUUAUACUAAAAAUCAGGCAAAAGCCAGCAAUUUUACAUUUCAAAAUUCACCUAUUCAAUAACUAAUUCGAUGGCUUGCUACAUGGUCAAAAUUCACCACAUAUCCCUUUCCUCAAUCAGGGGCUUCUACAAUUACCAGUUCCAAUUGUAUGGUAUAGUGUAAAUAUCAACAAAUUAGAUGUAGACACUAAUAUAAUAAAUAUGGAUGCUAAGGCAACAACAUACAAAAACAUAAUAAAUUUUGGCAUUCCUUAAAAAAUUACGUCCCCAAAUCAAUCUCAUACACCCAAUUUCUAAUUUAUUUAACUCAUUCCGUCUAUUAACUGCACCAUACAAUCCAACCUGCAAUUGCAUGAACCCCAAUCUCGCUUCCUAGUCCACCAUUUUUCUCUAGGUAAUAAUCUCCCUUCUAAUUUCUUCACAAAAUGCACCUUUCAUCACCUCCAAUAGCGUCGACAUGAUCUUUACCCUAGAAGACUAUUCACCGACUCCCAAUUGACGUCAGAAAAUCUAAGAGUAAUUCUACUUUACCCUAAGAUUGAUAUCAACUAGACAAUGACAAUUUAGAAUUAUUACACGCCUCUUCUUAAUAGGAAAAAGAAAUAGAGAAGAAAGUCAGGCCAGGUCUAAUUUCUUUUCGAAGGCAAUACAACAUUACGAAAUCAAGCAUUCAUUCAUACAAAUAUUUCAUAGUCACCGGUUUGCUGAGUAGAAAAGUUUAUACAAAAACUUAAUAUUAUAUUGUUUAAGAGUUAACAAUUUAGAGCUUAAUCUCCUUGUACUUUGGACUAAACUCGAACGUGAAAGGAAAUCCCAAAACCAUAUUGGGCAUGAAUUCACACUUAAAUAGACCCAAAAAAAGAUGGCGACUGGUGAAAGGCAGUGGAGACUGGUGGUGAGAUUUGAGGAAUAGAAGCAGACGGAAAAGCCACAAAUUUUUGCCGAAAGAGGGUCACUUUCAUGGUUAAUUUUGCUACUCUCUACUUGUACUUGACCAAUGACAGGUUGUCAGUCUGUGCAAUAAUAAAAACCUGUUCAAACUAAAAGUAAUUUCUGUAGAUAGUGGUAAGCAGGGUCGAAUCCACAGGGAUUAGGUGUAACUGUUUCUUUUCAAAUUCACAAUAACAAAGGGGGUGUUUUUAUGCAGAAUGUGACAAUCAAAGAAAUUCAAUUAAAAGUAAAAUAAUAAAAAUAAAAUAGCCAACUAGAAAUUAAAUAACAAUUUACUAAAAUCAAAUGAGUGAUAAUUAAGGAUCUAGCCAAGGAAUAACUUCAGCAGUGGUUCACCUAAUUGAUCAUUGGAACAAAGGCAAUUCCAAUUAUUUACUAAUAAAUAGGUUAUAACUGCCAAACAAGCGAUGACAGUCAAUCACUCCUUACUGUGUCGGUGAUUAAGGUACGCCCGUUAAUCACUGCCCUAAUUGAGAAAUAAUCUUAGGUACGCCCGUAAGAUUUAAUUUUCCAAUUGCCUUACAUAUUAGAGGAGUGUCAGGAACAAGGAAAUAGAAUGGGACGUCGUUUAAUGCAAAGGGUUGUGCGUUUAAGGCCUUAGAAGCAAUACUACGUCGUUCUAAUAACAUAGGCGGUGCUGGUGUGAUAGGCCAAGUUAGUUGAGGGUCAAUUACAUAAAUAGCCUUCUGUAACAGAUUUUUGGUUAUGUUUUUGAAUGAAAAGUAUCUCGCUGCUUUCUCUCUCUUGUCUGUUAUUUCCCUCCCUUUUCUUCUUUCUCUCUUCCCUCUUCUUAAUCUUGUUUCUUUCUUCUGAUUCUUCCCCCAAAUUCAAUACAAUUCCAGAAAUUAACCUGCAAGUCUGACAUUUGGUAUCAGAGCGGUCGAUUCUUGGCCGCGAAGGUAUCAGAAAUGGCUGAGAGCACGCGAUUCAGGACACUGGAGGAGCAACUCAAGAAGCAGGAGAAUCGGUUGCAAGAACUGGCGGAAUCCAUGGCUGCACUGCAGAGUACGAGUUCCGAGGAGUUGCGGCAUAAGCUACAGGCGGAAAUGGAGCAGAACAAUGCAAAAUUGGACGCGGUGGUGGGAAGUCUGGACCAGAAGUUCAAUAAAAUGGAACAGAGACUCAGUACAGUGUUGAAGCUGCUGAUGAAGGAGAAAGGUCUCCCUGAUGUCGAAGGAGGAAUUUCUGAUCCAAUCUUGCCGACUCCUCCAUCUCAUCUGAGGUUAGCAUCCUCAGUCGAAGGGAUUGGGCACCAACAAGAGUACAGAGGUAGGCAAUUCACUCCUAAUGUACCUCGAUUAGAACUGCCAAUGUUUAACUCUGGAAACCCUAGGGAAUGGACCAGGAAAUGCCAGAAAUAUUUUUUGAACUAUCAGAUAGCAGAGAGUCAAAAGGUAGAGGUAGCAGAGAUGUUUUUGGAAGGUAGAGCUGACAAUUGGUUUCAAGGAGUGAAAUUGGUGAGGCCAGGGUUGUCUUGGGGGGAAUUUAGUGAACUUUUGUGUGAAAGAUUUUCUGGAAGUAGUUCUCGUGACAUUGUGGAGGAAUUUAACAAGUUACAGCAGAAAGGAACUGUUGAGGAAUAUGAGGAGAAAUUUGAAGAACUAAAAGCUCUAAUGCUGAUGAAAACCCCCAGGUUGGAUGAACUUUACUUUGUUUCCAGUUUUAUUAGUGGCCUCAGGGAAGAAAUUAGACCUAUGGUGAAGAUGUUUAAGCCUCAAACACUGAUGAAGGCCUUUGAAGUUGCGGAGUUGCAGGAGUGUUCCCUGGAAAUCCAAUCGAAACAAAACAGAACUUCAAGGAGGACAGCAAUGGAACCCAAGUUUGGAAUGUAUAAGGGCACUACGAGUGAUUAGGGUCGCCAAAAUUCAUAUAAGUUGCCUGGAGUCACUCCUGUCUCCAGGAGGACUAAUGCAGUACACAAGGAAUUUAGUAAGAUAUCAGCGGAGGAAAUGCAGUAUAAGCGUAAGCACAGCCUGUGCUAUAGGUGUGGAGAGAAGUUUGGAAUAGGUCAUCAGUGUAAGAAAGGAAGUCUGAACUGUGUGAGCACUGAGGAAGAGGAGGACACUGAAUUUGAGGAUGCGGAAGGGGAACAGGAUGAGUUAACAGGAAGGGUCGGGGAACUUGCAGAAGUCUCUUUGAAUGCUUUAUCUGGUGCCAUAAGGAGGAAAUCCAUCCUGUUGAUAGGGAACUUAGGGGGGCUUCCAGUCAAAAUUUUGGUGGACACAGGCAGUUCUAACAGCUUCAUUCACCACAGGAUUGUCAACCUACUGCAUCUACCAUAUCAGGCAGUCAGUCCAUUUACUGUGACUCUAGCAGAUGGAACUGACAUUACCAGUGGAGCCAUCAGUCCCAGCGUGUCUUGGUUAAUUCAGGACUAUCAAUUCCAAUUUGACUUAAAAGUAAUGGAAUUAGGGGGAUGGGAUAUAAUUCUGGGGGUGGACUGGAUGUGCCAGUAUAGUCCCAUUACAUUUGAUUUCCACUCUCUUAGCAUUGCCCUUAGUGAUAGGGGUUCUUUACUACACCUCCAAGGACUUGUGAAGCAACCUACUAUGGAACUGGUGAGGGGCAGGGAUCUCAGCUCGUUUAUACAGGAGAAGCAAAGAAACUGUGCAGCCAUGCAUGCUGAUAGGGCCAGGGAAACAGGAGAGCAGCUUCCAAAAGCUAUAGAAAGGAUCCUGGAACAGCACUCUCAGGUUUUCUCCACCCCAACAGGAUUACCCCCAGAGAGGGAAUUGGACCAUCAGAUCAACCUCAAACCAGGAGCUGAACCCUUCAAGCUCAAACCUUACAGGUACCCCCACUCACAUAAAGCAGAAAUUGAAAAAAAAGUUGCUGAGAUGCUCACUAAUGGAAUUGUUAUACAUAGCACAAGCCCCUAUGCCUCCCCUGUAUUGUUAGUAAAGAAAAAGGAUAACUCCUGGAGAUUAUGCAUAGAUUACAGGAAGCUGAACGAGCUGACUAUAAAGGAUAAGUUCCCUAUUCCCAACAUAGAUGAACUAUUGGAUGAAUUACAUGGAACCAGAUACAUGUCCAAACUGGAUCUCAGAGCUGGUUACCAUCAGUUGAGGGUGAAAGCUGUUGAUACCCCUAAGACUGCCUUCCAGACACACCAUGGCCACUUUGAAUUCUUAGUGAUGCCUUUUGGACUCACAAACGCGCCAGCUACAUUUCAGUCCUUGAUGAACAGAAUAUUUCAGCCAUAUCUCAGAAAGUUUGUCCUAGUCUUCUUUGACUACAUAUUAGUGUACAGCCCCACACUAGAGAUGCAUGCACAGCAUCUACAGAUUGUGCUCAAUAUUUUAGAAGAAAAUCAGCUGUAUUACAAGAGGUCAAAGUGCUCUUUUGCCCAGUCCUCAAUUGAAUACUUGGGGCACGUGAUCUCAGAGGCAGGAGUGAGUAUGGAUGUGGCUAAGGUGGAGUGUAUCAAGUCCUGGUCUGUUCCUAGUACAGUCAAGGAGCUGAGAGGGUUUUUGGGAUUAAUUGGUUACUACAGGAGAUUCAUUAAAGGCUAUGGAGUGAUUAGCAAACCCUUGACUGUAUUGUUGAAAAAGGAAGGUUUUGCAUGGAACCAUGAAGCUCAAAUGGCCUUUGAAGAUUUGAAAAAGGUUAUGACCACAGCCCCAGUGCUGAGCAUGCCUAAUUUCGAACUUCCUUUUGUCAUAGAGACUGAUGCCUGUGGAAUAGGUAUUGGAGCAGUGUUGAUGCAGCAAGGACAUCCUAUUGCUUUCCUUAGCAAGGCAUUAUCAGUUCAGAAUUUGGGGUUAUCAGUCUAUGAAAAAGAGCUUUUUGCCUUAGUGCUAGCUGUAACUAAGUGGAGGCAUUACCUGGUGGGUCAUCACUUCAUUAUCAGGACAGAUCACCAAGCUCUCAAACAUUUGAUAGAGCAAAGGCUUACUCAUCCACUCCAGCACAAGUGGCUAACUAAGCUACUUGGUUUGGACUAUGAAAUACAGUAUAAAAAGGGUGCAGACAAUGGGGUGGCAGACGCCCUCUCCAGGAGAAGGAUUGAGGGAAACACUGUUGACUGUGGAGAGACUGGGCAUCAGACCUGCGCCAUAACCUCAGCUCAGCCUAGUUGGAUGCAGGAAAUGCUAGAAAGCUACAUUGGAGAUGCAGAGGCUCAACAGAAGUUAUCUGAGCUAUUGCUGGAUCCCAAUGCAGAUCCAGAUUAUCAGUUAAAGAAUGGGAUGCUCAAGUUUAAAGGGCGGCUGUACAUAGGAUCUGCUAACAACAUUAGGACCAAGGUGGUCAGAGCAUUGCAUGACUCAGCCCUUGGGGGGCACUCAGGUCCUGGAAUCCGUAAGGAUGUCCUUCAAUAUGUGAGAUCUUGUGAUGUGUGUCAAAGGAACAAACAUGAAAAUGUUCCUUAUCCUGGGUUGCUGCAACCAAUUCCUGUACCUCAGCAGGCUUGGUCACACCUCACCAUGGAUUUUAUUGAGCAACUACCCCCAUCCCAUGGAUUUGAUACCAUUUUGGUGGUGGUGGAUAGGUUAACCAAGUUCAGCCACUUCAUUCGACUCACUCACCCUUUUUCUGCACAGCAGGUAGCACAGCUUUUCCUUGACAACAUAUACAAGCUGCAUGGACUUCCUGAGACCAUUAUAACUGACAGGGACAUAAUCUUUCUUAGUAAGUUUUGGCAAGAGUUAUUUGGUAUGGUAGGGGUAAAGCUGCACUACAGUUCAUCGUAUCACCCUCAAUCAGAUGGUCAAAGUGAAAGGGUCAAUCAGUGUUUGGAAAACUAUCUCAGGUGUAUGUGCAGUGAGCAUCCUUCUCACUGGAGCAGUUGGCUUCCUACAGCUGAGUUAUGGUACAACACUAACUUCCAUACUAGCUUGCAGGUGACACCAUUCGAAGCACUAUACGGGUAUAAACCAAAUCACCUUCCCUUAGGACCUUUUCAUGAUAGCCUGGUACCUGCUGCUGGUAACAUGGUGCAGACUAGGCUCCAAAUUCUAUCCCUCAUCAAAGAGAAUCUAGCCACCGCCCAGAAUCGAAUGAAAAUGUUUACUGAUAAGCACAGGACUGAACGUGUCUUCCAAGUGGGGGAUUGGGUAUUUCUCAAGCUGCAACCUUACAGGCAACAAUCAGUGGCCUUACGGAAGAAUUUGAAGUUGGCUGCCAAAUACUUUGGACCUUUCCAGAUCCUUGCGAGAGUAGGGGAAGUCGCCUACAGACUUAAGUUGCCAGAGGGAGCUCGAGUUCAUUCCGUGUUCCAUGUGUCCUUACUUAAAAGGAAAGUGGGAGUUACACAGCAGGUAAAGCCCAGCUUGCCAGAAGUAGACGCAUCAGACCAAUGUUUGCUGAAGCCAGAGAAGAUUCUCCAGAGGCGUGUUAUCAUACGAGCUGCCAAACCAAUCAUCCAGUACCUGGUGAAGUGGAACAACUUACCAGAAUCCGAAGCAUCAUGGGAGGAUAAAAGCUUCAUUGACAGACAAUUUCCGGAAUUUCAAGCUUGAGGACAAGCUUUGCUUAAGGGGAAGAGAUUGUCAGGAACAAGGAAAUAGAAUGGGACGUCGUUUAAUGCAAAGGGUUGUGCGUUUAAGGCCUUAGAAGCAAUACUACGUCAUUCUAAUAACAUAGGCGGUGCUGGUGUGAUAGGCCAAGUUAGUUGAGGGUCAAUUACAUAAAUAGCCUUCUGUAACAGAUUUUUGGUUAUGUUUUUGAAUGAAAAGUAUCUCGCUGCUUUCUCUCUCUUGUCUGUUAUUUCCCUCCCUUUUCUUCUUUCUCUCUUCCCUCUUCUUAAUCUUGUUUCUUUCUUCUGAUUCUUCCCCCAAAUUCAAUACAAUUCCAGAAAUUAACCUGCAGAUCUGACAAGGAGCCCUAUUCUAACCAAAUAACACACUACCAGGGUUAUUUUAGGUUAGCCCGCGUAUUCCCCUGACAUGAAUCCAAUCAUGCCAGUUAUCACUAUUUUGAAACAAUUAAACAAUUACGGAUUUAACGUCCCAAUUGACAAUAGAUUAUCAAAUUAACUAAUUAUCCGGAUCCAAAACAAUCAAUUAAUUAAAUAAUCAUAAGCACUGUAAUCAGGGAAUAUUUGAAUACCAAUAAAUAAAAAGAAAGGACAAAAUUAAAUCGAUUUCACAAUUUUUAAACGAACCACAACCUCAGUUGUUCCUCGGCUAGAUUGAGAAAAUUAGCUCAUGUUCGAUGCGAAAAAUCCACAAGAAAUUGUUAAGAGAGCCGCGGCCAUUGUCCCUUGAAAUUGGGGAAAUUCAAUUCGGUUGAACUACGAAAGAAAAGUAAGCUACAGAGAGUUGCCGAUUGGGUUUUGCUUGUCCCUAACAUGCGAGGGAGCAAAGCCACGAAAGGACGACAAAGGUCAAAAAGAAAGGCUACAGAGCAUGUUCCAGGUCUUUUUGUGCUCUCCACAUCCGAGCCAACGAAAAGAAAUAAAAAACUACCAGGAGCUAAAGGAAAACCGCAAGAAAAGUCAAAGGCUAAAAAAACUUCCUAGUGCUUGUUCUCUGCUUAUCUCUUUAUCUAAUUCUAAGUCCCCGAUUUUUUGCUCCGUGCGGCGGCUCCCCCGGAGAGAAAGGAUUGCAUCCGCUGCCCUCUUCCACCAAUUACCAAAAUGGGCACACCGCUUCUUUUUCAAAAAUGCUCCUGGAUAAACUCUAUCAUCUGGACUUUUUUUCUGUCAAAUUGACAUUUAUUAUUAUAUUUUCGUUCUACUCCCUGAAAUAAAUGUAAAAUAUUAAAAAUGAGUAGAAUCCGACAAUUAAUUCACAUCAGGUCAGAUAAUAAAGAAAAUUAAUAAUAAAAUAAAUAAAUAAAUUGCAACCUAUCAACCAAAUACAACAAUUUCAUGGAGUUUGAUACACAAGCCCAAAUACACGAGAGUGUGUAACCUGAAUUGUUACUUAUACAUUAGUGUGUAAUAGAACGGCAAGCAUUAUGGUGGUCAUUGAGCAACUUGUAGGAGAAAUAGUCCUAUAAGCUGUUCAAUGACCAAUCACAACUUGCUAAUUGGAUGACUAAUAUAGCUCUAGCUGUAAUGUUUUAAUUAAAUUCCAUCACUAACGUUGGGAUGACUUUUUAAUCAAAAAAAAAAAAGCCUUAGUUCAAGCUUUUCCCCUUAUUGUGCAUUUUUUAAAACAUUUGAUAGGCACUGCAAAUCUGUCAUUUUGGACAUUUUAUUAUUAACUAACAAUGAAAGCCGUGGACAUCAACCCAUAUCCAACAAAAUAUUAAAUUAAUAUUAGAAAAAAUUAUUAAGUAAUUGGAAAAAAAAAGAAGAGGCUAAUUUUCAUUGAAACCCACCGACAAACUAUACGCUGCUUUCAAUCAGUUUUAACACGGGAAAAAGAAAAGGCAUGAAAAGCAAAAUUUGUGGGGAUAAUUUCGGAAACCUCCCAUGAAGUUUUUGACUAUUUUACUGGCCUCCCUUCAGAUUUUAAAAAUUGGACUAAUCUUCCUUAAAGUUAAUUAUCUUGUAACAUUUAGAUCCGAUCAAUAAUUUAAAAAAUAAUAUUAUGAGAGAGAAAAUAAUAUGAUUUUAUUAUUGCCCCCAUCUCACCACAUUAUUUAAUUAAUUUAAUAGCAACCCACACAUUAAAGAAAAUGACAGGUCGUCAACCUGUGCAAUAAUAAAAUUAAACCUAAUUGCCAGUUAAAAUGACCAAAACCCAAUUCCAAGUACUGGAGCAGGGACUCUAGGUGUGCAAUGGGUUACUUGAUUCACCCUGUUCCCGAAGAGUUUGCUUGAUCCGAUAUACCCGAAUGGAAUGGUUAUUCCUUUUCACAAAUGAUUAGGAAUUUGUAGACAGGGCAAGUAGGGUCGUAUCCACAGAGACUGGGUAUAUUUGUUUCUUAAGAAAUCCAAAGUAACACAGGGGGUGAUUUUGUAGGAACGACGAUAAUUAAAUAAAUUCAAAUGAGAAAGUAAAAAUAAAUAAUUAACUAGAAAUUAAACCACAAUUUACUGAACUCAGGAUAACAAUAGUUAAAGGCCUCAAUUAAUUAAAAUAAGGAAACAAUCAAAAAUAAAAUAAAGUAGGUAAUUAAAAGUCAAAUGGCAAUCCACUACAAUCAAGGAAAUAUUAACUAAAGAUCUAGCCAAGAAAUAACUUCAGCAAUGGUUCACCUAAUCGAUCAUUGAUGCAAAGCAAUCCCAAUUAUUUACUAAUAAAUAGGUUAUAACUACCAAACAAGCGAUGGCAGUCAACCCCUCCUUACUGUGUCGGUGAUCAAGGUACGCCCGUUAAUCACUGCUCUAAUUGAGAAAUAAUCCUAGGUACGCCCGUAGAAUUUAAUUCCCCAACUGCCUUACGUAUUAGAGGAGCCCUAUUCUACCCAAAUAACACACUACCAGGGUUAUUUUAGAUUAGCCCGCGUAUCCCCCUGACACGAAUCUAAUCGUGCCAGUUGUCACUAAUUUGAGGUAAUUAAACAAUUACGGAUUCAAUACCCCAAUUGACAAUAGAUUAUCAAACCAAUGAAUUAUCCGGAUCCAAGACAAUCAACUAAUUAAAUAAUCAUAAGCACUGCAACCAAGGAAUAUGCGAAUACCAAUAAAUAAAGGAAAAGAUAAAAUUAAAUCGAUCUCACAAUUUACAGGUGACCCAAAGCAUCAGUCGUUUCUUGACUAGAACGAGGGGGUUAGCUCAUAUUGGAUGAACUAAGCCCGCGGGAAAUUCCAGCAAAAGUCACGGCCGUUGUAUGCAUUUCAAGAGCCGCAAUUCGUCAAACACUUGGAAAGCGAAUGUAAGGCACGGGUAACAAUUGAAACUUUCUAAUUGUUCCUAGCAUUCGUAAAGCAAAUUCACUCCAGAAGUACAGUGAGGAAAAGUCAAAGAAAGUGGGCUUCAAUUCCUUGCUCCUGACAUGCGUGGAGACAAGCCAAUGCAAGACUACAAUAAACUAACAAGGAAAAGUCAAGAAUUGGAGCUAAGCUCCCCUGCCAUGCGCAGGAAUCCCAAAAGUAAAAAGUAAAGCUUCAAAGAAAAGUCAACAAUUCUUCCUAAGCUACAGACGGAAGAUCCAGCACAAAAGCCAGCUCCCUUUUUGAUCCCUUUUUCCCCCUUCUUAUUGCGGCGGCUCACCAGGAGAGGAGAGCCCUCCGUCCGUCCUUUCUUCCGGAAAUUACCAAAAUGGGCAUGACAUCUUCUCUUCCAAAAGUGCCCCUGGGACAAGCUUUCUCAUCUGAAUUCUUUUUUUUUCCAAUUUGGCACCUGUUAUCAUAUUUAUAUUCUACUCCCUGAAAUAAACGUCAAAUACUAAAAGUGAGUAGAAUCCAGCAAAUAAAUCCACAUCAAGUCAGGUAAUAGGAGGAAUUAAUAAUAAAAUAAAUGAAUAAAUUGCACCCUAUCAAUUCCCUCCACACCUAAACCAUGCUUGUCCUCAAGCAUAAGAAAAGUAAACGAACACCAAAAUUCGACGAUAGCCAUUGCCCAAUCUCCUAUAUUGCCAAGACAUUCAAGAGAAAAACACAUAUCGAGCAUUGGUGAUUAGAAUCCCAGAAGCAUCCCCCCGGUUAGCCUCUAACCCCCAGAUUCCUUCAAUUUCCAACUUAACUACUCUAAGAAAGAGGAAUGGCACACAACAUUUAUCAGCUAGUGGUCCGAAUAUUCACACAAGUCUUCAUAUCCAAUCCAUAAACCGGCAAGCUUCCCUAUUAUUUAGUCUCUCUUUUUUUCCGUUUUUUUUCAUUUUCAUUCUUCCCCUCUUUUUUUUUUUUUUUUAAAGCAGUAGCAAUCAACACAAAAGACUUAGUCGUUAGCCGUCAGGGCCUUUUGAUGCGAACUCCAACAUUUUUAGAAGGAGGAGCCCGGUUACUCAGCUCCUACCGCUAUACGACCACGCACUCAUAUAAAAUACCACCUUUUGACGCGAGAAUCGACACUUUUAGGUGCCGAUCCCCGGUUACUCAGUAGUAACUUAAUAGCGGAGCACAGUCAAGCUUAUUCUCAGCCAAACAAUGCACAAACGCAAAAUAACAGCACUAACAAUCAAACAUAGGAGCAGCUCGCCUCAUUAUUGUCAAACAUGGAGAACUGGAGUCAAUAUUGGACCAGUUCACAUUAAAAGGCCAUAUUCAUUCCCUACGCCUAGAAAAGUUAACAAAGAAAUCGAAAGAGUCAAACAGUUAAAUAUUCACCAAGGGGAUAUUCAGGACCCAACCACACUAACCCGAUACAUUUUGUAUUUUAAAAACUUGGCAAAAGUAGAUUUGGAGUCAAUGAGUCCACAUCUCAAUUUUAGCCUUCACAUGAAAGGCAAUCACCAAGAAGAAAGAACGGAAAAAUAAGCAACUAGAAAUGAGACUACGAAAAACUACUAAAACUAAAAACUCACUUUUUUUCUUUUUCUCUUUUUUUUUCUUUUUGAAUUUUUUUUUCAUUUUUAUUUUUUUUUAUUUUUUUUAUUUUUUAAACAUUAACUAUAAACAUUAACUACUAAAAACUAAAAACUAAAACUACUAAAAACUAAAAACACUAAAAACUGCUAAAAUGAAAAGCUGAAAACUGAAAACUACUAAAAACGGAGCACACUAGCAUAACUUUAGAUCCCCCCCACACCUAUAGGACACAUUGUCCUCAAUGUGACAAAUAAGAACCAAAAGUGAAGCACAAGUGAGAGGGGAAUCAGCCAAACUUCCCUGAAAUCGGGUCACAGCGGAGGGCGAGGUGGAAAUGGAGGUGCAAAGCCUGUAUGCAUCAGGAACUGUGCCAAAUUCUGUGCUAUGCCGGCGACAUUGGCGUCGACGUUGGUCAUCCGGGCCUGCAAAUCCUGAACCAGCUCCCUGAGAUGCUGCCAAUCAUCGGUCCCAGGUGGUGGAGGUGGCGCAGAAGUAGAGGUAGACGGCCCAGCAGUGUCCGCGGCCGACCCAGGGAAUGAAGAUGGCCCUGCCCGGGCCGAAUGGUGUGCACCCGGGGCUCGAGGUGGUCCCGGACGGGUAAACUGGUGAAAACCAUCUGGCAGACGCUCGACGACCCCCAUUUUCUCUAAGCAAACUACGUCCAAGUGCUCCAUCUCAAAUGCCAAAUGGAGGUCGUGGUCAUCCAGGUUAAGAACUCCCAACUGGGUCGCCAAGUGAGUGAUGUAGGACCCAAGGAUCAGUGGUUUGUUCUUCUUGGUCAAGACCGUCUUGAACUGUGCGGCCAACCAACAUCCCAAGUUCACCUUGAUAUUGUUCUUCAUACUCCAGAGAAAGAAGAAUUCGGGCCGAGAGAGUAUACCGGAGCUGUCCUUGCGCCCCGAGUAGCUAUAAGCUAAGAAUCGCUGAACAUAGCGGGCGCUAGGGUCCUUAAGAAAGGAGCUCCUGGACCGGGAAGGAUCGUAGCGUUGCCUAUCGACGGACAUGUCCUCCCAUACAUCAUGGUAGUGGGAGAGGAAAGGCUCUACGUAGUCACAGGCACUCUCCGCAUACUCCCUAGUCUCAGCAUACUCUCUAGUGAUAAACCCAAAUGCCAGAUUGAAUUGAGUAAUGGAGAAAUUGAAUUCUCGACCCAUGAGCCGGAAAUGAAUGACAUUCGGUGUUUCACCCGUGUAUCUCGUAGGUAAUUCGAACUCAAAGGUGGAGUAAAACUCCCGGAUCAGCUCAACAAAAGCGGGACAAGAAAUAUGGAAAUAUGGGCGCCACCCAAUGGCUGUGAACAUUUGCUCAACCUCCUCCCGUAUACCCAGGGCAGUUAGAGAGAGUCUAUGACAAGACUUACAGGAUAUUAUACGCCUCUCGCAGACCUUAGCGUACCUCUGCCGAUCGGCGGGUCUGGUAAAUGUUAAGUGCCCCCCAAAAUGAACAGGUGCAUCUACCUGAGCACCCCUAUCCCUACCCAAACGGGUUCGAACACUAGAAGAGGAGGGUAGGUUGGUAGGUGAGUUGACAGGAAUAGAGGCUUGUGGAGGGGGUUGAGACUGAGAGGUCCUAGACCUAGAGGAGGAUUUCGGUCUCACCAUUCCCCCCAAAGUAAGUUCAAGGCAACAGAAAAUCCGACAAGUAUAGAAACCAGCAAUUGACAAAGCAAAAAUCUCCCAGUAGUAACCCAGCCAAUAGCAAACAAAAGAGUUCCAGCAAGUAAUCAACAAGCAAUUCAGAAAUAUCUCAACUAAAAUCUCAAGAGAAACCCCAGCGAGUUAUCCAGCAAUUCAAGCAAUAUCCCCAAGCAAUGUGGUGGUCAAAAUGUCAUCUCCAAAUUGAACAAAUAAUCAGAGCAUUGCAACACAUUGAAAAUCUCAAUAAACGGCUCCAGUUGGCCAAGAAAAAUUGCUAACUCAUACUCAGCAAUAGUAGUGCAGCAAAGGGACAGUAACCACGCAAUAAAAACACUUAGCUUGCACUCAAAUGGUCACCCCAAAUAACAACCCAGUAUGAAACCCGCAGGCAGAGUAUUCCUCAAACCGUUAGCCUAAACCCAGUCAACAACCACGGCCAGAAAUAACCCCAUAAAUAGUGCAAUGAGUAAUCCCCAGCAACAUAAUCAGGUGUAAUCAACUGGAGCAAGCAAUUUACAUGGCAUAGAAACCUCCCAAUCAAACAAGUGCAUUAUUCUAGCGCACCCCAAAAUUCCAAGAAAUGGCUCCAGUUGGCCAAUUAAUUUCACAAUGUCACCCAACUCAGGAGAAAUAGCAAUUCCACACAAAAAUAGUCAAACCAGUACCACUGGCGAAAAAUCUUUCAAAUAUGCACAAUUUGCUACCAAAUAUCACCGGCUAACACUGAAAAAUUGAGGGCAAGUGUCAAAUACCUCCACAGGGACUACCCCAGGCGGCAGACAGAGAAGCGGCGUUGAAGCUGGUGGUCGAGCGGGGCGGCGCUCGCGUCGGCGUGCGCAGCGGCGACGGCGCGCGAGGAUGGAGUUUCGGGAGGUUGCGUGCGGGCUUGGCUGAAGACGCGGCGCGCGCUAGGGCUUCGCUGCGGCAGGCGUGCAGCAGGGGAGAAGAAAGAAAAGAGAAAGAAAGAAAGAAAAAGAAAGGAAAGAAAGAACAGAAAAGAAGGAAAAGAAAAAGGAAUUUUUCUUUUUUUUCUUUUUCUUUAGGCUACGGUUUAGAGGACAAAUUUUUCUUCUUCUUGUUUUCUACUUUUUUAUUUUUUUAUUUUUUAGUUUUUAAUUUAUUACUAUUAUUAUCAUAUUUAAUUGAGGAAAAAAAAUGUUUUUUUUUAAAUCCCUACCUUUCCCACGAACGUGACGCGGGCACGUCAAGAGGGCAAGAGAGCUCCCAGAAGUUUCAGAAUUUUCUGAUCGUAAGCGUCCUGCACAUCACCACGCGGGCACGUCAUGAGGACAGGAGAGCUCCCAGAAGUUCAGAAUUUUCUGAUCGUGAGCGCCCUGCACGUCACCACGCGGGCACGUCAUGAGGCCAGGAGAGCUCCCAGAAGUUUGAAGUUUCUGAUUCCUGCCCGUCAUCACGCGGGCGCGUCAUGACUGAAGGUCACCUACAAAUCAGCAAAAACGAAAACUAACACCCAAAAUCAGUCAAAUUCAGGGAAAGCAGAUUUAAACUAUGCUACAAAACCAACAAACAAUUAAAAGAAAUAAUUAGGUUGCCUCCCAAUGAGCGCCUUUCUUUAAUGUCUUUGGCUAGACAUGGUAAAGUGUCACUGAUUAGGACACGGUGGUGCGUCAAGCCUUAUUGUCUCCACCUCUCUACCUGAAAAUCCUUCGUAAUAAUAUUUGAGACGGUGUCCAUUCACCACAAAUUUGUUGUCUGUCUUAGCACUCUGGAUCUCAACUGCACCAUAGGGAAAAACAUGAGUAACAAUGAAAGGUCCAAUCCAACGGGAACGUAGCUUACCUGGGAAUAGCUUGAGCCUGGAUUGGUACAGGAGGACCUUCUGACCAACUUCAAAUGUUUUUCUUGAAAUUUGUUGGUCAUGAAAUGCCCGGCUUUUCUCCUUAUAUAUCAAGGCGUUUUCGUAUGCUUCGUUCCGGAUCUCCUCCAAUUCUUGCAAAUCCAACUUCCGUUGAGCACCGGCCUCCUCUAAAUUCAUAUUGCAGUGCUUUAUCGCCCAAAAAGCCUUGUGCUCGAACUCCACUGGAAGGUGACACGGCUUCCCAAAUACCAACCUGUACGGUGACAUCCCAAUAGGAGUCUUGUACGCCGUCCGAUAGGCCCAGAGUGCGUCUUCCAACCUUUGGCUCCAGUCUUUUCUAUCAGGGCGCACCAUUUUCUCUAAAAUGGACUUAAUCUCCCGAUUCGACACCUCCGCUUGACCAUUGGUCUGAGGGUGGUAUGACGUUGAGACCCUGUGGAGUACACCAUACUUGCGAAACAACGCAGCUAUGGUUUUGUUGCAAAAGUACGUUCCCCUAUCACUGACAAUAGCUCUAGGCAUUCCAAACCGCACAAAGAUAUUAGACCUGAUAAAAUCUGCAACUACUCUCGAAUCAUUAGUUCGAGUGGCCUUAGCCUCCACCCAUUUAGACACAUAAUCAACUGCCAGCAAAAUAUAUAAAAAACCAAAUGAAGUAGGAAAAGGCCCCAUGAAAUCUAUACCCCAGACAUCAAAAAUUUCAACAAAAAUCAACGGGACCUGGGGCAUUUGAUCUCUACGGGCUAUAUUACCUACCAUUUGACAGCGAUCACAUGACUUACAAAACACAUAGGCAUCUCUAAACAAUGAAGGCCAAUAAAAUCCACUUUCUAAAACCUUAUGAGCAGUUCUCUUAGGUCCAAAAUGACCUCCACAGGCAAAAGUAUGACAAAAAGCUAAAAUUGAUUGAAAUUCCAUUUCACUUACACAUCUCCUCAUCACUUGAUCGGCACACCUCUUCCAUAGGUACGGGUCAUCCCAGAUAAAAUACUUGGCAUCGCUCUUCAAUUUAUCCCUCUUCGAUUUCGGCCAACCUGCAGGAAAAUUACCAGUUACCAAAUAAUUGACCAAAUCAGCAUACCAAGGCAACUGAGAAUUUAAGAAAAAUAGGUAUUCUUCGGGGAAUGCAUCCUUCAAUGGCUCGCUAUCCUCUUCAACUAGUAUGCGACUCAAAUGGUCCGCUACUAGAUUUUCUGAGCCUUUUUUGUCCCUUAUCUCCAAGUCAAAUUCCUGUAGGAGCAGUAUCCACCGUAUGAGCCUCGGUUUUGCAUCUUUCUUGGUCAUCAGGUACCUCAAUGCUGCAUGAUCAGAAAAUACAAUCACUUUAGCACCUAACAAGUAUGACCUAAAUUUUUCCAAAGCAAAAAUAACUGCCAGAAGCUCCUUCUCAGUGGUGGAAUAAUUCAACUGGGCUCCAUUCAAGGCCCGGGAUGCGUAAUAGAUGACAUGAGCCGCCUUGCCUAUUCUUUGCCCCAGUACAGCCCCAACAGCGUGAUCACUGGCAUCGCACAUGAUCUCAAAUGGCAAAUUCCAAUCGGGGGGUUGGAUGAUUGGGGGUGAAGUCAGCAAUUCCUUCAGCUUGUUAAAGGCUCUCUCACACUUAUCAUCAAAUUCGAAGGCUACAUCUUUUUGUAGGAGUUGGAACAACGGGGCUCCAAUCUUUGAAAAAUCCUUGAUGAACCUUCGAUAAAAACCUGCAUGUCCAAGAAAAGAGCGCACCUCCCGCACACUCGCGGGGUAAGGUAAUGCAGAAAUAAUGUCUAUUUUAGCCUUGUCAACUUCUAUGCCCUUAGACGAUACAAUAUGACCCAGGACUAUUCCGUGCUCAACCAUAAAAUGACAUUUUUCCCAAUUAAGCACAAGAUUAGUCUCUAUACACCUGAUCAGGAUUAAUUUCAGGUUAUCUAGACAAGUAUCAAAACUAUCACCAUACACACUGAAAUCAUCCAUGAAAACUUCUAUUAUUUUCUCAACAUACUCGGAAAAGAUGCUUACCAUACAUCUUUGGAAAGUCGCAGGUGCAUUGCACAACCCAAAUGGCAUUCGUCUGUAGGCAAAGGUCCCGAACGGGCACGUGAAGGUUGUCUUCUCUUGAUCCUCCGGGGCAAUUGCUAUCUGAAAGUAUCCUGAAAAUCCAUCCAAAAAGCAAUAAUAAGCCCUACCAGCUAAACGUUCAACCAUUUGGUCAAUGAAAGGGAGAGGGAAAUGGUCCUUUUUGGUGACGGCGUUUAGCCUACGGUAAUCUAUACAUUGCCUCCAUCCAGUGGGUUUGCGCACUGGCACGAGCUCACCAGUUUGGUUGGCCUCUACCGUCACUCCUGCAUUCUUUGGGACUACCUGGACCGGACUCACCCAAGGGCUAUCAGAUAUUGCAAAAAUGAUGCCCACAUCUAGCAAUUUUAGAAUCUCUUUCUUUACGACUUCCAUCAUGAGGGGAUUGAGCCUUCUUUGAGCCUGCCUAACAGGUUUGGCAUCGUCUUCCAGCCUAAUCCGGUGCAUACAAAUGGCCGGGCUGAUCCCCUUAAUGUCUGCGAUUGUCCAGCCUAUUGCCUCUUUAUGCUCCCGAAGGACCCGGAUCAAUUUCUCUUCCUGGGUCUUUGACAGUGCCGAUGAGAUAAUCACUGGGAGUGUCUCAUUAUCACCUAGGUAUGCGUAUUUCAGGUGCUCUGGUAGAGGUUUCAACUCCAGUACAGGUGCCUGCACCACAGAUGGCAAUACCCUCUGGUGAGCCUUGGGAGUAAAAAUAGGUAAGACUUCAUACCUUUUCGUGGUGGUCUGCAACGAGUGUAAUGCACCUAUUGUGCAUUUUAAAUCCUCGCUCCACUCCACCUCAGGAGUUGUCUCCAACUCGAGGUGCUUGGUUAAAGCCACCUCCAGCUCAUCCCUGCCAUCAGUUUCAAACACUUCCUGCACUACAGGGUCAAUAGCACUCACAGAAAAAACUGAGCUAAAGUUGGAGUUAGAGGGGUACUUCAUAGUAUCAAAAAUAUUAAAAUGCACAAUUUACCCAUCAAACUCCAUGGACAAGGUACCCUUAUUAACAUCAAUUUUCGUCUGCGCAGUGCUCAUAAAAGGUCUACCCAAUAACAAAGGUGAGGGAUCAGGGGAGUGAUCAUCAUCCAUAUCUAGUACAUAAAAAUCAGCUGGAAACACCAAAUCAUUAACCUUUACCAACACAUCUUCAAUCAACCCAUCAGGAUAUGCAUUAGUUCGGUCAGCUAAUUGAAUAAUUAUUCCAGUUUCUUUUAAUGGACCUAGUUUCAAAGAAGCAUAGAUAGAUUUAGGCAUGACAUUAAUUGAUGCUCCCAGAUCCAGCAUGGCCCUUCUGAUCACAGUAUUACCUAUCUUACAGGGAAUAGUAAACAUACCUGGGUCCCCGCACUUUGGUGGGAGCUUUCUCUGCAGGACCGCAGACACAUUUUCUCCAACUAUGACCCGUUCAUCUCCCCUCAACCGCCUUCGGUUGACACACAAGUCCCUUAGGAACUUGGCAUAUUUUGGUACUUGUUUGAUGGCGUCUAAGAGGGGGAUAUUUAUCUCAACCUUGCGAAAAACCUCCAAGAUCUCCUUCUCCUUAUCCUGCUUCUUCGAUUUUUCCAACCUGCUAGGAAAAGGAGGCGGGUUAGUUUUAACUGUAAUUAUUGGGUCAGGAAGUACCUCUGGAUCUGCACCAUUGCUGUCCUCCCUUUCGAGCUCAUUUUCGAUCUUCUCUUCAUCCUUGUCCUUGGGAAUCACAGGUUCAGGCCCCUGAAUUUCUUUCCCACUCCUUAGGAUCAUUGCGCUCACGUUCUUCGGAUUCAACUCCGGUUGAGAUGGCAGCUUCCCUUGGUUCUGGGACUCCCAACGGUUCAUUCUGGUGGCCAAUUGACCUAUCUGAUUCCUUAUGUCCUGCAUUUCGGAGUCCGUCUUUUGCUGAUUUUGCAUAAUAGCUGCCUCCGUCCUUUGCUGAUUCUGCGCCAUGGUUGUCAUCAUUUGUUUCAGCAUCUCAUCCGUAGAUGAACCAGAUUGAGGGAGCGGAGGUGGUCGGGGUUGGUAUUGCUGCUGGUACCCUGGUGGCUUAUUUGGCACAAAGUUAGACUGCCUGUUUGGCGUGAAGUUGGAUUGCCUAUUUCCACCAUAACUGAGGUUGGGAUGAUCUCUCCACCCGGGGUUGUAGGUGCUUGAGUAAGGGUCGUACUGCUUCCUUGGCGCGGGCGCGUGGUCAGCCAUGUUCACCUGUUCCGCAGUUUCUUCCUGAAUCAUUGGGCACAUGUCUGCAGAGUGACCUAUACCAGUGCAAAUCCCGCAUACCCUGGCUUGUGAUGCAUUUCUCACAGCCUAUUGCCUAACGAACGCAGUCAACUCAUUUAGCUGCUGCUGCACAGAGGGUGUCUCUAUCUCAUUCACCCUACGUAUUGGGACAUCCUAUCUUGUACUGAAUUGCUGUGAAUUCUCUGCCAUCCCCUCUAUUAACUCCCGUGCUUCCUGAGGGGUUUUGUUCACCAGUGCCCCUCCACUUGCAGCAUCAAUGAUGCUCCUGUCUCUAAAAAUGAGCCCCUCAUAGAAAUAUUGUAUGAUCAACUGCUCACUUAUUUGGUGAUGGGGGCACCUGCGCAACAAGCUCUUAUACCGUUCCCAAUACUCGUAAAGUGACUCCUCGGGAUGCUGCUUGAUCCCACAAAUUUCUUUCCUUAGACUCGCAGCCCUGGACGCAGGAAAAUAUUUAUCCAGAAAUUUUUUCUUCAAUUGGUCCCACGUGGUGAUGCUACCUGGUGACAGGUAGUACAGCCAGUCCUUCGCAGAAUCUUUCAAGGAGAAGGGGAAUGCCCUCAUUUUUAUCUGCUCUUCUGUGAUUCCCGGGGGUUUCAUACUGUUGCAAACGACAUCAAACUCCUGCAGAUGCUUAUACGGCUCUUCACCUGGUAAACCAUGAAAAGAGAGUAAAAGCUGAAUCAGACCAGAUUUUAGUUCAAAUGGAAUGUUGUCAUUUAAAGCUGGGAAAGUAAUGCAUAACGGCUGCUGAGUUAAAUCAGGAGCAGCCAACUCCCUUAAUGUUUAUGCAUUAGCCAUGGUGCCUUCCUGCUGGUCAGAGUCACUCGAAGUGUUACCAAACGAAUCUGUUGGUUCAACUUCUGACUCGGGUCUUUGAGAUGUAGCACUAGAGUGCUCUUCUCUGAGCUGUCUGGUUUCCUUUCUCGUUCUACGCGCGGUCUUCUCUACCUCAGGAUCAAAAACCAAAUCACCUGUGCGACAAGAUCGAGGCAUACACUAGAAGAAAACCAGAAAAUUAGGACAAAAUUGAAUUUAAGAAGAAACAAAUAAUAACGCCAGUCCCCGGCAACGGCGCCAAAAAUUGACAGGUCGUCAACCUGUGCAAUAAUAAAAUUAAACCUAAUUGCCAGUUAAAAUGACCAAAACCCAAUUCCAAGUACUGGAGCAGGGACUCUAGGUGUGCAAUGGGUUACUUGAUUCACCCUGUUCCCGAAGAGUUUGCUUGAUCCGAUAUACCCGAAUGGAAUGGUUAUUCCUUUUCACAAAUGAUUAGGAAUUUGUAGACAGGGCAAGUAGGGUCGUAUCCACAGAGACUGGGUAUAUUUGUUUCUUAAGAAAUCCAAAGUAACACAGGGGGUGAUUUUGUAGGAACGACGAUAAUUAAAUAAAUUCAAAUGAGAAAGUAAAAAUAAAUAAUUAACUAGAAAUUAAACCACAAUUUACUGAACUCAGGAUAACAAUAGUUAAAGGCCUCAAUUAAUUAAAAUAAGGAAACAAUCAAAAAUAAAAUAAAGUAGGUAAUUAAAAGUCAAAUGGCAAUCCACUACAAUCAAGGAAAUAUUAACUAAAGAUCUAGCCAAGAAAUAACUUCAGCAAUGGUUCACCUAAUCGAUCAUUGAUGCAAAGCAAUCCCAAUUAUUUACUAAUAAAUAGGUUAUAACUACCAAACAAGCGAUGGCAGUCAACCCCUCCUUACUGUGUCGGUGAUCAAGGUACGCCCGUUAAUCACUGCUCUAAUUGAGAAAUAAUCCUAGGUACGCCCGUAGAAUUUAAUUCCCCAACUGCCUUACGUAUUAGAGGAGCCCUAUUCUACCCAAAUAACACACUACCAGGGUUAUUUUAGAUUAGCCCGCGUAUCCCCCUGACACGAAUCUAAUCGUGCCAGUUGUCACUAAUUUGAGGUAAUUAAACAAUUACGGAUUCAAUACCCCAAUUGACAAUAGAUUAUCAAACCAAUGAAUUAUCCGGAUCCAAGACAAUCAACUAAUUAAAUAAUCAUAAGCACUGCAACCAAGGAAUAUGCGAAUACCAAUAAAUAAAGGAAAAGAUAAAAUUAAAUCGAUCUCACAAUUUACAGGUGAUCCAAAGCAUCAGUCGUUUCUUGACUAGAACGAGGGGGUUAGCUCAUAUUGGAUGAACUAAGCCCGCGGGAAAUUCCAGCAAAAGUCACGGCCGUUGUAUGCAUUUCAAGAGCCGCAAUUCGUCAAACACUUGGAAAGCGAAUGUAAGGCACGGGUAACAAUUGAAGCUUUCUAAUUGUUCCUAGCAUUCGUAAAGCAAAUUCACUCCAGAAGUACAGUGAGGAAAAGUCAAAGAAAGUGGGCUUCAAUUCCUUGCUCCUGACAUGCGUGGAGACAAGCCAAUGCAAGACUACAAUAAACUAACAAGGAAAAGUCAAGAAUUGGAGCUAAGCUCCCCUGCCAUGCGCAGGAAUCCGAAAAGUAAAAAGUAAAGCUUCAAAGAAAAGUCAACAAUUCUUCCUAAGCUACAGACGGAAGAUCCAGCACAAAAGCCAGCUCCCUUUUUUAUCCCUUUUUCCCCCUUCUUAUUGCGGCGGCUCACCAGGAGAGGAGAGCCCUCCGUCCGUCCUUUCUUCCGAAAAUUACCAAAAUGGGCAUGACAUCUUCUCUUCCAAAAGUGCCCCUGGGACAAGCUUUCUCAUCUGAAUUCUUUUUUUUUCCAAUUUGGCACCUGUUAUCAUAUUUAUAUUCUACUCCCUGAAAUAAACGUCAAAUACUAAAAGUGAGUAGAAUCCAGCAAAUAAAUCCACAUCAAGUCAGGUAAUAGGAGGAAUUAAUAAUAAAAUAAAUGAAUAAAUUGCACCCUAUCAGAAAAAUGCAAAAAUUUGUUAUUUAUCAUUAAGGAUCAUAUCGCAUAUAACAUCAAAAAAUAGUAUAUUAUUUAUAUCUUUCACUUAAUAUAAUAUCCAAAUUACUCUUUUCAGUUACAUACCCAUUGUUAGACAAAAUCAACAACAAAUAACCAAAAAAUUUGCAACCAAAAUAUUACCAAAAAAAUAAACUUUAACAUCAUAAAUAUUUUUAUCAACAUAUUAAAGUUAGUUAUUGAAAUUUUUAUGGUGUUAAACUUCACUCUUAGCAAUAUUUUGGUUACAGAUUUUUUUGAUUAUUUAUUGUUGAUCGUGUUUGACAAUGGAUUUGUAACUGAAAAGAAUAAUUUGAAUCUUACAUUAAGUGAAAUAUAUAAAAUAUUAUACUAUUUUUUAUGGCAUAUGUGAUUCUUUUUUUUUUUUUUAUCAGAACGGCAACAUUGUAUUAAUAGUAAACCAAUUACAGUAUAGGUGGGCAACCGCCCUCACAAUCUGCCUGGACUUGUUCCAGCAGCCAAACUGGGAAGUUUUCCUUCCAUUCAGUAUUUUGUUCCAAAGUAAUAGCUACUUUAGCUAGUUUAUGGCUAACAAAGUUGUUCACCCUAUUUGCAAAGGUAAAACAACAUUCAUCAAAUUUUAUUCAUGUACAAUUGUUGCUAUCACCACGUCCUCCUCCUCCUCCUCACUGCACACUACUUGACUACCACCCUUCGCCAACCUUGCUGUUGCAUGUGCAACUAUCAUGGCCUCUCUUAGCGCCUUUGCUUCUUCGACCUUUGGACUGGCACAGCUAAAAUUUGGAACAGCCCAGGCCCACCCGCAAUCUUCCCAACCAAUCCCUGGCCACCCUUUUCCCACCCAGCUUCUAUGGCAUGUGUGAUUCAAUCCUUCUUGAUAGGAUUGGUAAUAGAGGCAGAGGGGGGAGCCGGCUGCAUCCGGUCUACUUUUCAUAGAUAGUACAAUAUUGCGAAAUCGAUCGCAUUCACACAAGAAUAUUUCGAAGUCAUUGCAUCGCUAAGUUGCAAAAAAGUACAAACACUUGUUAUUAUAUAGCUUAAGAUUCAAAACUUUAGAGCACAACCCUCCACCUAACACAAUUGAAUAAUGAAUAUUCACGAUUGUCAAAUCUGUCAAAGCACAGUUUGAGGACAACCCAUUCCAACCUGCAAAAGAUUUUUGACUUUUUUAAAGUUGUUGAGAGCUGUAAAAAGACUUACCAUGCUUACAUCUUCCGAGCCUUGGGAGUUAAAAAUGAAGGCACUGAGUGCUAUAAAAAGGGGGCUAGAGGCUGCCUAGAAGCAUAUCAGCCUAAAACAAGAAUUUGUAGUUAUGAUGGGAAGCAAAGCAAAAGCAAUGGGGUCUGGGCUGACUCCUCUUCUUACCACUGUUUUAGUGGUAUUUGUUGCUCUUGGCUUGCCCUCAGAAACUGCAGCUGAUGAUCACUACAAGUAUUCAUCUCCUCCUCCUCCUUACCACUAUCCCUCACCACCACCUCCAGUGCAUUUACCUCCACCAGUGUACAAAUACAAGUCCCCACCACCACCUCAUCAUGUUUACAAGUACAAAUCUCCACCACCCCCACCACCACACCCAGUUUACAAGUAUAAGUCGCCACCACCACCUCCUCAUCCGGUAUACAAGUACAAGUCUCCUCCGCCACCUCCUCAUCCGGUACCACACCCAGUUUACAAGUAUAAGUCACCACCACCACCUCCUCAUCCGGUACCACACCCAGUUUACAAGUAUAAGUCUCCUCCGCCACCAGUUUACAAAUAUAAGUCUCCUCCACCACCACCUCCAGUGUACAAAUACAAGUCUCCACCACCACCAGUUUACCACUACAAGUCUCCACCACCUCCUCCCCCAGUUUACAAAUACAAGUCUCCACCACCACCACCACCAGUUUACCACUACAAGUCACCACCACCUCCUCCCCCAGUUUACAAAUACAAGUCUCCACCACCUCCUCACCACUACUAAGCAAUUGCUUCUGAGGUAAUAACACUUGUUCAAUAUACCCACUUCUGCAUGAUAAAGCAUAUCUCUAUCAACACAAACUGUCAUGUCUAUCAUGCUAAGUGCCUUCACUUCAUCCACCAAAAUGACUGCUAGAAAAUUUUUUUUAUGUUACCAAAGAAAGGCAUCAUUUUUUCCCUCUGUUAUCAAGAACUUGUACAGUAUAUAGAUUAAAGAGUAUUUUUUUAACUAGCUUAUCAACUGAGAAAUGCAUAUAGCUGAUAGCCAGCUGAAUAUUUGCAGGCAAAGGAGAAGGAAACCAGUGUUUGAGACCUUCUUGAAGAUGUAGAAGCAUAAGAAUUAAAGCCCAAUGUGAAGAUGAUGAUUUCAAGUUUUUCUACGUUACCAUUUCUUUAUCUAAAUUGGUUGUAGCGCCUUAGUUCCUUUGUUUAUGGGAUUUGUAUCGUUUUACGUACCAUGCAGUACAUGUCAUGUUUGUAAGGUUUUCUAUCCUGCCGGCAAACCGCAGGUUCCAUGUAAUAAAUCAAUACUAUUUAUAUUACGACACUUUUCUCUGUUUCUCUUAUAUUUUGUCGUCUUUAAUAUUCUUAAUCAUAUUUUUAACAAAAAUAUUCAAACACUUAGGCAAUCUGGUCUAAUGCUAAUUGUAUGUUUUACUUUUCUUUUUCACCUGCUCCCCUUUUCAACUCAAAAGGAUGCAAUAGUUUGUGAUCACUGUUGAAGACGGAAGCAUGAUACUAAUGAAUAUAUCAUUGAAACUCAAGGAAACUAACAUUAUGAAAAGUGUAAAUCUUGAUUUGAUGCAACUAUUUAUUCGUGGAAUCUAUAGUUACAAAACUCAAACUCUGACUGCGCCAUUGAUAAAUUAUUAAUGACGCUAUCAUCAUUAUUUAUCCCCAACUAGUUUCGACUACAACUGAACCCAAUAUUUUCCCCAUGAUAAAAGUUUUUUACUAUUUUACUGGCCUCUCUUCAAAUUUUAAAAAUUACACUAAUCUUCAUUGAGAUUAAUUAUCUUGUAGCAUUUAAGUCCAAUUAAUAAUUAAAAAAUAAUAUUAUGAGAGAGAAAAUAAUAUAAUUUUAUCAUUGCCCCCCAUCUUGCUAUAUUAUUUAAUUAAUUUAAUAGCAACCCACACAUUAAAGAAAAAUACUAAAAUUUGCUGCUUUUCAUUAAAGAUCAAAUUGCAUAUGCCAUAAAACAUAGUAUAUCAUUCUAUAUGUUUCACUUAAUGUAAGAUCCCAAUUGUUCUUUUCAAUUACAAACCCAUUGUCAAACAUGAUCAAUAACAAAUAACCAAAAAAUUUGCAACCAAAAUAUUACAAAAAAAAACUUUAACAUCAUAAAUAUUCUUACCACCUCUAGUGCAUUCACCCUCAUAAAAUAAUUCAAGACCCUACUGUCAUAAAAUGACUGAUCAACUCCUGUAAACCUAAUUUGACAACAUUUAAAUGGAGAACUUUAGCUAAAAGAAUUAUGGUCAAGCUAAAGAAAAAACCAGUUAUUUUCCAACAUAUGCAAUCAUUGAUCAGGGAAAAAAAAAAGAAGCAAAAAGACAUCUUCAAUCAUUUAAUAGCUUACAGGGCAAAUUAACCCCUAAGCGAAAACUGGUUGCUCUAGAAUCAAAAUUUUACUUUAGUUACCCAGGCAACUUUUUUUGUUGCCUUUUCUUUUUCUUUUUUGGGUAUAUAUAUAGCUCCAGUUUUGCCCCCUCUGUCAAGCUUAUAUAAUUAUUAAGAUAAUAAAAGUGCCUUUAAUAGUAUUAAUAUAUCCAUUGACUUGAGCUGUCAUCGAUCGGUUUGGGCUACUUCGAUUCCAUGAGAACAAAUGGUAAUAAAAGUACUCAGAAAAUGGGGAGUCAUGAAACCCUUUUGUUCUAUUCAUUGCUAAGAUGCUUUUCUCUAUAAAGACACUUCCUAACGAAAAUACUUUGUAGAUUUCUUUACUCCAAGUGGUGCAUGGAAAAUUAAUAUUUUCAAUUAUCAAAUAAAAUUCCCUUUUUUCGGUGUAGAUUUCAUCCAUUCAGCUGUUAACACUCCGAAUUGACUAAUCUUUUCGUUUCCAUUUUCCAACUUGCGAAUACGGCAUCUUACAUAUUGUCUGCUGAAUAUGAAUACAUAUCCCUUUUCUGAGCAGGUGCAGAGUCAUUAUCAUUUUUAUUCCCACCUAACAAAUUAGUUAAUAAUCUUUUAAAGAACAUGUUAAAUUAAUUUAUUGGUAUGAAUAGUAGUCAAAGAAGUAUGUUAAAGUUAGUAAUCUUUAAAAUAAUAUGUUAAAAUUAUUCGUACAAAUUAGCCAGAGAAGUAGCAUAAACACCGCGAUGCAAUUAAUACUUUCAAUCUCAAGGUCUCUAUUAUGGAAAUUUGCAUCGGUCAACAUACACAAAGCAUUAUUGUAUGCACGUCUCUCUAUUAUGGAAAUUUGCAUAGGUCAAUAUACACUUGGCAUAGUUGCAUGCACGUCCAAUUUUUUUUUAUUUUUAUUUUUGGUAUUUUACUUCCUGCCUUAAGUUGCCUGCAGAUGUUUGUAUUACAAAUAUAUGGUAUACUAAAUAUAUAGUAUGCACAUUAAUUUCUUUGGGUUGCUUAAGGGUAUAUUGUUAAUAAUAGGGGGUUUAACCAUAAAUUAUAACAAUGAUGAAGUAAUAUAUAUUAGAAAAUUAACACAAUUAUGAUUUUUUUUUUUGUAAAAUUCAAAUUUUAUUAAUAAGAAAUGAAAUAGGCAGUAAGCAUUUACAAACCGAAAACAAAAUCCUACAACAACUCUAGGACUCUACACCUUAUUAAAAAAAAACAUUUUGAUAGCGUUUUUCCAAAAGCAGAAGAUGGAAAAUUGCCCAUUUGUACUGGGGAGUUCGUGAUCUUUUCCUCAUUCUAGUCUACUUACAAUUCUUGGAAAAAGGAAUACUCACAUCUCAAACAACAGCCUGUUCAUCUGCAGUGUCCUGCCGAAUUCUAGAAAGUUUGGUGGCAAUGUUAAUUACAUUUCAAAAUUGACUGCUGCGAUAACUAAUUCGAUGGCUUACUACAUGGUCAACGUUUGGAUCUCUUCCUGUCCUUUUUGGAUGCACAUUUUUUUUCUCUAGGUAAUAUAUAAUCUCCCAACUCAUUUCUUUACAAAUGCACCUUUAAUCACCACCAAAAGGUGUGGACAUGAUCUUUACCCUAGAAAACUAUUCACCGACAGGCAAAUUGACGUCAGAAAUACUAAGAGGAAUUCUAGUUUCCUUCGGGUUAAUGCCAUUUUGUACCCUUCAACUGUAACUCAAUUUCUAAGCUGUAAUUUGUGACAUUAUAGUCCUUAAACUAUGAAACCCUUUCUUAUUUAAUUACAAUGGUUAAUACAAUGCCCGUGACUAGACAAGUAUGAAGCAACCAUAACAAAAAAAAAAUCCAAAAUUAGAGAAAAGAAAGAAGUUGCGACCAAAGUAUGUAUCAAGGCAUAGUAUAGAAAUAAAAGUGUCAAAAUUAAGAGUUUAGGGAUAAAAAAGAAUCAAAAUAUAGUUUAGGAAUUGAUUUGUCUCAAUUAGAGUUUAGAUGUCAACUAAGAAGAGAGAUAUAGUUGAAGGGUAGAAUAUAGAUAUAACAGUUCAAUGAUUGAUAUCAACGAGACAAUGACAACUUUGGAUUAUUACCAACCUCUUCUUGAUGGAAAAGGAAAUAGAGAAGAAAGUCGGGCCUGGUCUAAGCCUGUUUCGGAGGCAAAACAACAUUAUGAAAUCACCGGCAUUCACACAAAUAUGUCAAAGUCACCGGCAUGCUAAGUUGCAAAAUUUAUACAAACACUGAAUAUUAUAUUCUUCUCAAAAUUUUUGUUUAAGAUUUAACAAUUAGAGCACGGUACACGAAUUAGCAAUAUUAAAUAAUGAAUGUUCACGAUUGAUAAAGUUAUCAAAGUACAGUUUGAGGACAACCCAUUCCAACGUGUACAAGAUGUUUAGCCUUUGAAAAGUUAAUUAGAGAAGGUGACGAGAUUUUACUAGGCUUACAACUUCUAGGCCUUGGGAGUAAAAAGUGAAGACACUGAGUGCUAUAAAAAGGGGGCUAGAUGUUGCCUAGAAGCAUAUCAGCCUCGGACCACAUUUUGUAGCAAUGGGGAGCAAAGCAAAAGCAAUGGGGUCUAGGCUGACUCCUCUUUUUACCACCGUUUUAGUGGUAUUUGUUGCACUUGGCUUGCCUUCAGAAACUGCAGCUGAUUACGACAAGUAUUCACCUCCUCCUCCUCCUUACCAUUAUUACUCACCACCACCUCUUGUGCAUUCACCUCCACCACCGCCAGUUUAUAAGUCACCCCCACCACCUUAUCACUACUUCUCACCACCACCUCCAGUGUAUCCAUCUCCACCACCAUCUGUUUACAAGUCACCUCCACCACCUUCGCCAGUAUACAAGUCCCCACCACCACCUUAUCAAUAUUCCUCACCACCACCUCCAGUGCAUUCACCUCCACCACCACCGAUUUAUAAGUCACCUCCACCACCUCCUCCAGUUUACAAGUCCCCGCCACCACCUUACCAUUAUUCCGCACCAUCACCUCCAGUGCAUUCACCUCCACCACCACCGAUUUACAAGUCACCUCCACCACCUCCUCCAGUUUACAAGUCUCCAUCACCACCUUACCAUUAUUCCUCACCACCACCUCCAGUGCAUUCACCCCUACCACCACCGGUUUACAAGUCUCUGCCACCACCUUACCAUUAUUCCUCACCACCACCUCCUAUGCAUGCACCUCCACCACCAAUAUACAAGUCACCUCCACCACCUCCUCCAGUUUACAAGUCUCCACCACCACCUUACCAUUAUUCCUCACCACCACCUCCAGUGCAUUCACCCCUACCACCACCAGUUUACAAGUCUCCGCCACCACCUUACCAUUAUUCCUCACCACCACCUCCUGUGCAUGCACUGCCACCACCAAUUUACAAGUCACCUCCACCACCUCCUCCAGUUUACAAGUCCCCACCACCACCUUACCAUUAUUCCUCACCACUACCUCCAGUGCAUUCACCUCCACCACCACCGAUUUACAAGUCACCUUCACCACCUCCUCCAGUUUACAAGUCUUCACCACCACCUUACCAUUAUUCCUCACCACCACCACUCUUCAAUUUGGAUGUAAUUCAAUUUUCCUUGUAAUCGGUGGCCCUCCUUCGGAAUCCAAAUAGUCAUUGAGUGCAGCCUUCUUUCUUUAUUUUUUACUCAUUUUCACCUCAUAAAUUGCUUUCAUCCCCUAAAACUUGUUCGCUGGAAUUUUGAAUUUACCCAUACAACUAAACUCAGAAAAUUCUUACACAAAGGGAUUAGUAGCAUGAAUAGCAAACACAGAAUAAGAGAUAACAGUAUGUUUUAUUGUAUUAAAAAUAUUAAAGUGGAUUAUUUCUCCAUCGAAUUCCAUUGUGAGAGUAUCGUUACUAACAUCAAUCUUAGUUUGAGCAGUACUCAAGAAUGACCUUCCUAAUAUAAUGGGUGAUGGAUUUGGGACACUUUCAUCAUCCAUAUAAAACACAUAAAAAUCAACAGAAAAAAUUAAUCCAUCUACUUGAACUAAAAACAUCCUCAACUACCCCAUUUAGAUAAGCAAAUAUACGAUCAGCCAAUUGAAUUAUUAUCCCUAUUUCUUUUAAAUGUUCUAAAUUUAGGGAAUCAUAAAUUGAUUUAGACAUCACAUUAAUAGAAAUCUUUAAAUCUAUCAUGGCAUUUUUUAUAUUAGAAUGUCCAAUCUUACAUGAGAUAGUAAACAUACCUAGAUUCUCGCAUUUAGGUGGUAGUUUCCUUUGUAAAAUUGCUGAAACGUUCUCAUCUACCACAAUAUGCUUGUCCUCCUCAAUUUCUUCUUGUUGACACACAAGUUUUUCAAGCAUUUAACGUAUUUUGGAACUUAUUUGAUUUGCGUCCAACAAAGGGAUAUUGAUUGCCACCUUGCGAAAAUCUCUAAAAUCUCCUUUUCUUUAUCUUGUUUCUUUGAUUUCUCUAACCUGCUUGGAAAAGGUGGUGAGUUAGUUCCAACUCUAAUUAUAGAAUCAACAAUUACCUUUGGAUUCACAUUUCUCAUUCCUUCCUCCUCAAGCUCUUUGUCGAUUCGAUCUUCAUUUUUAUCCUUUGGAAUCACAACUUCGGAUCCCUGAAUUUUCUUCUCGCUCCUUAAGGUCAUUACACUUACAUUCUUCAGGUUCAGUUCAGGUUGAGACGACAAUUUUUCAUAGAUUUGGGAUUCCAGGCGGUUGAUUGCUAUUACCAUCUGACUCAUCUGACUCUGCAGUGCUUGCACCUGUCCCAAUUGAUUCCUCAUACUUUGCAAGUCAAAAUCCAUCUUUUGUUGAUUAGCAAUUAAUUGCUUCAUUAUCUCUUCUAUAGAUGGACUUGAGUUUGAAAGAGGUGGUGGCGGGCGAGACUGAUACUGUUAUUGAUACCCUUGCUAUCUAUUUGGUGCAAAAUCUGGCUACCUAUUUCCUCCAUAGCUGAGGUUGGGAUGAUCUCUCCAACCAAUAUUGUACGUAUUCGUGUACGAGUCGUAUGGUUUUCUUGGCACGGCGCGUGACCAGCCAUGUUCACUUGCUCCGUACUUUUCUCUUGAAUCAUUGAGCACAUCUCUGUAGAAUGACCCAUAGCAGUGCAGAUCCCACACAUCUUGACUCGUGAUGCAUUUCCUAUAGCUAAUUGCCUAACAAAGGAUGUUAAUUCGGUCAACUGCUGUUGGAUAGAAUAUGUUUCUACCUCAUUUACUUUGCGUGUUGGGGCAUCCUCCCUCGUACCAAACUGUUGCGAAUUUUCCGCCAUUCCUUCAACUAGCUCCCACGCUUCUCGAGAAGUCUUGUUCACCAAUGCCCUUCUACUUGCAGCAUCAAUUAUACUCCUGUCUCUAAAACGCAGCCCCUCGCAAAAAUAUUGGAUGAGCAAUUGCUCACUUAUUUGGUGUUGAGGGAACUUGAUGCAUAACUUCUUGAAUCGCUCCCAAUAAUCAUAAAGCGACUCUCCUGGAUGCUACUUGAUACCGUAUAUCUCCUUCCUUAGACUUGCAGCUCGAGAUGCAAGAAAAUAUUUGUCCAAGAACUUUUUCUUCAGCUGAUCCCACGUGGUGAUGCUACCUGGUGGUAGAUAGCACAGCCAGUCUUUUGCGGAGUCCUUCAAGGAGAAGGGAAAUGCCCUCAUUUUUAUCUAUUUUUCUGUAAUUCUCGGAGGUUUUAUGCUGUUGCAAACGACAUCAAACUCUUGCAAGUGCUUAUACGGUUCCUCACCUGGUAAACCAUAGAAAGAUGGCAAGAGAUGAAUUAGACCAGAUUUUAACUCAAAUGAAGUGUUAUCAUUUAAAAAUAGAAAAGUAACUGAGAUGCAGCACUGGAAUGUUCUUCUCGAAAUUGUCUGGUCUCUUUCUUUGUUCUACGCGUAGUCUUCUCUACCUUAGGAUCAAAAAUUAAUUUACCUGUACGAGAAGAACGAGGCAUACACUAGAAAAACACUAGAAAAUUAGAACAAAAAUGAACAUAAAAAGAAACAAAUAAACCAACGUCAGUCCCCAGCAACGGCGCUAAAAAUUGACAAGUUGUCGAUGCCUGUGCAAUAAUAAAAAUAAACCUAGUUACCAAUUAAAAUAAUCAGAGCCUAAUUCUGAGUACUAGAGCAGGGACUAUAGGUGUGCAAUGGGUUACUUGAUUCACCCUAUUCCUGAAGUUUGCUUAACCCGAUAUACCAGAAUGAGAUUGCUUAUUCAAAAGGAAUUAUUGAUUUGUAAACAGGGCAAGUAGGGUCGUAUCAUCAGGGAUUGAAAAAAUUUGUUUCUUUUCAAAUCCACAGUAACAAGGGGAUGUUUUUGUAUAAAUGAUAACAAUCUAAGGAGUGCAAAUAGAAAUAAAUAGAUAACUAGAAAUUAAAUGACAAUUCACUAAAAUUAGAGUAAUAAUAAUUAAAGGUCUAGCUAAGAAAUAACUUCAGCAAUGGUUCACCUAAUUGAUCAUCGACGCAAAGGCAAUUCCAAUUAUUUACUAAUAAAUAGGUUAUAACUGCAAAACAAGCAAUGACAGUCAACCCCUCCUUACUGUCGGUCGGUGAUUAAGGUACGCCCAAUCACUGCUCUAGUUGAGAAAUAAUUUUAGGGACGCUCGUAAGAUUUAAUUUUCCAAUUGCCUUACGUAUUAGAGGAGCCAUAAUCUAACCAAAUAACGCUACCAGGAUUAUUUUAAAUUAACCCGUGUAUUCCCUUGAUACAAAUUCAAUCAUGUCAGUUGUCACUAUUUCAAGGUAAUGAAACAAUUACGGAUUUAAUAUCCUAAUUGACAAUAGGUUACUAAAUCAAUUCACUAUUUCGAUCCAAGAUAAUCAAUCAAUUUAACAACUAAUAGCACUGCAAUCGGAGAAUAUGUAAAUACCAAUAAAUAAGAGGAAAAGAUAAAAUUAAAUCGAUCUCACAAUUUUUAAACAAAUCAAAGUAUCCGUUGUUUCUUGACUAGAAAAGAAAAUUUAGUUCAUUCCUAAUGUGAAAGACCCACGUGAGAAUUCAAAAAUAAUAUUCACGGAUAUUGUCUUGAUUCAAUAGAUUCAAUUGCGUUGGAAUAAGGAUAAAAAGCCAAACUAUAGAGAGUGAUUCAAUGUUUUGUUUCGUUUGCAUUUUUUCUACACAUAUGGAAGAAGAAAAACAACUAAAGGACGAAAAAAAAAAGUCAAAGAAAGGCACCCAAAGUAGUGCUUGGUCUCUACCAUCCUAUUUCCUAUCUAAUUACUACUUCCCUUCUGCGGCUGCCUAGAGGAAGAAAGAGAAAGCAGACUUCAGGUCUUGUUCCAUCUCCUCCCUUUUCGGCAAUUCCCCAAAAGUAGAAAAGUUCCUCCGUUUACCAAAAUGCCCCUGGAAUGAGGACUGCUACUUGAACUCAUUUUCUUGAUAACUGUCAAAUUAGCACUUGUUAUGGUAUUUGCGUCUACUUCCUGUAAUAAAUGUAAAUUGCCAAAAGUGAGUAAACUGAUAAUUAAUUUACAUCAGGUCAGGUAAUAGGAAAAAUUAAUUAUAAAAUAAAUGAUAAAAUUGCAACCUAUCACUUAGAAUAACCAGAAAUAAAACAAAACAAGAAAUGAAAGAAAUAAGAGGGUAGCAUAGACAUUUUGGAUUUUUCUGUUAAUUUGGAUGAUUUCCACCUACGGUCUAAUUUAAUCCAAAACACAAAUGGAUUAUGUGGAGAUUUUUAAACAAUGAGGGAGUAUCGUGACCGAAUCCCAAACCACAAAGGGGAUUUACUAUAUUUUACUCUUAAAUUUUGGUUUCAUCUCAUAGCAUACAAGAGUACUAUUUCACUGUCUGUCGACCAGGGAGGAGGGUUGGGUUGGGUGGUACGGGGGAGGGAGUCUAAGUAAGAGGUCUCAGGUUCGAAUCCUCCUGUUUAUACUAAAAAAAAAAAUUUACUAUCUGUCGACAAAGAUUUUCUAUGGUUGAUGUACCAUAGGAAAAAUCUGCCUAUACAAUUAUUUGGAAAAAUUAUCCAUCCAAACAUAGUCACGAUAGCAUUUUUUCAAAAACACUAGAUGCAAAAUUGUCCCCUUAAACGUGGAAAUUCAUGAUCUUUCCUCGACUAGUCUACUUGUCAAUUUUUGAAAAAAGAAUACUCACGCCAAAAACACGGCCUCUUCAUCUGCAGAAUUCUAAAAAGUUACGUAAACUCUAUAAACAAGUUGAUAGGUACAAUCGUACCCAAGAUCAAGUACAGAUAGUUGUACAUUCACUGCUGCAAUAACUAAUCUGAUGACUUACAAACACAUCAUGGUCAAUCGUUGAAUGGUAAUGAGUCUUUUGUUAUGCAUUAGUAUUAGUGUGUACACUCUAAUAGAUUGAUACUUAUACUCUUUAAAUUAUCAUAAUAAUACCCUUAAUUAACUUUAACCCUUAAAAAGAAUACGUGUUAAUACACGAGAGUGUGUAACCUGAAUUGUUACUUAUACAUUAGUGUGUAAUAGAACGGCAAGCAUUAUGGUGGUCAUUGAGCAACUUAUAGGAGAAAUAGUCCUAUAAGCUGUUCAAUGACCAAUCACAACUUGCUAAUUGGAUGACUAAUAUAGCUCUAGCUGUAAUGUUUUAAUUAAAUUCCACACUAACGUUGGGAUGACUUUUUAAUCAAAAAAAAAAAAGCCUUAGUUCAAGCUUUUCCCCUUAUUGUGCAUUUUUUAAAACAUUUGAUAGGCACUGCAAAUCUGUCAUUUUGGACAUUUUAUUAUUAACUAACAAUGAAAGCCGUGGACAUCAACCCAUAUCCAACAAAAUAUUAAAUUAAUAUUAGAAAAAUUAUUAAGUAAUUGGAAAAAAAAAAGAAGAGGCUAAUUUUCAUUGAAACCCACCGACAAACUAUCCGUGUCCAUAGCUUUUGAAUAGUGCAUUCAACGUUUAAUUGUAUGGUCCAGUUCAUUGCCGAUUACAUGGAGUAAAGAUUGUGCUCUUUCCUUUUUCACCCCUUUUGGAAUCGAUACUGUGGAGAAUUGGGUUUUUCCCUCCUUUUUUUCUUUUCUUUCCUUCUGUGCUUUGCAAAACAUACGUAAAAAUAUGAAAUCCGAAGCAUUCUUUAAUUGGGAUUAAGUAUUGUUGUUGAAAUUAAAAAGAAGAAAGAAAGAACAACAAAAAUCCCAAUCUGGGUUGAUUGUUGAGCUCUAGAUUGGCUGCAUCGUGCUUCCAUAGAAGUUCUCUUAGUGUGAUACGCUGCUUUCAAUCAGUUUUAAUAUUUAAGUAGAGUGCAAAAUAACUUUACUAUUUAAUGGGUUAUAAUGCACCAUUUGGUACCUCUCACCCACCUAUGAUUUGAUUUACUACUGGCAUGGUAAUGGACAGAGUUGGGGGAGCAGGAGGAGGGAGAUGGCGGUACCAGUCCGUCAACCACAGCACACCCUCCCUCGGACUUUGCGUGGUAGCGAAGUGGAGGCAGAUCGAGCACACAUGCACUAACGCCUUAAGUAUGUACAAUAUAUGUAUGCCAAAAGCAUAGCCAAGCCUACCAGCGCAUUUCAAUAAUAUAACCCGGAAAUUAAGGGCAUUGAAUUAAGUACGAUGAAUCAUAUUGGUGCACAAUUACAGUUUGAAGCUACCGAUUCGAGUAAAUUUAAGCGUAAGCACAAUCAAUCGCCAGUCAAAUGCUGAAAUAUGCAUAUGCAUGGAUGAAUGUAUGGGUUUCUUAGUUCCAGACCAAAGGCCAACAAUAAGGGAAGGAAGGACAGUUCUCAUUUUUAGCACGGACAAGGAGAUGAAGAAAAGUGUAUGUAGCUUGAGACAGAACAAUGGCAUGUGACCGCUCCUGAGACCACAUAACGUGGGGUGGGGAUGGGACGGCCAAGAAUGAAGAUGCCUGUCGGUCUCUCCGUGCUGCUACCAUAUGAAUCCCCCGUUAACCAAUUCAAGAUAAGCCUGAAGUUCUUUUCAUCCCCAAACCCUGUCCCAUCUGUGUAAAUCCAACAUCAUCAUUUACGACCUGCAACUCAGGUUAAGCAUGUUCUAUUGAGAUUCAGACACCACCCUUCAAAAGAUAUACUACUGUGAAACCAGCAGCUUAAUAUCAUUGUAUAAAAAAAAAAAAAAAAGAAAGAAGAAAAGACAUGAAAAGCAAAUUUUGUGGGGAUAAUUUCAAAAUCUCUCCUAAAGUUUUUUACUAUUUUACUGGCCUCCUUUCAAAUUUUAAAAAUUACACCAGUCUUCCUUGAGAUUAUUUAUCUUGUAACAUUGAGGUCCAAUCAAUAAUUAAAAAAUGAUAUUAUGAGAGAGAAAAAAAAUAAACUUUAACAUCAUAAAUAUUCUUAUCAACAUAUUAAAGUUAGUUACUGAAAUUUUUAUGGUGUUAAACUUCACUCUUUGUAAUAUUUUAGUUACAGAUUUUUUGAUUACUUGUUGUUGAUUUUUUUUUUUUUAGUGUAAACAGGAGGACUCGAACCUAAGACCUCUCACUUACACUCCCUCCCCCCGUACCACCCCAACCCAACCCAACCCUCCCCUCGUUGUUGAUCAUGUUUGACAAUGGAUUUGUAAUUGAAAAGAACAAUUUGGAUCUUACAUUGAGUGAAAUAUAUAGAAUGAUAUACUAUUUUUUAUGGCAUAUGUGAUUCAAUCCUUGAUGAUAAAAGCAAAUUCAAGUGUUUUCUUUAAUGUUUGUGCUGAUAUUAGAUUAAUUAAAUAAUUUAGUAGAUGAAGGAAAAUGGUGAAAUCAUAUUAUCUUCUCUUUCCUAAUAUCACUAUUUAAUUAUUGAUUGAACUUAGAUAUUACAAAUAAUAAAUCUCAAGGGAGAUUAGUAUAAUUUUCAAAUUUUGGAGAGAAGCUAAUGAAAUAGUCAAAAACCUUAAGGGAGGUUUACAAAAUUAUCCCAAAUUUGUGGGAAUUAGAAUAAUUGUACUGGACGGCACUGCCGCAACAGAGGGAAAGAGGAGGAGGUGCAGUUAACUUUUUGUUGUUUGAAAUCCUUGGUGAAAUAUUACAGAAAGACAGAUAAAACAGUUAGUACAUAGAUGUAUAUGACAGGGAAAAUGGUACGUCUGUUAAUCACAUUUGAAACACUUUCAUUGGUGAAUGACGAAAACUAUCAGGCUUGCCCAAUAGUUGAUCAUUGACCAAGACAAAUCUUGCCAUGCUAGAGGUACCAUCUUUUCGUACCUCUUUAGUGCACAGGACAUUCCUUUGUUUCAUCUAGCUAAUAAUCUACCAACUCAUUUCUUUGCAAAUGCACCUUUUAUGGUCACGUCUACGAAAGCUUUACAGGAUCUUUACCCAAAAAAUCAAUUCACCGACUCGCAUUUGAUGUCAAAAUUUCUUUACUUUACUCCAAGAUUGACUGUUAAUAAUAAUGCCACUUUGAAUUAUCACACCAUCCUUCUUGAUAGGAUUUGUGCUAGAGGUAGGGAGGGAGUCGCUGCAGCCGGUCUUCUCUUCAUAGACAGUACAAUAUUGCGAAAUCGAUCGCAUUCACGCAAUAUUAUAUUUCCAAGUCGUUGCAUGGGUAAGCUGCCAAAAAGUACGAACACAUGUUAUUAUAUAGCUUAAGAUUCAAAACUUUCGAGCAUAACCCUCCACCUAACACAAUUGAAUAAUGGAUAUUCACGAUUGUCAAAUCUGUCAAAGUACAGUUUGAGGACAACCCAUUCCAACCUGCAAAAGGUUUUUUUACUUUUCUAAAGUUGUUGAGAGCUGUUAAAAGAUUUACCAUGCUUACAUCUUCCGAGCCUUGGGAGUUAAAAAUGAAGGCACUGAGUGCUAUAAAAAGGGAAUAGAGGCUGCCUAGAAGCAUACCAGCCUAAAACAAGGAUUUGUAGUUAUGAUGGGAAGCAAAGCAAAAGCAAUGGGGUCUGGGCUGACUCCUCUUCUUGCCACUGUUUUAGUGGUGUUUGUUGCUCUUGGCUUGCCCUCAGAAACUGCAGCUGAUGAUCACUACAAGUAUUCAUCUCCUCCUCCUCCUUACACUAUCCCUCACCACCACCUCCAGUGCAUAUACCUCCACCUCAUCCUGUUUACAAGUACAAAUCUCCACCACCCCCACCACCACACCCAGUUUACAAGUAUAAGUCACCACCACCACCUCCUCAUCCGGUACCACACCCAGUUCCUCAUCCGGUGCCACACCCAGUUCCUCAUCCGGUGCCACACCCAGUUUACAAGUAUAAGUCACCACCACCACCUCCUCAUCCGGUACCACACCCAGUUCCUCAUCCGGUACCCACACCCAGUUUACAAGUAUAAGUCACACCACCACCUCCUCAUCCGGUACCACACCCAGUUUACAAGUAUAAGUCACCACCACCACCUCCUCAUCCGGUAUACAAGUAUAAGUCUCUCCGCCACCAACACCCAGUUUACAAGUAUAAGUCACCACCACCACCUCCUCAUCCGGUGCCACACCCAGUUUACCACUACAAGUCACCACCACCACCUCCUCAUCCGGUACCACACCAGUUUACCAUACAAGUCACCACCAAUCCUCACCCAGUUUACAAAUACGAGUCUCCACCACCUCCAGUUUAUAAGUACAAGUCACCACCACCUCCUCCACCAGUUUACAAGUAUAAAUCUCCUCCACCACCACCACCAGUUUACCACUACAAGUCUCCACCACCUCCUCCCCCAGUUUACAAAUACAAGUCUCCACCACCUCCUCACCACUACUAAGCAAUUGCUUCUGAGGUAAUAACACUUGUUCAAUAUACCCACUUCUGCAUGAUAAAGCAUAUCUCUAUCAACACAAACUGUCAUGUCUAUCAUGCUAAGUGCCUUCACUUCAUCCACCAAAAUGACUGCUAGAAAAUUUUUUUUAUGUUACCAAAGAAAGGCAUCAUUUUUUCCCUCUGUUAUCAAGAACUUGUACAGUAUAUAGAUUAAAGAGUUUUUAUUUUAACUAGCUUAUCAACUUAGAAAUGCAUAUAGCUGAUAACCAGCUGAAUAUUUGCAGGCAAAGGAGAAGGAAACCAUGUUUGAGACCUUCUUGAAGAUGUAGAAGCAUAAGAAUAAAAGCCCAAUGUGAAGAUGAUGAUUUCAAGUUUUUCUACGUUACCAUUUCUUUAUCUAAAUUGGUUGUAGCGCCCAAGUUCCUUUGUUUAUGGGAUUUGUAUCGUUUUACGUACCAUGCAGUACAUGUCAUGUUUGUAAGGUUUUCUAUCCUGCCGGCAAACCGCAGGUUCCAUGUGAUAAAUGAAUACUAUUUAUGUUACGACA
RNAcentral lists this long non-coding RNA (119966 nucleotides) under Coffea arabica (coffee). Its description in RNAcentral is "long non-coding RNA (CARA_LNC007267)". The stretch from base 112223 to 112329 matches the Rfam family "Plant small nucleolar RNA R71". The record is from RNAcentral. Lineage: Eukaryota; Viridiplantae; Streptophyta; Magnoliopsida; Gentianales; Rubiaceae.